CUGUCUAACAGCCUUCAAAAUAAUUGAAAAUUUAUCAACAAUGAAGAACUCAGUACUAGCACUAGCAUUCUUCGUCUUUCUCUUUGCCUUUGCUGCAAAACCAUCUUUGGCUGCUCGUCAUGAGCCUUUAGUGCUUCAUUCUGAUGGCCAGGAGCUCCUCACGGCUACCAGCAAUUGCGAUAUCGUAACUCCAUUUGAGUGUAAUGGUACGUAAUUAUUAUUGAGGACAUUAUCCUAAUAAUUACUGGGUUAAUAAUACAACUGAGCUAAUUUGUUAAUAUGAGUUAGGUCCGUGGACUUUUAGAAUACGACCAUAAUUGGCUGUUGAGCAAGUUUUAACCACUUAGUAAUUCGUAUAUGAAAUAUAACUGCAGGCAAGAGCUCAUGGCCAGAACUGGUUGGUGUAAACGGGGAGAUUGCUGCUGCUACGAUACAGAUAGAGAAUCCUAAUGUUCAUGCAAUCAUAAUACUUAAGGGAACUCCAGUUACACCAGAUUUUCGUUGUGAUCGGGUUCGAGUUGUGGUUGACAAAUAUGAGAAGGUGGUUCAAGUUCCUCGGAUUGGCUGAACUUCGACGAUUAUCUGCAAUCAUCAUGGCUGGAUGGAUGGUCAGGAUUAACUGCUUGUUUAUAAUCACUUAACUAUGUAUUAGUAAAAUAAAUGAACAAGUAGUGUUGUUUAAUAAAGCAUGCAUGGAUGUGCGUGAUAUCCAACAAUCGCGUUCUACGAAUGAGUGUAAUAAUACAACUUUUAUGUCUACACUUUUUUUAUUUAGUUUUUUUUUCCCCUUGAUAAUCAAGCACGCUUUCACAGAAUCAUACUAAGAAAAAGGAUACAAGAGAUGAGUUGGGCAAGUCCCCAAAAAAACACCAGAAAGCUAAUUUUGCGAUUACAAGAUCUAGAAGUAUGUUGAAUUAUAGCAUAACUUAGUCUCCGAAGCUUUUCUUGAACUUCAGAAAUAGCCCAAAAAAUCUCCAGCUUGCUGUUCUUCUUGCUAGCAAUUAAAUUUAUUACGUCUUGCCAAUCUGUUUCAAGUAUCAGUGGUACACUUGUUGCCUCUUCUGCAAUUUCCUAGCCCUAAUUAGUUGCUUCAGCUCCUGCAGAUGCUACACUGUCAUGGUAUUUUGACUUCUUCACUCAGCAACUACAAACUCUCCCUUGUGAUUCCUGGUGACAAUCCCAGGCUUAGCAUUGAUUUUUAGACUUGAUGGUGGCAUCCACGUUCACUUUGAACCAGCUUUUAAGAGGGAGUGUCCAGCUUUGCUGAGUUGCAGACACUUGCCUUGAACUUGCUUUCAUUUGAGGGGCUUUAAUUUUUAUGUAGGACUCAACUGUUACUUCAGCUUUAGCCACUAAUACCUGAGAAUCUUCUUCUUCUUUUAUUUUUUCCAAAGAUGAAAAGAUUUCUGGAGUGUCAAAUAGCCCAAAUAGGCCAUUGCAUAUCAAUCAGAGGUUGAAUCGCGACAGAAUUACAAACCAAACCACGUAGUCAAAUACAAAUACAAACAUGAAGGCUCAUGUUGCACCCUUUAUCUGUCCUACGCACUAAUGACGUCAUUCUGAUAAAUGAAUGAAGACUAUGUGUUACUAUAACAUGCCAACACUAAAAUUUCUUGAUAAGAUUUAGACGAUGGCGAAAAUAAAAUUAUUCAAUAAUUAAAUUAAUGAUUUUGUAGAAGUAUAUCGGCCUAAUUCAUACUAAAAAACUAGCUUAGGAGUUGGGGUUGCCCAAACCUACCAACACUAAAAAUUAAACAAUGAUGGAAAAUUUAAAUAAUUGUCAAAAAAUUGAUUAUAUAGAAGGCCAUAUGCCUAACUUAUACUCAAAAGUUAACUUAAAAUUUGAGGGUUACCCAAACAUUAUAUAUUUAACCCUCGAAUAAUCUUGAGUCGAUGUGGUAUAUUGCUUCUAACAUCACCCAUCAAGGGCAUACCAAUCCUUUUGUUUAGUCUUUAUCACGUGGUAAGGUAGUAUUCAUCCUCAAUCGAUGUGGGAUCAAUAUUGUCCCUAACACCCCGGUUGCAAGUAGAUUGGUUUUUUGGUUUGGCCCUUGUCACCUGGUAAGAUAGUAUUCAUUAUCAACCGAUAUGAUAUAUUGCCCCUAAGACCCUCAGUCACGAGCAAAUUGGUCUUUUAGUCUAGUCCUUGUCACUGGCUGAGAUAGUGUUCACCUUUAGUCGAUGUAGGAUAUUGUCCCUCCCCUAUCACAUGUAGACUAGUCUUUUAGUUUGGUUGUUGUCACAUGGUACAUUCGUGCAUGACAGUGGCGCUAAUAUCAUAUGGAAGUUCAUAAAUCUUUCUCAUACUUAAAAACUUGUUCAAUAGUUGAAGGUUACCCAAACAUUAUAUACUUAACACAAGUCUCAUCCUCAGUCGAUGUGAAAUAUUUUCCCUAACAAAUUGUCUCCACUUUGAUUAUUGAUUAAAAAAGAUUAAUUGUCAAUGAACAUAAAAAUUGAUUGACUCACUUUUGCUAAUUAAUAAUAAGUCGUCCUUAUUUGUGAUAUGGACGCUCAAAUAAUAGUAAAUUUUAUUACAAUAGGAAUGUUCAAAAUAAAUUUUAAAGUGCAAAUAACUCUACAUCUUUUCUUUUUAUACUCAACUAACUCUACAAUAUGUAAUUUUUUACAGGGUAAAAAUUUAUUUUGUCCUUAUAUUUUGAGGUUGGUUCUCAUUUAGUCUUUAUAUUUUUAAAAUACCUUAAAAUGUUUCUGUCGUUAAAUUAUUGAUACCCAUGUCAUUACCUUUUAUUCCUUUUGAAUUGUUUUUAUAAUAUUACCCUCUUACAAGAAUGUUUCUUUUUUUGGGGACAUUAAUAAAAAGAAAAAAAUUAAAUUACAAAUUUAACAUCCAAAAAAUAAAAUAGAGACAAAAAAAUAGAUAUUAAUUUUUCUAGGACACUCUACCGAAGAGUUAAUAUAUCAAUUUUUUUAUUAAUUUCCAAAAAAAUUGGUAAUUUAAUUUUAAAAUAUUAAUUUUUUUAUACAUAUGUGAGCUUCUAAAAAAAAUUAAUAUAUAUUCUUUUUGUUUUAAUUUUAUUUAUGAGGUUAAAUUGGUAAUUUAAUUUUUUCUUUUUAUUAAUGUCUAACGGAAAGAAACAUUACUAUAAGAGUAUAACAUUAUAGAAGCUAGCCAAAAAAAAUAAAAAAUAAUGACAGAAAUAUUAAUAGUUUAAUGACAAAAAUAUUCUAAGAUAUGUUUAAAAAAUAUAUAAAUUAAACAAUAAUAAUUGUAUAAUAUAAGAAUUAAAUGAGUUUUUACCCUUUCCUAUUGGAUGCAAUUCACGACCUACUGGUCUAGUAACAGAGAAUGAGACAAUGAGUUUGGACAUCGUCAUUUUUAUAACUCUGCUAAUAAUGCUAGAAAUUAUAUGUCAUGUUCAUACAAUGAGAUGCAACGUCAGUUAGGAGAAAGAGAUAAACUGGUGUGGGACAGGCUCACUAUUGCAAUACACGAGCUCUAUCAUUUGGCAUAUACAUAGGUUCUGUUUGUAGGGUCCACAAAUUUUUUGUUUCAAAUAAUUUGAUACCUCGAUCAGCGUUUAGUUUGUGGGUUCCACUUACAACACCCAUGAGAUCCACUGAAUGAUAGAACUUGUGUAGUCAGGUGCCCCACUUUAAUAAUACACUGAGGUGGUGAUGUACCCUAUACAAGUUUUCAAUACGGAAAAUUUUGUAUGGUCUAGUGCACUACCUCAAUAUGCUAAGGUGGUGCACGCGCCGCCCACAAAUUUUUCUGUAUUAGAAAUGGCCACCGAUAUUUAUCCAUUAUGUUUUGAUUUGUUUAGUUUUAUUGACAUAACAACCCUCAAGGCAAUUCCAUUAACGUAGAAAAUAGUCUUUCAUCACAUCCAUGUAGAGCCUACAUAUUAAAUAAUAUAAGACCAUCAUACACGAUCGAUAUUAUAGAUGAAAAAAAAUUAAGAGAUUCCUUACAUAAUAAUAAUGUAAGUUAUAUUUAUCAUAAUGUUGCAUUAAAUAAGUAUUAAAUUGUAUUAAAUAAAUUAUAUUUAACUUGUUUAGUGGAACUUUGUAAUUAAUGUAAUUUACAUAUUAUGUAAGGAUUAAAGUCCUGAAAUAAAAGAAGAAGAAACUUAUGAUCAAUCUUUUACGUAGGUGUGGCAGAAAAAAAAUAAUAAAUGCAUUAUGAUAUUAUGCAUGAAAUGAUUGAUGCAUGUGUCUACGGUCUACAUUUUGUAAAGAUCCAAAAAGAUAAAUGCAUGUGUUUUUGGUCCAAAAAAAAAAAACAAUAUGAAACUCGUGAUUCAAUCUUUGCCACAAAGUUUGUUGGUGGCUAUCCAAUGAAACACUAUUCGGCAAAAUAAUCAUUCACCCAACUUUUUCAUUUUUUUCUAAAAAUUAAUUAAUUAUUAUUUUAUUAUUUAGUAUAAGAGGUACAAUUAUUUACGGGAACAAAAUGAGGCUUAUCCUAAGCAAGAACAUAACAUCAGACGAAAGCGAAAGAGAAAGAGAAAAAUAAAUUUUAAACAAAUAGCACUCUGAAAGAAAGCAUGAAGCAUAAAUCAAAGAAACUGAUAACUGGGAAUCUACUAACAUCAUUACAAAGUAACUCUUGCAUAGCAAUAGGCGGCCUUUUCUAUCAAGUAAAAUCAGAACAGUGGAGAUCGGCCAUCGUACUAUUGCUGCGCAAGUGUGAGGGCAUCAAAAAUUCGCGGUUGAGAUGUUAAUUUUCCUUCACUGAAAUUAAUAUAUAUUAUUUAUUUUCUUACAAUUUUUAUAAUAGUUAAUAAUCUUUCUAACAGUAUAAUUUUACAAUAUUAUUCUUAUUUUUUAAAUACACUUUUAUUUAUACUUAUUAUAAAUUAAAUAAAUCAUAAAAAUAGAAAUUAAAAUGUAUUUUUUGAAGUGAACAAAAAAUUAAUAAAUUGACGAUUUUCUUAUACUUUUUUUUAAAUGUUUGGUUAUAAUAAAUAUAUCUUUUAUAUUUUCAAGUUAAAUCAUCAAGAAAAUAACCCAUUUAUACCUCUUUUUCUUUAAACAUUUGGUGGUAGGAAAAUUUUGGCUAUUAUAAAUAUCAUACAGUGUAAGUGGUACAUGUUAAUUUCAAUAAAUGAAAAAAUUGACAAUCUCUUAAAUUUCAUAUCUAAGAGUUUGACCUUACAAUUCUACCAAUGAUUUUUGAGACACCAAGGAGAACCCAAAGAACCUAUAUGUAGGAAACUAACAAUCACAACUGAAUCACUCAACCCAAAGAUUAUACGAUAUUUUGCGAUCCUCUAUCAAAGGCCAAUUCAAUUACCAUGAAAGCAGCCAAAAGCUCAGAAAAAUAUGCUGAAUUUUUAACCUCAUGCCAAUCCAAAACCACCCAAAUGAUUCCUAAAAGCUCCACCUCAAGCCAAUUGUACGGUUUCCUUUCGAUAAGCCGUCUGAAUCCGCCUUAAUCCAUCAAAGAUUGAGGUGGAUGAUUUAUAAUCAAACAAACUAAGAGGCUAGUUUGGGAUUGUGGUGGCUGAUAAAAUAAACUACUUCUAUUGAUACAGAUGAAAUAAGCAGCUGAUUAGAAAAGUAGCUUGGUGUUUGGUUAACUGUGUUAUUACGGUUGCUGUGAGUUUGAAAAGUAAAAUACACGUGUUUAAUAAAUUUUAUUACAAAAGUGUUAUUUUAUUAUAUAAUGAAUAAAAUAGACAAAAGUUUAAAUUGCCUUUUACAAUAGUAUGUUUAAUAAACUGUGUAGACAUGCCUUUUUUCUUUUUAAAGCACAUAAAAUUACAAAAAGUGCAAAAAACUCAAUUGAAUAAUAUCUAAUGAACUUCAUAAUCUGUCAUAUAAAAUAUAAUAAAAAUUCAUACUCAUACAUAAUCUAAAUAAAAUAAAAAGAAAUAUGCAUACUUUAACUUUAAACUUGUUAUAAUAAUAAUCCUCAAAUUUUUCAUUCUUGUGAUCCAGAACCAUUAAUAUUGUAAUACUCUUCUUGAAUGUCAUCAUCUCUUUCUAUUCCUUUAUCAAAUAUUGAAUUAGGAUCAUUUUCAAUGUUGUCAAAAUAAAGACCAUAUUGUGCAUGCCUCCUUGUAUAAUUGUGUAAUGUCAUGGCUGCAAUGACAUAAUUGUUAUUAGUGUAAUUUGAUUAUGGCAGUAAUAUAAUAUCUAAUGGUUCAUAUAUUAGAAAAUUAUGGUUGCUUAUAAAAAAUAAAUCCUUACUUGCUUUUAAAAGUUGUUAUCAAAAUAUAAAAAAUUACGAAAUAAGUAAUUUUUAUAAAAUUUAUCAAACACUAUUUUUGUAAAAAUUAUGAAAUAAGCAUCUUAUUGAGUUUCAUCCUUAAUUUAGAAAUAGUGCCUAAGUAACUUUGCCAAAAUUGAGAGGAAUUCCGAGGAAAAAAAGAAUAAUGUUUAGUAUAUUUAUAAUAAAGGACAAGGCUCAUUAUGUUCCCUUAAUUUGUGCUAUUUUUUAUUAGUUUUCAAUAAAUUCCUUGGAUCAUUUAAAAAAAUAUAUAUCAAUCAACACUAAAUUUUAAUAGCCCCUAGGGGUAACUAAAAAUAAGAUGGAUAACGCAAGUAUGAAAAUUUUCUAGCUCCAAUAAUUAAAUUAAAAUAACUAAUAAGUUGUGAUUUUUUCCUUAUGUCUAUAUGUUGGUGUGUAACGCGUAAUUAAAAAAAAUUAAUUAAAAUUGAAAGACCUUUUUUGUUGUGAUGGCAAGAUUAUAUGUAUAUUACCCAAGUGUCAUCCCGGAAAAUAAAAAAUAAAACCAUUCACAAGAGAUCUUCUUUUUGAAAACUAAAUCACUUGAGAUAUGGAACUUUUAAAUAAUCAUGCACAAAGGAUUACAAACCGUUGCAUUCUACGGUGCAUAUAGAUUUUGGAAGACCGUCCUAAUUUUCUUGUCAAGUUCAUCUGAAUUAAACAAUUUUCUAUCAUUUCACAAAUCAACUGGUUUACUUUAAUUUGUUCCUUUUUUGAAUCGACCGUUUAGUCCCAAAGACACAUCAAAUUCACCCAUGAUUUCUUGUUAUUUCUAUCAAUGAUAAUCUAGUGGGACCAUUCAUUUGACAAUAUGACAGGUCCGUUUAUUGCGUUUUCUCCGCACACUAGGACUGAAUGAUAAGGCAUCGUCCGAUUAUGUGGUGUGGAUUUUAAGGGCAUUUUAUCUCGUGUCUUAUUACUAUUGUUUGCAUCUUAUACAAGAUUGAUUUGGAUGAUGAGAAAGAUUUCAAAGAAUUAUUAGUUUGAAUCCACUUUUCUACCUCUAAAUUUUCCAUGGGCUGCAAUCCACGGCGCAUAUUGAACCAGGUGGGGUCUAAUAACUACUGAGAAUAAGAUCAUGUGUUUAUCAUUUGGGUUCGGUUAUAUUAGAUUAAUGGUGACGAGUGUCGAUCCCACGAGAAAGUAGAUUUUAAUUGUGUGUAGAAUUAAUUUUUCUAAAUGGGUGGUUAGAUUUGUGGUAAAGAUAAUUUGGAAUAUUCUAAAAUUUAAAUUAAAAUGAUGAUAAUAAAUUGAAGUGAAGAUCUAUUGAAAUGACGUACUUGGAUAUCUAGAUCCGCAUCAACAUGCACCAUGGGUUAAAUAUUCCUUAUUAAUGCUAAUUAAAUCAUGAGGGGGGAUUUCCACUCCUCAUGAACCACACUCUAAUCAAUAUAAUGCUUCGGGCUUAUCGUGCCAAAUAAUAAUAACCUUGUACUAGGGAGCCGGUGAAACUAGGGCGGUAUCUAGAUAAGAUUAUUAUUAUUUUUCGACGAAAAGUCAAAACAUCCACAAUAAUUAGAGGGGAAGAGAAAGUAAAUUUACCAAGUAAAUCCUAUGACACAUGUUGAGACUUCACCUUCAACCCAAGCUUGAAAGAAAAUUAGUUACUCAUAAUUGAACUAGGGGCAAAAUGAGAAUUUAUUAAAAUACAUAGAAAAUAUAAGAUGAAGAAUGAAUUACAGAAAAUGGAGCUCAAAAAUGGAUUCAGGGAUGCCAAAUUAGGGGGGAAGAGAUCCAUUUUUAUAGAUACAUUGAGUAAAUCAUGGCAAUCGGAUUAAAAACAAUUUGGACACUUAGGAUUGCGUCACGUCAUCAGUCAACAGUACGCAGUUUGACCACGUGGUUUGAACAGUCAACCGGCUUGAACAGUAACGCGAUUUGGUUGAAAAUAAUCCUGUGUAUAUGCAUGUAUCAUACGCGCGAUUUUUGGUCCACUAACAUGCUACCACGCCAUCGAUCAACAAUGCAUAAGAAUUUUCUCCAAUGGAAUUGUGACACCUCAUCAGUCAAUGCCACAUCGUCGGUCAAUGCCACGUCAUCAUUCCGUAUGUGUGAACAAUGUCGUGAACAGUAACAUGGACAGUACUGUACAUGUGAACAAUGUUAUUUUUCCUUUUAUGCUCCUCCUAAAGUUUUCGAUUGUCCUGAGUUCAAAAGUGAUGUCCGUUUUGCUAUCUGAAUUCUUGUUCAUUAUAAAAUGACCAUGAUGCCCCUAAAACACAUAAAAUACUUAAUUAAAAUAAAACACACAUAAUUAAAUUACAAGAGACUAAAAUACAUAAAAGUAGAAGUGUUAGUAAGACUUGAAAUAUAAAAUGACGAUUUUCUCCUUUAUAAAUAUACACUUUCUAAUACUCAACAAUAUACCUGCAAAUCUGGGUAGAAAUCAUUUUCUAGCAAGAGUUUCCAACCCUUUCUCACCAAUAUGAUCAAUCCUUUUAUCCCAUAUCUCAAUGUCAGAAUCUUUUACAGCCACAUUCACAUCUUCUUUCUUGAUCUUGGCUUCUAUAAGAUAGACAACGUUUACUUUCCUCUCCUUAGCUAACACUAGGGAGCCUUUGGCGAGCUUCCAUUUUCCUUCACCAAAUUGGUUAGUAUAGCCAUCAUCAUCAAACUUGCCUGUAGAGAUCAAAUUAAGGCGAAUAUUUAGUACAUGUCUAACAUCUUUAAGUAAUAACUUAUAGCCAAUGCUGGUCUCUAAGCAAAUAUCUUCUAUGCCCAUAAUUAUGGAUGCCUCGUCAUUUCCCAUUCGAACAUGCCCAUAAUCAUCAUUAGAUGUGAAGUAAUCACGAUGUGCAAUAACAUGAAAUGAAGCACUCGAAUUAAUUACCAAUCACUAGUAUGGAAAGUGAGAUUUACUGAGCUCUCAUCAUAAACAAUAUCUAAAUCACCAUCAACUAUGGCUGGAAUUUCUACUUUAGUUCCUUCCCCGCCUUUCUUGCUUUUUUGAAACAAGUGCAUCUGACUCAGAGGGAACUGCUUCAACAUUCUUUCUUUUCGAUUCUUCAUUCCGUAACCUAUCUGUAACUAUAUGCAAAGUUAAUUUUCCAUUCAGCGCUGAGUUAUUCACUAGCACUACUAAUAUCUCUCAACUGUCAAGCAAAAUUUGGUAAAAAAAGAGUUGAAGAGAUUAACCCAAAAGUUGGAACAACUUACAAAGAAUUUGAUAAAUUUUAAUGAAAAGUUGAGAUCUAAAAACAAAACUUGAUAUAUUUACCCAAAUGUUGGAAUCCAAUAAAAUGAGGGGGAAUAUAAAACCAAUAAAUGGUGGGAAAAUGAGUGGAAGAGCAUAACCCAGAAGUUGGAACGACAUGAUGAGAAUUUGAUAAAUUCCAAUGCAAAAUGGAUAUUUGAAAAAUAAACCUAAAACAUUCAUGCAAAUAUUGGAAUUAAGUAAAAAGAGUAGGAAUAUCAAACCAAAAUUUGGCGGGAAUAAGAGCUGAAGAGGUUAACCCCCAAGUUACUUUUAAUGGAAAGUAAGAAUCUAAAAAUCGAACCUAAUAUAUUUGCGCAAAAUGUUGGAAUUCGAUAAAAAGAGUAAGAAUGUAGUACCAAAAGGUGGUGGAAAAAUAAGUUGGAACAACUGACCAAAAACUAGAUAAAGUCUAAUGGAAUGUAGAGAUAUAAAAAAUAAACCUAAAUAUCCACUUAAAAAGUUGGAAUUUAAUGAAAAAAGUGAAAAUAUGGAACCAAAUGUUGGUGGAAAAAUGAGUUAAAAUAAGUUACCAAAAUUUAGAUAAAUCUUAACGAAAAAUAGGAAUUUAAAAAAUAAACUUGAAACAUGCACCGUAAAUAUUAGAACGUGACAAAAUAAGUAGGAAUAUAUCUCUUUUUUGACAUAAACUAUAAUAUUUUUAUAGUCUCUUGUAUUAUUUAUAAAUUUACAAUUAUUACAAUCUUUUGCCUCAUUUAAUUCCAUAUUUAUCUUUUUUUUCCUUUUUUUAUAAUUUUUUCACAGUAAAAAUAAAUGAAAUUGUAAUUUUAUUAUAUUAACCGGUUAUACCGGUUUUCUGCAUGCGCUGUAUAACAUACAGAGAUGCAUGGAAUGUUGACUCCCCAACAUAAUUAGGGGUUGCACGUGCCCUCACACAAGUUUAUCUACAGAAGAAAGGAUACGACUGCUAUGCACCAGGUCCAUUGACAGACUGCGUGGAAUUAAAUAUAUGGAAAAAAUAAUAACCGCAAGAUAUAAAGUACUAUACAAUCAAUGGUUGAUGUUGAUUAAAGGAAUCGCAAGAACUAGGUGGACCAGUUGAUGUUGUAGUUAAAAUGGGAGAGCUAGGACAUGGUGGCCCAGUAAAUCUGUAAAUGUGUCUGCUAUGUUUAUGUGAAAUCGGAAAAAAAAAAUGAAAUGAAGAGAAUAGAAAGAAAAAAAAGGCAACCCCUGCUCUCGUGAUUAGGGAUGGCAAUGGGGAGGGGAGGGGAUCAAUAUCUCCAUAUUCAUCUAUGAUAUUUUGUGUAUGUCCCCAUCCCCGUCAAAAUUGCUUAAGAGAAUCCUCAUCCCCUCCCCCGAAUAAUAACAGGGGAUUCCCGAGGGUCCCCGGUCCCCGAAUAACUAAUAGUCUAAUACAUUUUUUUUUUCGAUUUUAAAUUAAUCAUAUUAAAAUAAAAAAUUCAGAUAAAAAUAAAGUUCAAAAUAUAUCUUAUAUUAAUAUUGAUCCAUUACAAAGUCACAUUCCAAAUAUAAAUUAUUAAAAUAAUUAUCUUUGUCAACGACUCAAUCUUCAUAAUCCUACAAUAAAAAGAAAAAAAUAAUAAUUUUUAUAUCGGCAAUAAAAUAAAUGAAAUAAAUGUAGAUACUUAAUUAAUAUUUUUAAUAAAACUAUUUACCUCCUGCUCGUCUUGUUCUUCCUCGAGAAAUGUGGCAAAUUGAGAGAUAGCCUCAGAUUUCAAACUUAAAACAAUGAAAAUGAUAUAAGUAAAGUAACUUAUAAGUGCAAAUAUUAAUAACUGUAUAAUAUAAUUACAAUGUAAAAUAAACUCAUACUGCUAUUGUAAGCUCGUAACCAACUUUGACAACACAUUAAGGCCUCCCAUGUGCUUGGAUGAAGUUUGUUACGGUGUGGGCUCACAACUCUACCACCGGUGCUAAAAGAUGAUUCAGAAUCAACUGUUGUAAUUGGAAGUGCCAAAAUAUCUCUAGCAAUUCGAGCUAAUGUAGGAUACCUAUUAGCAUUUAAUAAUAUAAAUAUUUUGAUAUUUAUUAUUUUUAACAAUAUUUAUAAUUUUUUUUAUUUAUUUAUUAGUAAUUUUAAAAAUAAAAAUAAAAAUUAAAAUUAAAAUGGGGAAAUGGGUAGGGGAUGGGGAUUCCACCUCAUCCCUGUCCCCGUCUCCUCCCCGAAUAAAAAAUUGGGUAAAAAAUUAUCUCCGUCUCCUCCCCGAAUAAAAAAUUGGGUAUACAAUUAUCCCCGUACCCUCCUCGAAUAGAGAAAAUCCCCAAGGGUACCCGUCCCCAUGGGAAUUUUUGCCAUCCCUACUCGUGAUGGCCUAUGCAAAAAUUAAAAAACAAGAAUCUUAACAAGAAUAUAUAUGCCAUUUAUUGACACUGAAUUUUUGUCUAUAAUAUUUUAUAGGGUGGUGAUAUUUUUACCACACAAAUUCUAUAAAUCCACUGCACUUUUAAAAAUUAAUUAUAAAAGAUUCACAUUAUUUUUAAAAAUUUCAAAUAAAGAAGAAUUCUAAAGAAUUAAUCAAUUAAAUCUAUCUUAAUAUAUAUUUUUUAUAUUUUAAUUUAUUUUUUUGUGAUUUAGAUUUUUUUAUUACAUUUGACUAUUAAGAUUGCUUUAGUCUAAAUCGAAAUUGAUUAUUUUACCCUUAAAAAGUAAACAUACCAAAAGUUUACUUUAACAUUCUUUUUGUUUUAUACAAAAUUCAUUAUUUCCAAAUGGUCAAUUCUACUUUAUUAGUAUGAUUAUUAACUUUUAAUUAAACUAUGGUAAUAUUUUUAUGCAAAAUACUCAUGUAAACUAUUAGACUAUUAUAUACAAGUAAAAUAUUGAAAAUCAUUAGGCUGCAAUUAAAAAGUUAGAUUAUAUGUCACAAAAUUAAGUACCUAAAGUAUUACAUAGAAGAACACAUUUUUCUUAGGGCGAUUAGGUCAUUUUAUGUCAUAAAGUAAAAUAAUUAAAUAGAACUUAUAUUAAAGCAACUUUAAUAGUAAAAAUAAACCUAAGAAAGAAAAAAAUAUAAGAAUGAUUUAAUAGAUUAAUUAUACAAAUAUUUUUUAUUUGUAUUUAUUAGAAAUAAAGUACAUUUAUUGUAAAUAAUUAUUUUAUUUCCUCUUUACAGUCAUAAAUUUUUUUCAUUAACCUUUUAUCCUUCAUUUUACCCGUUUAAUUCGUCUUUGCAUGAUUUCAAUUUCAGUAUUACUAUAUCAAAUUAGGAUACCAUUGUAAUAUAAUUUAACUUUGAUAUGCACUAUGGCCUCGCCCAACGCCUAUUCGGGAUCCAAUAUGACUAGUCUCAAACACCAAAUUAGCAAAUUAUUAUGACCAAAGGAAUGAUUACAAUAGUUUGUAAACAGGUAUGGUUACUUUAAUUACACUAUGAAAUUAUCAAUUUAUUCAAUGUUGAAUUGAUCAUAGAAAUAGAACUAGUUGGAAAUGCAAUUACUUUGGCGAUAGUUGUUUUUCCAUAUAAAUUAUAAUAGUGAAGCACUUUCUUAUCAUGAGCUUCUUUUCCACUCAAAAGUCUCAUCUAAUUUCGAGCCAGCUGAUUGAAAACUUUUUUCAAAUCUCAAUACCCACAUGUACUUUUUUCGAACAUUUUAUAUCGUUUAUGCAAUAUCACCACACACGCUACAUUGAACCAAGCCUCACUGAAUACAUAUUCAUCGGCAUAGGAUUGAAAUUAUCAAAAGAAUAUUUUUUUGAACCAAUUCAGUGAAAAAAGAUCAAAAAAUAAAUUUAAUCGUACUAAGGUUCAAUUGUUCAAUGGCCAUUUAAAUUAAUAAAUAAUAUUCAUGCCGAACACUAACUAAGAGAUUAACAGUUUUUACCUCUAGAACAUUUUCAUUAACAUCACUUUGAUUUUCUUCAUCAAGUUUCAUAAUACCAACUCCAAGCCUCUUGCAUCCAAAUCCCACUCCACAGUCUCAUGCUCCACCUGGUCCAAUUUGUUUCUCUCCAUUUAUUUCAAUUCAACUACCAUCCACUAGAAGAAAUUAUAUUAGUCUAGGUUGUGACUUGAAAUAUAUUACUUCAAAAAUAGGAAAACAAAUUUGUUGAAUUUUAUUGUUAAAUAAUUUAGUAAUGACAGAACUAAAUUUGAUCCUAUUUGCCUUUGCAAUGUUAUUAUAUUUACUUGUAAUUAACAAUAUAUAUAAAAAAAAUCAUAUUAAUACGUUAUAUUUAUCUUCAGUUAAAUAUAUAUAUAUAUAUAUCAAAGUACAAAUAUGAGGAACAUUUCUUAAUAAAUUUGUGACUCAAUGUUUAGUACUUGUGACAUGGAAAAUAACACUUUUGAACAUUAAAAAGCAACAGUUGUGAUGAUAAGAGACUUAACAACAGAACUUGUGACAAAGUGUAAAUAACUUGGAACAUUAACACAAACAGUGAGAAUUGUGAAUUCAACCGGAAUAACCGGUUACUUUACAAUCAUUAUUGGACAUGUGUAACUUCAACAUGUCAUGGCAAAAUCAACCAUACAUACACUAGAUGAAUAGUAGGCAGACCCUCAGAGAAAUGGUCAACAAUUAUUUAUCCUAGGGCAAACUUCAAGUUAUAUGUAACUUACAACCACUGGUAUAAACAAUAAUAAUGUUGAGAUUCACUCAUAUUUUAUAUAAAUAGUUAUAAAUUACAUUACAUGUAACUUAGAAUCCUUAUACUAUUUGUUUUGUUUUAUUCACAUAACAAUCCGUCAAGUCAAUUGGGACCCACUGAGAAAAGUCGAAGAAGAUUUUCGACGCAUAACGCUUAAGAGAAUCACGUGAUGUAGCGAAAGUCACAUUGGGACCCACUUGCGUAGAAAUUAAUCCCUCAUCACAUCCAUGUGGAGCCUACGUAUUAAAUAAUGCAAAAACCAUCGUACAAAGUUAAUAUUGUAGAUGACGAGAUCCCUAACUAAGUUAUAUCACUUAUUUGGGGCCGCCUAUUUGGUAUAAUUUUGUAAUUUAGAUAACUUACAUCAUUAUUCAAGGAAUCAAAGUCCUAAAAUAAAAGAAGAAGACACUUAUGAUCAAUCUUUUCAGUAGGUGUGGUAGAAAAAAUAAAUGCAAUAUGAUACUAUGGAUGAAAUGAUUAAUGCAUGCGUUUACGGUCCACAUUUUGCGAUUAUCCAAAAAGAUGAACAAGGAAAAGUACAAAACACAUAAUUGAAUUGACAAAAGGAGAUAAUAGCAAUAAGAAACUCGUGAUUCAAUCUUUGCGACGAAGUUUGCCGGUGUCUAUCCAAUGAAACAGCAUUCGGCAAAAUAAUCAAUCAUCUAACCUUUGGAGUUUUUCCAAAAAUUGAGUUUUUAUUUAUUUAUUUUAUUACUUAGUCUAACACUAAUCUAACUCCCUCCACAUUACAGAAUUUAAACUCUAAAUCUCUUAUGAUAUAGGACAUUAUUUUAGAAUUAUAAGAUUUUUAUUAUUUUAAUUAGAAUUAACUAUGGUAUGUGUUUAGUUUUUUAUUUCUAUUAUAAUUGUGAUUUACUUCCCUUUUUAGUUAACUUAAGAAAGUAGGUUUACUCUAUUAUAAAUAGAGAAGUCCUGUUAUUGUAACUUUAACAUUUGAUCAAUUAAUAAAAUUCCUCUUUAUAAUUCCCUGUAGAAUUAUCUAUCAAAAAUCUCUCUUGCAAUGAUGGAACUUGGUAUCUGGUGAAGUCGCACAACUUGAGCCAUAAAAACCUUGGCCACUGUCAGAGUUGCAUAUGGAUGUUUCAAAGCAACGAAGUGUGCAUAUUUUGACAGACGAUCCACGACAACCAUGAUGACAGUGUAUCCUUGUGAUGUUGGAAGCCCAUCUAUAAAAUCCAUAGAAAUUGAGGUCCCGAUUUUGUCUGGAAUCUAUAAAGGUUGAAGAAGUCCUGCUGGCUAGAGAUUCUGUACGUUACAUUAUUGACAAACUUCCCAGUGCCUUAUGAAUUUCUUGAUCUUUGCACGUUACUACACCAUUCAUUAUUGGCUUUUCGUAAUUUUACUAAAUAAUAAUGUCAGGCCAAACAUGAAAGAGUUUCAACAUUCAAUUAAUUUGAAAACUCAAUACGAAACUCAAAAUUGCUAAAAUAAUACUUAAUUCAUAUCCUUAAUAAUAUAAGAUAAUUCAAUUAUCAUGUAAAACCAUAUGCAAAUGUUGAAAAUUGGACUACAGUUUGAAAUAUCAUGUGAUAUAUCUCAUUUGACCUUAGAUUAAUGUAUCAAGUGCCCAUAAAAUAUGGUUUACUUUAUUAGUCUACAAAUUAGCUUUUAUUAAUAUUUAAUUUCACAUAUCAAUUCAUAAUACAUUAUGGUAAUUACGACUUUAAUUUCCCACCUAUUAAUAAAUAUGGGUAAAUAGAAGUACUGAAUAUGUGUGUGUGUGUCCAUUACUUUAUAUAUAUAUAUAUAUAUAUAUAUAUAUAUAUAUAUAUAUAUAUAUAUAUAAAGCUGGAACUAGAAGAGGUGAUGUGGCAAAACUAUUUCUCAUCUUCUUAUAUUCUUUAUUAUUUAAUAAAUUUGUUGAGAUUAAAAAAUAAUUAUAUUACAAAAUAUUAAAAAUAAAAAAUAAUUAUUAGAUUACAAAAGAUUACAAAAUGUAUCAUUUUUCCUCCAUCUAAAUUUCGUGACAGAAGUUAACAGAAUAUUAACAAAAUAACAAUUUUACCCCCUGUAAAAUUACUAUUUCACCCUAAUUAAAUGAAAAAAAAUUAAAUUACUUCAAAAUUUCUUUGCAAUUUAGACAUUAGAUAUUAAGUUAAACAAAAUAAUUUGGAAUAUUUUUACCUUUUUUUUCUCUCUUUCUAUCGUGUUUAAAUGACGUUGAUUUUUGCUACGAAGGUGAAAUGACAACCUAUGACAUCAACAAGGUUAUAACAAAAUGCAAAUGUAAGUGAAAAAGUGCAAAAAAAUGUAACUUUUAAGAAAAAUCAACAAAAAAAUGUGUAUUUUUGAAAAAAUAAAAAAGAAUGGGUGGUCGGUGGAUACUUUCUCUUGAAAAUAUUCAAGAGACAACCACUUAAGUGAUGACUCUUUUCAGCUGCUCAUGCAAUCUCGACAAAUUAAGAUAAUUAAGUAUAUUCAUUGAUAAAGCUCAGCGAAAGUCUAAACAAACUAUGUGACUUUAGGUCAUAAAAGCACAGGCAACAUGCAUUACAGGGGAAGAAUUUGAUUCUAAGUAGAGAGAGCAAUAUACUAAGAGAAGAGAAAUAUAGUAAUUAGAGUAUCUCCUUAUUAUUAUUGAAGGUCCCUCAACUUGUGCGCCAUACAUUUUGAGUGUGGUCCCUUUUUCUAUAUUUUCCUAAUUUAUUUUUCCACAACUUUCUUUUUCGUGUAUCUUUUUACAGGCAUUCUUAUCUAGAAUCAUCGAGAAAAUGUAAUACUUUUUUUUUCUAGCAUCUUGUUACUUUAAAAAAGGAUAUUAUCAUUUUACUACAAAAGUUUUACUGACAUCUCAUGUUAGUACCAAAGUUUGCCGAAAAGUAUAUUUUACUACCAAAGUUUUGCGUCGUUAUCAAUUCACUAUCAUUCCGUUAAGAAAAAGUUAAUAUUUAACAGAAAUGGAGUUAAAAGUAGAUUUUAUUUCCAAGAGUUUGGUAGUAAAAUGAUAAUUUUCCAUAAAAAUUCAUUAGUAAAAUGAUAAUUUCCCUAAAAACUUGGUAGUAAAAUGAUAAUUUAUUUAUAAAAUUAACAGACAAUUUUACUAUUACAGCUGCAAAUGUUUUUGAUGCCCUUAUGAUAUCAACAAAUUUUUAACAUUGUUAACGAAAUGGUUGUGAAUUGAUAACGAUGCAAAACUUUAGUAAUAAAAUGUAUUUUUCGACAAAUCUUGGUACUGAUGUGAUAUGUCUGUAAAACUUUGAUAGUAAAAUGAUAAUCUCCCUUUUAAAAAAGAUGUGGACUCAAUUUUUUAAAUCUAUUGGAGAGUAAAUAUCAAGAGUCACAGCAAUACUCGCACUAUACCUAAUGAGACAGCGAAAGUGGAAAAAAAAUGAUUGAGUAAAAUUGGUUAAUUUGAAAGAGAAUUUUGUAGAACAGUGAAGGUCAGAACUGAUAAAGAUGUAGGUUAUUUAACGAGGUGAAAAAAAAAUGCAAAAUGAUAGGUGAGAUUUGGGAGAAAAAUGAAAUUACUUUGUUAUUAACUUGAUCGUGUUAAGAAAAAUAAAUAAAAGAUAAUUGUGGGUCUGUUACCCCACCCGCCUCAACCCUGUAUCCGCACUUGCCGACAGAAGCAACGGCACGAUCUCCAAAGAUCAUGCUUGCAGAAUCUCAUUUGCGGCUCGUUUAUAACAUUUGUUGGGUAAAAACCUCCCCUGAGGUUUGGGUUUGUUGCAAGUAGAUGGCGAGAAUUGGUUUAUUUGUAAAAAAUCUCCUACCAUAAGUUAAUUUUAACAUUGACCGUUAGUUGACUGUGCAAAGACAAUAUUACCCUUAAUAAUAAUUUGUAGACGGAAAUAACUAAAAAAAAACCAAAAUUGUUGGCUAUUUUACCCUCUUUAAAUUAUUGAUAUUUUCUUAAAGUUCCUACAAAAAAGAUAAAAUUAAAAAUUUGAAAAAUCCUCUUUAAAUUAUUGAUAUUUCCUUAAAGUUACUACAAGAAAGAUAAAAUUAAAAACUUAAAAAUGAAAUAGUCAUAAUCUUUACUUAUGAUAUUGUAAAUCUUUGGAAUUAACAAGGAUAAAAUUGUCAAAAAAUAGGGUUUGUGCUUUUCGCGCCAACAAUUUUAGUUUUUUUUUUAGUUAUGUCAGUUUACAAACUAUUGUUAAGGGUAAUAUUGUCUUUGCACAGUCAACUAACGAUCAAUGUUAAAAUUAACUGACGAUAGAGAGUUUUUUAUAAAUAAACAGAUUCUCGCUAUCUACUUACAACAAGCCCAAACCUCAAGGGAGGUUUUUAAAAAUUACCCAACAUAUGUUAUGUAAUAUGAAGCAUUUUUGCUUUCCUAGUCAGUCACCAUCCUGUCUCGUGGCAUCGUUUCGUAGCAGCCUGCAAAUUCUUUUAAAAUUUUAAAAAUGUAAAAUUACUUUGUGAAGUAGGGGCUGAUGUGGCUUAUUCUGACCCUUAAUUCGCAGACGAGUUUGUGUUGCAAAUUAGUGGGGUAAUGCUCUGUUACAUACAUUAAUAUAAGAAUAUUGCUACAAAUAGAUUUAAGUAUGGCUUAGUUCUGAAAUUGUUUUAAAUUGGUAGGUGUACUUUUUAUGUUACAUAUAAUGCAAGAUAGUCUUAUGCCAAAUUAGUGAUUCAACACUGUGUGAUCGACUAGAUAUAGAUUCUUCGGGCUGUUCGGUCCUCUAAUAUUUGUUUUUCAAUGUGAUAUAUGUUCAGCGGACAUUUUUCAACGCCAUGUAUUGUGAAAUACAAAAGCGGAGCUCACUUUAUAGUAAUAAAUUAUAAAAUUUAUGGUUAUGUUAGAAUAGAUUUAUUAUUCUUCGGGCUGUUCGGUCCUCUAAUAAUAGAGUAUGAAUCUCAUCUAUACACAUAAAGUAAUAAAUAAUAAAAAAUUUAUUAUAAUUUUAAUUAUAUAAUUAUAAUUAUAAUUAUAAAUAAAUAUUUUAUCAUAGUGAAAUUUCAACAUAAUCGAACCCAAUUACAAAACAAGUUUAGCAUGUUUUGGUUAUUCCACAAAAUAAAUUAUAAAAUAAUUUCUGAAACAAAUUCCAGACAUUUCUCAACAUGUAAUAAUUGUACUUUUAUCUACUUUUUUCUUGGUCCCACCUACUUUUUCCUCUAUCAUCUCCUUAGCGUUUCUCUUUCUACUUUCUCUGAUAUCUCUUUGCCAUUAUUCAUCUUUCGUCCUCAUAUCUCAUUCUCUUAACCAACUUUUCGGAUUUUCUUUUCUAAUUUUUCAUUCUUUUUUUAAUAUUAUCUUUUAGGUUCAUCUGACACUCUCUCAUAAAGAGAAUCAAGCCUCAAUUCCAAGUUAAAUUUUCUCAUCACUCCCUCUUUUUUCUGUUUUGCGUGUAUUAUUUCUAUGUUUUUUUAAACUCUCUUUGUAUUUCUUUUCAAUCCUUAAAAGUCUUAAUGGGAAAUAUAUGAAUGCAAGAGGAAUUCACAAGGUCUAAAUGAACUGAAUGAUAUGUUUCUUAAUAGAGAUAUUAUCAAAUAUUCACUAAAAUUUUUUUUACAUAUCGAUUUAUCUUUAAUAUUUUUUUGAUAAAUAUAUUUUACCGUCUAAUAUUUUUGUUAUUAUCAUUUCACUAAAAUUUUAACAAUGUUAAAAAUUUAUUGAAAUCACAUUAGUAUUUAAGAAAUUUUAAAAUGACAUUAUUUUCCCAUUGUUAUAGUUCUUUUUCAAAUUUUGAUUUUCUUUUCUAAACAUCCGAUUUAGGGUCUUUUUUUAUUUUCCUUAUUUUAUUUAGUAAAAUUUUAUUAUAUUGAAAUAUUCCCAUAAUAGAAUUUUAAGUUUUCUAAGAAAGUGAUAGUAAUUAAUUUUUUUUUUGCAUCCGUAAACAAACUAAUUUAUGAUUUUUUUUUCACUUGUACAAACAAAUUUCACCAUAUUAGCCCAAUUAUAAUUAAAUCAAUUAAAUAUAGUAAUAUAAAUUAUAUGAAUUAUUUUGGGGGUUUAAUUAUAAUUGAGCUUAACAUGACAAAAUUUAUUUGUACAAGUGAAAAUAAUAUCAUGAACUAUUUUGUUUAUAGAUACAUAAAACUUUUCAAUUACCGUUAGUCUAUUAAAAAAAUCUAGAAUUCUAUUUUGGAAUACUUUAAUAUAAUAAAAUUCUAAUAACUGAAAUAAAAAAAAACCAAAAAUAGCUCAUAAAUCAGAUGUGUAGGGAAAAAGAUAAAAGUUUGUAAAAGAAUUAAGAAAAUAAAAAAAUAACUUCAGCUUGAAAUUUCUAAAGUACUUUUGUAAUCUCAGCAAAUGUUAAGAUUUUAGUGGUAAAAUUAUAACAGUCAAAACAUUUGGUUACAAGAUAUAAUUGUCAAAAAACUUUUACGGUGAAUUGAUAAAUCAUAAAAUUUCUAGUGAGUAUUUAGUAAUAUCCCUUAUUAAUAAGUACAGCUCUUUAAUUAGUAUUCUCCUAUUAAAAGUAGUUUCAUUUUUUUUUAUUCAAACAAAUAUUAUUAUAUAUGAUAGGACUUCACUGUGGCUUGUGGUGUGAUUAUACAUGUAAUACAUGAAUAGAUAAUUAUUUUUUUCAAAACAUGCAUGCGUUCUAAUUUUUUUUGUAAUUAUUUAAAAGUUUAAUUUUUAAUUAAGGAGUUCAAACCAAUUAAUCUUAUAUUAAUUUUGUUAUAUUAACAUUUUAACUACAAUUAUAGUUUUAUUGUUUAGUAAAAAUUAUUUAUGAAAAUAGUGCUAUCAAAUAUAUAUCUAUUAUAUGUUAAAAAAAACGUAAUCAUUAUUAUACAAAUUCAAAUCUUGAGUGAAUUAUAAUAGUUUAUUAAUUUUUUAUGGUCAAGUGAAUUGUAUAUAAAUCGAUCAUUAUAUUUAUUAUGAAUCUAUUAGACUUUAAACAUAACAGAUAUAGUCAUUUCUUAUAAAAUUUUGUUCAACCUUACGUGAAAAAGCAUUUAUCAUCAUAAAUUUAAUAAAGAAAAGACAAAGCUAAAAUAAAAAAUAUUUUUUUUUAAAUUUCAUAGAACUGGCUAAAAAUUUCUAAGGUACUACUCACUUGUGUUAAUAGCAGUAGACGAAAAAUUAAAUUGGUUAAAUGUAUUGGCCAUUUCAGUAAAUCUAUGAAUGCAAAUUUUUUUUUUGUUUUUUUUUUUAAUGUAAGUAGUGAAAAUGGAUUAAAAAUAUGGCAAACACUAACUUACAGCUGCUGUGAAGCACACACAAAAUGACAAAAUUAUGCGUGAACAGUAAUAAAUGAUGGGUCCCGCAUAAUUUGUGUGUGCUGUAACUUACAGCCGGCUGUAAGUUAGCAGCUCCCUAAAAAUAUUUUAUCACAUGGUUCACACGUCUGACCAUUUUGGUGCGCUGUGCAAGCUCGUCACUCUAUGUCUCUAUGAAGCUACCGGCACAGCAGCUCUUUUACCCAUCUAUCCUCAACUACGUUUGCUUUACACCAAGUAUUUUUCCCAAAAUGCCCUCGUCUCCCACCAGGCGGAAGCCGCGGAACUGCCUAUGGAUUCCGAUUCUCCUGUGCCUAUUCAACGAACUUUCUUUCGCUGAAGCCGAGUCAUCGACGAUUCUUCUACCGAGUCAACAGCACAAUGCUGACUCAGUGAGUACUACCUUCUCUGCUCAUUGUCCUGCUCCCGAUCCGAGUUUGAAUUACCGGCCGGUAAUCGGUAUUCUAAGUCAUCCGGGCGACGGCGCUUCGGGGAGGCUGAGUAACGCCACCAACGCGUCUUAUAUCGCCGCGUCGUACGUGAAGUUCGUUGAAUCAGGAGGCGCUCGUGUCAUCCCUCUCAUUUUCAAUGAACCUGAAGAGAUUCUUUUUGAGGUAAAUGAAAAAAUAAUUAUAUAAUUUAAUGUUUUGUCUUCUUAAAUUUGUUAUUAAUUGUCGUUAAUUAGUUGAGUUAAUCUGUUGCGUUAUGUUGUAUUGUGUUGCGUGUUGCAGAAGCUUGAAUUGGUGAACGGUAUACUGUAUCCUGGCGGUUGGGCUAAAAACGGUUUGUACUACGAUAUUGUUGAAAAAAUUUUCAAGGUAAAUUAUAUUAAAUGUUGUUAUAUUUAUUAGAGAGUAAUGCAUGAUUUAUGUGGCAGAAGCAUGAAUGUGUACAUUUUUUCAAGUGUGCAGAAGCAUGCGUGUUAGCAUUUUUGUGUCAAGCACGUUAAUGGUGUAUUUUCUUAUGUGUCUUGAAAUUUCGUACUUAGUACAAGCUUCUUAUUUUCUCCGAUUUUGCAGAAAAUUUUAGAGAAGAAUGAUGCGGGCGAUCAUUUUCCAGUAUAUGCCAUUUGCUUAGGCUUUGAACUUUUAUCAAUGAUCGUUAGCGAGGUAAUUUCUCACCCUUAACCCGUUUUGAUUUUCUGGUUGGUUGGCAUAGCUUUCCAAUUUUGUGUCUGAUUAACUUGUGCUCAUUUUAGCCUUGAAACAUGUUUUGUUCGUCUCUUGAUUAAUAUCCUGCUGUUCAAUUUCAAUUUGGAUUUUGUAUGCAUAUUAGUGUGUGUGCUUCUUAUGGCUUUACUGUAUGCUUUUAGUUUGUCUCUUGCGUUAGAAAAAUGUCUUUUACUGCUUACAACUAUUAUAAUAUGAUGGUACUCUUUCCGGCAAUGCUGAUUGCUUUUGCUGUUCAUUAUUUUUAUUUUUACUUUUUUCUCUUCCUCAACAAUAGGACAGAAACAUUCUGGAAACAUUUGAUGGAGCAAAUCAGGCAUCUACCCUCCAAUUUGUCAAAAACAUUAAUAUUGAAGGAACAUUGUUCCAAAGGUACAUAGUUUUCAUUGGUCUUUAAUUGAUUUUAAUGUUGUUACAAUUAAUGAUGCUAGGAGCCUCUUCACAUCUAACUUUCUGAGCAUGCUUACCAUUUUUUGAUUUUCAAACACUUUGACUCAAUAUUGAUAAUGAACCCGUACACAAGAUUCAAAAGUUUCUGGACAGUCUUGUCAUGAGUAGGAAAAAGAUUCCAAGCUGUCUUUAACAUUUUUUGCAGCUUAAUCCAGAUUGUUUUAUUUUCUUCUGGUAAUAAGCUUCCAGAAUGACAUGAUUUCGCAACGUGAUAGUCGUGCGCAUUUUGCAGAUUUCCCCCGGAGCUGCUUAAGAAGUUGAGUACGGAUUGCCUGGUUAUGCAAAACCACCAUGUAAGAAAAUUGUGCUUCAUGUAUGGUUAACUUGCUUUUCAUUUGUGUACCUAGAUUCAAUUUCUUAAAAAUAUGUUAAACUUUAUGUUCUAAAACAACCAUCUUUUUAUUGUUAGAUUCAAUUCUCAGUUUUAAUUUCCCUCAUCUUCUGUAAUAAUGCUAGUCACUCAUGAAUAUCUAGCUCAAUGGAAGUGUUGGGUCUAAUAAGCGGGCUUUUUUGGUAAUCCUGCUUUGUCGUGAGCCUCUUUGAUUCAUGGAAGAAUUCCAUUGAUAUGGACUUCUUGUACAAUUGAUUCCUUAGAUCAGUGCACUUCAAUUUUGGGAGACAAUGGACUCUAAAAAUGUUUAGAUUUAUUAAAUUAUUACGGAUGAUUGAGUAAAUAAUUUGGUUGAUCUGAAAUUUUAUGUGUUGUACCAUUACAACAGUAUGGCAUUUCACCUGAAAGAAUGCAAGCAAACCAGGAGCUAGCUAAGUUUUUUAAGAUCUUGACAACAAGCAUGGAUGAAUAUAAUAAGGUGCAAAAGUAAAUAUUCCUUUGUUGAAUUUAUUUUAUAUAUAAACACAGACUCAGGAUAUAUGCCUGAAUGCUUGAUAUUUUAAUGGCAAUUUAUCCAGUGUUAUCAAUUCUAACUUCUGUUAUUAAUGAUUAUCAGGUCUAUGUCUCGACAGUGCAAGCUUAUAACUAUCCUGUGACCGCCUUCCAAUGGCAUCCAGAGGUAUUAACUUCAAUGCUCUUAACAGUGAUUUUAGCUGCACCUCAUUUACAAAAUCGAUAAGCUUAAUAUGGCAGACUGAUCUGGUUAAUCAAACCUUUUGAGCAACAUUUGUGUGCUAAACUCUAGAUGUUUGUGAUGUUGUGGACAAGCUGUCUGGCAACACUAUUUACUUCUCUCAAGAUUAUUUGAUUUCAGGCCAAGCUACAUUUUUUUAUUUGGUAUUCAUGUCAAGUGUUACAUCUUUCUGGUCAAGCUCUGUUUCUGUGUGGUUCUAUGAGAAAAUAUUUUUUUGUAUUCAUCGUGUUUCUCCAAGUCAGGUAUUUCCUAAACAAAUUUCUUAGUAAUGCAACUGAUUCUGUUUAGAGGAAAAGACUGACCAAAUAUGCUGCAGAAAAAUGCUUUUGAAUGGGGGCCAAAAGCAAUUCCACACACAGAGGAUGCCAUUCGGGUGACUCAACAAGCUGCAAACUUUUUUAUAAGGUCAGUUCUUGUUACCUGCAUGAUUGUUUAUGUUACGAAUUUCAUUGUUAAGCAAGUGCUGGAAUUUCAUUGAUAGUUCUUCUAUUAUUUUCUUUUCUUAAUGCCAUAUUUUAUUAAUAUAUAUGAAGGAAAAAUAGAAAUAAAUAAUAAUAUAUUGUCAUUCGCUUUGGUUAUUUAAUAAUCUUGUCUUGUUAACAAAUACCAUUAGCAUACUUACAUAUAUGGACAAUUGAAUAUGCAAACGAAUUUAUAGUAAAUUACAUUAAUAGUUGUGUUCAUAUCACUUUGAUGACCAAAACUGAUUAGGAACACCACGUGGUUAAUUAUGGGGUUAUCUGUUCAGUAAAAGAAAUUCAAAUUAGGCCUCUACUUUUGAAUGUACUCAAACAGUAAAAUAAUUAAAGAGACUGAGGCUAAUAAUAUCAAACUCUACAUCUUUGCUGCAGCGAGGCUAGGAAGUCAUCAAACAGGCCACCUGCUCGAAAAGUACUUGACAACCUCAUUUACAAUUACAGUCCCACCUACUGCGGGAAGGCUGGGUAAGCCAAUAGUGUCUUUUCUCAGCACUAGUUCAACAUCCAUAUUCCACGUGAAUUUCUUGACUUGAUUGUUAUGUAUAUUGUCUUCACUGCAGGAAGGGAUACGAUGAGGUUUACAUCUUUACCUAACUUCGAUCAGUAAUUCUGAGAAGGUUGCCAGUUGUAAGUUGUUGGAAAUAUAGCAAGUGAUGUUAUUGUAACAAACUAUGUUAUUGUUGUAACGAACUUUGCUGUAUCGUAUGAAGCUUAUCUUGGGUUUGUUUUUAUACCUUCCUGUCAGACAGUUUGCAGAUAGUUACAUCAAAUGCCAACAGUUUCAUGUUAUUCCCAUCCAAAUAACAAUGAGAUACUUUGACAUGUCAUGGAAGAAGAUGGAUUCAUCAAGGAACUAAGUAUUACAAAAUCAGAAGACUAUGUCUACUUCAUCAAGAAAAAGUUGCUUUAACUCAGUUGGAUUGAGGACCAACGCUUCCAAAUGUAUUGUUUGAAGUGUCAAGAAUUGUGAGAGAUGUCAAAAUGAAACUAGUUUGGACAAACGGGAGAUUUCAAAUGGAAGCUAACCAUCGAAUUAGGGAGAAGGCUGAAACCUGAAGACAUUUGAGAGUAAUCAAAGCUGUUGAAAUUCAGGGAUUAAUCGACUAACUUCAUUUCAUUUAAACCUUGACAUAUUAAUCGACUAACUUCAUUUCAUUUAAACCUUGACAUAAAAUUUACUGUUAACAACUAGAGCGUGUAACUUGAUGAGAGUAGGAUGCUUGAAGUUCGUAAUGGAGGAUGAUGAAAACAGAGAAACCCAGGAGGAACAGAGUCUCUCCGACAUAUUUUUUAAAGAAGCAUGCAUUUCCAAGAUAUCAAUUUGUAACUUGCACUACACUUUUGACAAAAUUAUAGAAUGGCUUUGUACUACUUGCAUUUGCCUACACUGAAUUAAUUUCGUCUGCCUUCAAGUUUCUUAUUCUGUCUUCUCACCUUUCUAUGGUUUUUUCCAUCAACUAUGCCCAUAAUCCAUUGAGGGUUUCCAGUGGAAAGUAAAAUGUAUCCCAAGAUCAUUCCAAACACAGUUCCGCAUACGUAACCCAUCAACACAACUUUCCAACCAAAUCCAGUUUCAGACUCUGAAUCAUCUUCUAACACCGAGGAUGAUUGCGGCGGCUCAUCAUUGCUGCAAUUUUUCGACAGUGGAAAUCCGCAUAAUCCCAAGUUUCCACCAUACGAAUCACUCGAAAAGGUAGCAAAUUGGUUGCCUUCAGGUAUACGUCCCUCGAGUUUGUUUCGCGAAAGGUUCAGAACUGCCAGAAAUGUCAGUCUUGUUAACUCCCUUGGAAUUACCCCAUCAAGCACGUUCGAAGAGAGGUCUAAGGACUCUAGAUCCGUCAAAUCUCCCAAUGAUGAAGGGAUGUUGCCUGAUAGAAUGUUUUGAGAAAGAUUCAGGAGCCGGAGUGAAUGAAGCUUCCCCAUUAGUUCAGGAAUUUCUCCGUGAAAGCUGUUCUUUGAAAGAUCAAUGGUAGUGAAAAUAGUAAGAAUCUUCAUUAGUUUCACCUCCUACCGCUUUAUUAUCAGCGUCACAGAAUCUUCAUAGUAAGUUUUCCCCAUGUACUUCGACUUGUUUUCAUCUGCUACUUCACCAAUAUCCGUCAUGGCUUUCAUAUUUUUAAAGAACAUUGCUGGAAGAGAGCCAGUAAAGUUGUUGUUCGAGAGAUCAAGGAUUCUCAACUUAGAGAAAUAAUAAUCAGCCUCAUAAUCCCUUAAAUGACCGUAAAACUUAUUCGAACGUAGAAUAAGAACCUGAAGCUCCCGAAGUGUUCCUAGCCAAUGUGGGAACGUAUCCUUCAUCUUGUUGUUGCCGAGAUCAAGAACUUGAAGAUUAGCACAAUUGAGCAAAGAUCUUGGGACUGAACCUACAAGUUCAUUGCCAUUGAAGUUAAGAGUCGUCAAAUUAUUGCCCUUUGGAAAUGUUUCAGGAAUUGUGCCAUGGAAUCUAUUCUUCCUCAAAUCCAACACUCGCAGACUUUUGCUAAAGUUUCCAAUGCACUCUGGAAUGGUGCCACUCAAGCUGUUGUUAGAUAGAUCAAGAAUUUCAAUGGUGCUUGUGUUGCAGAUCAAACGAGGUAUCUCUCCAAUGAACUUAUUGUUUGAGAUAAAAAAGACUCUCAUAUUAGAUGAUGGAAUUGGAACCGGUCCUUGAAGCAAGUUGGACCGAAGGUCAAGAUAUUCAAGAUUCUUCCAUGGAAGUUUCUUAUUGCCUACAAAACAAAUUUUCGGAUGAUUGAUAAAAUAUGCGCAGUUAAUUGACUAAGCUAUAUAAUACUGAUGCCGACUGCCCACUGCCCAAAAUAUUGCAAACUAUUAGAGAAAUCGAUUGAUCCAAAAACUUAAAGCUGAUAGGUAAAGACCCAACAAUCGUAUAAAAGAUAAAUGUUUAAAUAAAGAAUAUCAAGUGAAAAAAAAAUUUUACAAUGACUGAAAAUAUGUCCGUAUCCAUAAUGGCGGAUCUAAAAAAAUAAUUUACCGGGGGCUAAAUUAGAUAAUAAUAAAAUAUAAAAAAUUAAAAUUUUGAAUAUAUAAAAUAUUUAUAAUUAGUCUCUACGCAUUUUUAUAUUUUAAAAAUGUUAUGCAAUAGACUUAUUAUCAAUAUUAUUAAAUUUAUUGUUUCUUAUAUAGACAACCAAAUUAUCACUUAUCUCAUCUGAUUCCAAAGAUUAUCAUUCAUGAGUUUUAUUACUGAAAAUGUUCGUUCUACUAUUAUUAUAUAAAUUAGAAGAAUUAACUAUAUUUUUAGAAUAUAAAAUAUUUUGAGUAGUGGGCUAUCAUUAUUUUUAAUUAAAAUAUAUAUUUUUAUAUUUUUUUAAAGUCAAAGUUUAAAUUUUAUGGGUUUUACAUUUUAUAGUGAUUAUUUUAAUAAAUUUAAUGGGGUUAAUUAAAAAAUUAAAAAAAAAUCUUUUAUUUUUAAUUUUUUUUUUUGGCCAGUGGGGGCUCAAGCCCCCACUAGUCAUGUGCUGCAUCCGCCUCUGCGUAUCCAGAUGGUUAUAUUCUAUUGGUUUCAGAUUAUAAAAAAUAACAAAAAGCUCAUAAUUCACACAAAAGUUUGAAAACUGAAAAUUUUAUAUAGCUGGACCUACAUAUGCUCUAUAGACUUCAAUUCAAAUAUGAAUUCUGGGCUUCAAAGUUAAUGAAACAAGAAAUAAAUAAAAUCUCAAAAUAAUCAACUAACUAGCGGAAUGAAACAAGCCGAAUGAUCCCUUCAAAAUACUAUUACUAAAAGCUCAAAUUAAACAAACGAAACUCUUAAAAGAAUGAAGGAAAUAAGAAACUAUAUAUUUUACCUAACAACUUUGGCCCAUCAGACGCUUCAAAUUCAGCAGCAGAUGCAUAAUCUUUGAGCGUAUUUCUCGGGUGGCUCUGAAGACCGUGGACAACACAAGUGCUUCCGGCAAGUAAUUCGAGAAACAGAAGAACAUAAACAAAAGAACUAAUACUACUCAUGGCUGCUUUCACUGCUGUGCAGGUAACAAUAUUCUUUUGUUCACGUGUGCACUGUAUCAAGCACUCUGAAAUGCUCUCCAUAACUCGUUUGCCCAUUAUCUUGACUGUCUUUACUUAUACGCGCUGGCGGAUCUAGACAAAUAAAUUGGGGGUUUAAUUAAAAAAAAUAUUUAAUUUGGAGUGCUCCACCUAAAUAUUCAUUUGAACACGUUUUAAGUUCUAAUGACUCAAAUUUCAUUAUUUUUUUAAAAAAUUUAAAUAAUAAUUAUAAUAAAUUAUUUAUUUUAUAUGCAUGAAAGUAUUCUUUUUUCUAAAUAGUUUCCACAACAUAUUUUAAAAAAUAAAAUAAUAUAGCUAUAGGAAUUUGAAUCAAGACUCCAAAACCAUAAUAACACUCUUACUACUAAACUAUAAAUUUUUUGUUAUAAAAAAAUAUAUUUAAUUUUUUAAAAAAAGACUUAAGAUACAUUUUUAAAAAAAUCAAUAGCCCAGAGGCCAGAAGGCUUGAGUCUUGGCUGGGUCCGCCGAUGCUUAUACGGCAUGAUUCAUGAAUAAAAUUUCCACUCAACUCACAAGGAAAAGUCACCAUGACCUAUUGCUUUGUUUCAUGACUUUCAAUGAGAGAUUUUUGAAGUUUCAAUUUUCUAAAUUCUAAUAUUCUAAAUACCAAAAAAAAAAAAAAAAAAAUCUUUUCGUUGAAUUAAGUUUGCGCUCUCAAUCGAAAUUCGUCGUCUAGGACAUUGACAUGUGGUGAAUAAGAAAAUAAUGAUUUUGCGUCAUUUUUUCCAAGUAAACGUAGACGAAGACAAAAAAAAGACUGGAGAUGGUCUUUGCUUGACUUCAUCAAACGUAUCAUAUACGCAAAACUCAUUUAUUCUUUAUGAAAUGCUUGUUUACCGGAAAAUAAAUAAAUGCUUGUGAUAUUAAUGAUCUUCCUUAUUUUUUUUUUUAAAUAAACUUAAGCAUAUUGUUAGACAGUAAAAUCUCUUUAUAGUUAUAAUGUUGUAACCAAUCUAAUUUUAUUACAAGGAGAUUAUAUUUUAGUAGAAUUUUAGUUAUAAAAAUUUUUAUUUUGACUUAGUUAUGUUUAAUGCAAGAAAUAUUAAGGUAAAUACAAUUAAUAAUUAAUUAAUAGACCUUCUCUAUUUCAAGUGAAGUGGAUAAGGAGAAUCAAAAAGUUACUGUAGAAUUAGGAGAUCAGAUUCGACAACUUCACUAUGCUAAUCGAAUAGAUAUUGUAUCUGUGACGCCCGCCAUGAGCAUCAUGGUCGCGUAGGUGUGACGGGUCUGGCGCGCGUCCCGAUGGCGGAUAAGAAGCAAAAGGAGAUGAUCCCGAGUAUGAUAGCAUGGAAAUACAAAAAAGUUUUAUGGCAUAAAGCUCUAAACAUGCUUAAGAAGUCAGAAAUAUUUUGACUUUAAUAAGAAGAUGUCCACACUAGCGAGUUAUUAUUGGCCCGCAAGUUCAAAGAUUUCAUAAUAACUCUAAAGAAUAAAUGAUUAUUCCUAACAAUUUUUAAAAAUAAUUAUUCCAUGUUAAACUUUUAAUGUAACAUUGCAGAUUAUUUUUUACAAUAUAGAAAUAAUUAUUGCCAUUUAUAUGCAAGUUACUUAAAACAAGACCUAGAAAACUUAUAAUAAUGUAGAGUUUAUUCUUAUGUAUAACUUACUCAAAUUGGGAUUAAAAUCUUUUAUGAUUACAUGAAAGUUAUUCCAAUAUACAAUUACACUAUAGAAAGAUGUUACUAUAACUAUAUAAGUGAGAUUUGAACCCAGACUUUGUGUAUUAAUCCAAAAAGUUUUAUCAACUACGGGGUCAUUUUUUUUUUACUUAAUGACUUAACUAAUUACAAUUUACCAAGUCUUUAUUAAAUUCUUUAGCAAGCCUAGCAACACAUACAUCUAAAGGCUUGGGUACAAACACAGUAAAGCCAUUAUUAUGGAUUGAGGCUUCAACCUUGGAACUGACAUUCAGUUUUGAAUUAUUAGCGGCAGAAAGUCUUUCUUUUGUUUUUUCAUGAAAUCUUUUGGGGACGAUGUCUUCUCUAAUGCAAUUUAAAUCGGCGCCAGUAUCAAAAAGGGCAAUGACGUCCAUUGCAAAAUCAUCAGAAAAGAUUAAAGUGACUUUAAUCAAAUACUUUCUUGUGGUGAUUUGCUUUAAAAUAAAUAGAAAAUCAUUGGGUACUGACUCAAUAUUUUCUACUUUAAUAUCAUCACCAUCAUCAGGAUUAGAUUCAUUGUCUGAAUUAUCCUGCAAUUGUUUUUGUAAAAGAAGUUGGAUAGUAUCAGAAUCACUUUUUUGUUUUUCUUUUAAAUCUCUGAUUUCACAUUUGAUUUCUUUUAUCUCUUUCUGAAGAUCUUGGAUAUUAGGAACCGUCUUCUUAGUUUUCUUUUUAUCCAAAAUUUGAGUAAGAUCAUAAGAAUUCUUUUUAACAAUUGGGACUUUAGAAGUCUCGGCUUUAUUAAAAUCCAAAAUUUUCAAAAGUUUAUCAAGAUAUUCUUUUUGAAGAUUUGGAUCAGAAAUAUGCUUUACAAGUUCAAGAAAAGUUUCUUGGUCUUUAGUCAAAACAUUGAUUUUCUUUAAAUAUGAAUCAGAUUCAGAUUCACUACUACUAGAUACAGAGUCAUCUGAAUCAAAAAGCUCAUAAAAAAGCUCAAGCAUUCCUUCAUCAACUUUAGAUUAAGUAGAUUUGCUUUGGAUCGCGGUUGGUCAAGUUUUAUAUUUAUUAAAUUAGUACGUGGCGUUGUUAAACCAGAUCGAUGCAGAAGGGAAUCUGCCUUUGGACCCAGAUCUGACUUAGAACAGAUCAAUAGCUCGCACGUUCGGGUUUCCAGCCGAUAUACCAACUUAAUUUUGCUUUACCAAAUAAUAAUUAAGUUCUUUAAACGCGGUUGACUUUUUAUGGACUGAAAAGGGUGAUUUAUAACAGAGGGUAUUUUUGUAAAUUUCCUUUCUAAUGAAGGAAUGCUUGAGCACGACGCUUUAUCAGAAAAUCUGGAUGAGGUAGAUCUCCUGAAUGAUAGUUUGACUUUACCAUCGGAAUACUGAGUCACAUUUUGCAACUCUGUAUUGGGCUCAAGUUGUUUCGGAAUCGCUGGUGGAGCGGCUCCUUCAAGGAUCCAUUCCUCUGGAAGAUUGACAUCCUUCCAUUGGAUUAAUUUAGGAAUGACCGUGUUUGCUUUGGACAAAUCAGUCUGCAAGAGAAGGGUCUCAUCUCUUUUCGACUGGUAUUUAUGCUGUGUGCUAAAUGCAGAAAUCAUGGCUUUGUAAGAAAUUUUAAAAAUUAAUGCAACUGGGAUGGAUCCCUUAAUCAUAUGAUAAUUAUGGGUUUUGAUUUGUAAAAUCAUGCUCUUUAGAAUAUUUUUGUCUUUAAGAGAAAUUGUUAUAUUUGGAUAACAAUCAAAAGAUAUGGGACCUUUACAUAGACUAGAUUCGAUACUACUUAGUAAAGAAUCAUCAAAAGAGAUGAAUCACCCAUCUCUAAGGACAGCAAGGAUAGAAGUAUCCAAGCCUUCUUUGGUCAAAUGUUUUAUUCCUACUUGGAUUAGACCAAUGUGAAUAUAUUUGAAAUUCUUUUCUUUUAAUUUCUUUAAAGAUUUUUCCGAAAACAAAUAAAUUGUUUCAAAAGGCUCUGAAAGAGUUAUAUCACGUUCUUCAGUCUUUAUAAUAUAAUCAUGCUUUAAAAGAUCAAGCAUUUUUGUUUUGUAAAUCUUUUCCUUGGAAAUUUUUGGAAGUUCCCAACAAUCAAUUGCUUUAUCAAAGUUCUCAAUAAUGAAUUCUUCUGAACUCACAACAUGCUUUGAAUCACUAGUCUUCCCGGAAGAGGAGCUAGAGAAGGAUGAUGUUCUACAGAUCGGAGGAUCCAUGGUUAAGACCUUAUGGUCUAUUUUUGGUUUGGUCAAAAUGGCUACAGGUAUGAAUUUACAGCCCUCAGCGGAAUCCUUAUCCUAAUUUGGAAAGGAUCUCUUCAUCGAGGUCAAGUUUAUGAAGCUUUUUGUUCAUCCUGCAAUAAUUUGCAGUAUGACCUUUCAUGCCACAUUUAUGACAUAUAGCUUCUUUGUAAUUGAAAGGGGUCUUUGGUUUGGCUCUAAAUUCUUUUCUUUUAGAGAAUUUGGGUUUCUUAUAAGGUUUCGAAGGUUUCUUAUAAGGAAGUUCUCUAAAAUUACGAAAGGGUUUCCUAAAAUUUUUUGAUUUGUAAUGUUUCCUGCGGGGUUUAGUAGAACACUCGCCAUUACAAUAUUUGGAAAUAGAAGUUUUAAAGGGGUCAUAAUUGAAUUGUUUACAGAAACCGCCUAAUUCUUGUUUAGACUUCUUAAGCUCCCACUUAAGUCGUUUCUGUAAUUUCAGUAAAAUAUAUUCUCAAAAAUAGGGAUGAGCUCCCACUUAACCCUUUUAAUAUUUUAGAUACAAGGGCAGAUUCCCUUCUGCAUCCAUAAUAAUGUUUUUUUAAUUUAAUAAAAAAUUUCACUUAUUAAGUUAAGCUAUUAAACUAAUUUUUUUUUAUCUUUUUGCUUAAUCUAAAAAGUUUGAAUAACAUCACUAAAAUAUAUUCUCAAAAAUAUCCCUAUCUAAUUAAUUGAUUUUCAUUCAUACCUAAAUAAGUUUAAUAAUUAGCAUUAUUACUCAUCCCUAUAAAUUAUGAUAAUAUAGUGGUAGACUAUUAUUAAUUUUAUUUUUUAUUUUCUUCAAAUUAGCAUUAUUUAUCUUUAUAAUUUUUAAUCUAUAUUUUUCAUAUAAAACAUCAUAAACAACAAUAAAAUUAAUUAACAUAUACUAAUUUAAAAUAUUAAAAGGGUUGUACUCAAUUGAGCAUGAUUAUAUUAUGAAAAUAUAUUAUCUUAUUAAUAUUCUAUGAGAUGUUAUUAAUUGAUUAACAUUUAUAAUUUGUAAGGGUAUAGAUGUAAAAAUGCUGAUUUUCAUUUUUUUAAGUUAAAAAAACAACUUAAUACUUAUUUGUAACGAUUUAGACAAAAAAAAAAUUAUUCAGAUUCAAACAUUUCGCUCUAUUCAAAAUUCAGAUUUAUUUAAAUGUAUUAAGAUUUCAAACAAAACAACAAACGGUACCUAAAUUAGAUAACAUCCACAACAUUGUCUCAAUUUAAGAAAUUUAAGAAGGCUAAAAUGUAAGUUACAUCGGAAACCCCUCCCAUCAUUUGUGUUUUCUAUGCCUUUCACAUUCAUCAAGAAAAAAAAAAAAUUUGUGGCUGACUCUUGCGAAUACGGGGCUACACGGGGAUUCUCCUCCUGCCAAUAUUCAUCAACUGAUUUUCAAUGACAUUAUGGGAAGUACAAACUACCAUUUCUAUUAACUUGAUGUAUUUUUUUUUUUUUUCAAUCUUACCUUGUUUCUCAACUUUUUGUAUCUUCUGAUUAUGAACAAAAUUUCUACUUGAUAUAAGGCCAUUGCUUUUAAAAAAAAAAUUUAUAUAGUGAUAAUCCUAAAUGGUAUCUUUUUUUUUUCUUUUUAAUAAAAGUAUAAAACCUUUAUUAAAGGAAAAACUACAGUAAUAACAUCCCAAUUAAAAGGGGAGUUUAAAGACUCCAAAACAAAUCAAAACAAGAGCAAGGCAGAUACUAGUGGAACCUAUAAUUCGGCAACCGAAAAACAUCUCUAUGCAAAAGCGAAGCAACAUUUGGACGCACCGAAUUCUGAAAGGUAACUAUUUACAUGUGUACGUAUGAAAUCAAAAGAAACGGUACGUGUUAAAAUCUAUUAUAGUGGUGCAAGAGAUUUACGAUUUGAACAUCAUUCAUUUUUUUUUUUCGAGGGAGAGACGGUGAAAUAACAUUAAAAAUCUAAUAAUUUCCUGAUUUCAAUUUAUUGGCCUUGGGGUAUAUACACUCAGAUUGCUUGCCUGCCAGUAGGAGGAGGCUACAAUGGGACCAAUAACCAGUAAUCUUUUAGAAUUUUUUAUGCAAUGCAACGACCAAUUAAAUUUCCUGAAGCGUCUUAUAAAUGUCAUAAAGGACGAGUUUCUGGCCAAGCAAAGGCUAUAAUAAAUUAACGGGACCAACAAUAAUUAAAUCUCUUAAAAAUUUUGAAACAAUUAGCAAAGUAAAUAUUUUUUUUUCAAGGGAAAUUUAUAUUUUCCUGAAACGUCUUGAUAUAUUUGUCAUAAAACAGAAUUAGCUUUUAACUAUCAUAAGUUUUGGGCAUUCUGUAAAUUAUUGCACCAAACUGAUAACAAUCUCACAUACCCAUUUCCCUUUAAUAUAAAAUUUCUGCUUGGACAAUGCAAAUGAAAUCAACCAUGAGCAAAAUUUAGCUUCUGCAAUGGAAGCUCUUGAAUGGGUGAUGCCGGAUCUGAUGCUGGUUAAUUUUUUGUAUGAUAUGAUGUCAAUACUGGGUAGUAAGAUAAAUCCUUCUCUCUGCUUGCUUUAAAGCAUUCGAUUUACUUAAGCUAUAACAAUCUUGAAUGAAUUAAGAUUCCUAGAUUUCUUGGUUCCAUCAGAAAUUUGACACACCUUAAUCUAUCACAAGCAGGAUUUAUGGGCUCAAUUACUCCUCACCUGGGAAAUCUAUCCAAUCUGUAAAAUCUUAACCUCAAUCAAGUUUUUACAGCGGUUAAUAUGUACAUAUUUAAAUUGGUUAUCGGUUUCCUUUGUGCUUGAGCACCUUGAUUUGAGAUGCGUGAACCUUGGCAAACCCUCUGAUUGGUGCUUGCCAUAAACAACCUUCCUCGUCUAAUCAUGUUAAUAUUGUCACAAUGUAGCUCCAUCAUUUUCCUGUGAUACCCUGUGCCAUUUUUUCCUCUCAAGCCACACUAGUCACGUUGAAAAAUAUUUGAAUCCUAGUUGGGUUUCUGGUUGUCGUGGCCUAUUCUUUCUUGAUUUACAUAGCAAUGAUUACCAAGGUCCAAUUCCUGAAGAACUUCAAAAACUUGAGUUCACUUAGGCAUGCGUUUUGAUUUAUCUAGCAAUGAUUUGAAUUCUUCAAUUCCAAACAAGUUGUACAGAUUUAGCCAUCUUAAGUAUCCUUUUCUUGGUGAGUAUAACUUAAUUAGGAGGUAAGAUUUUUAAUAAUAUAAGGGACUUCUUUGAAAAAACUUGAUCUCUCAGUUAAUGAACACGAAGGAUCGAUUUUAGUUGAUAUAGGAAACUUUUUUUGGGGGGGGGGUGAAUUUGAUCUCACAUUUAAUAAGCUUCAGGGAAAAUUUCCAGGAUCGUUUCAAAGAUAUAAACAGUUUACAAAGAGAUCGACUCCAAAGUUACAUAGUAUUUCAAAUGAUCUUGGAAAUUUUCUUUGAAGCUCAUAAUUAAAUGAGAGAUGAAGUUUUUUUUUUUGGAAGUUAGAUUCCCUAGCUAGGUCACCCAAUGUUACCUCCUAAGCCACACUUACUAUUGUACCAAAAUUAUAAUAAGCUCCAAUAAAAUAAAAUAAAAAGAGAGAAGCCCACAUGAGUAUAGGCCCAAUAAGUAGUAACCCGGGUCCAUUUUAAAUAAAACACUCAAAGGACAAUUCUUCAGCAAAGCGCUAAAGAUAAGUUUCUACAAAAAGCGACCUAAAUCCAUUUUCUACAGAAAGCGAUCUAGGUCCACUCUUUAUAAAGAAGGACCUAGAUCCAUUCUAAAUAAAACGCCCAAAGGGCAACUUUUCAGCAAAGCGCUAAAGAUAAGUUUCUACAAAAAGUGACCUAGAUCCAUCUUCUACAAAGAGCGACCUAGGUCCACUUUUUAUUAGAGGUGGCCAUAGGGCCGGACGGCACGAGGCACAGCACGAGCACGACACGUGUCCGUACAGCAUGGCACGGCACGAGUACGUUUUGGUAGAGUACGCGACACGACACGGCACGGCACGCACGUAGGCCGUGCCGGGCUUAGAUUUUAGGCACAUGAGCCUUAAAAGCAUGACACGAUUAGAGAUGGGGCAAAGCAUGGCACGCGAAAAAGCACACAAUAAGCACGUUUCAUUUUUUUAAUGAAAGUAAACUUAAAAUUUGAUGAUUUUAUAAAUAACUUGAAAUUGAAUCUUUUAAUACAUUUUAUUGGCUCAAGUUUUUUAAAUUUAUUUAAUUCUUAGUUUCAAAAAAAUUAUAAUUGAUUUAUGUUUAUAAUUUAUUAAAUAAAGAAUUGAUAUCAUGAUUUUAAUAAAUAAAAUUAUAAAUAUCAUCAUUUUAUAAAUAUGUAUUAAUAUUAUUAUAAACUAUAAUAUAUGACUCUACGUAACUCCAAGUUAACAAUUAAGUUAACCCUUAAAAUUUUUUUAUUAUUAUUGUUGUUGUUAAGUACUAAGAAUUCUAAUACCAUAGAGUCAAACUCAGCAACUAAUAUUACAUUUUCUUAUUAUUAUUAAUUUAUUAUUAUUGAAUAUGGACUUGAGUUUUGAAUUUUUUAUUCUAUUAAAUUUAAAUAAAGACACAUGGAUCCAAAAAAAGUACAUAAUAUUAAAAAAAUAAGAUAAUAACUUAACAUGCGCUCUUAAAAAAAUAAAAAAGGAAAAAAAAGCUUAGUGGGCUAUUUUUCCUAAGCACGGCGCGUCACGGCCCACGACACGGCACGUGUGGGCACAACACAAGUGGGCACGAGCACGAGCAUGCGUGGGCUUCUUUUGAUGGGCCUGGGCCGGCACAGCACAACCCGUUGGCCAUCUCUACUUUUUAUUAAGAAGGACCUAGGUCCAUUCUAAAUAAAACGCCCAAAGGGCAACUCUUCGACAAAGCGCUAAAGGUAAGUUUCUACGAAAGUGACCUAGAUUUAUUUUCUACAAAGUACGACUUAGGUCCACUCUUCAUAAAGAAGGACCUAGGUCCAUUUUAAACGCCCAAAGGGCAACUCUUCGGCAAAACGCUAAACGUUUGUAUCUACAAAGAGUGACCUAGGUCUAUUCAUUACAAAGAAUGACCUAGGUCCAUUUUCUACGAAUAAUGGCCUAGAUAUUAAGCAUUUACUUGAAAGUAACAUUCUACAAAGGUUACAUACAUGUGAAAUGCCAUAAAACUAAUUCUCUUUACAAGGAACCAACAUAAGAGCUAAAGUGAGCCCAACGAAGGUCAAGAGCUCGAAAUCAUGACAAAUGUCCAAAGAAGACUUGAUAGUGAGCAAGCUUGACACGUAAUGACAGGUGUCUUCAUGUAUGAGUUUUGCGGACACUUGUCACUAAAAUAAUGCCAUGUGUCAUGAUGACACCUCCACCUCAUGAAUCAAAUUGCCUAUAUAAUGAUCAGAACUUCCCACACAAGAGGAGGAAAAAAAAUGGUAACGAAAUGUUGUCAUUCUUUCUUUAAAUUCUCUCUCUCUAAUAAAAUUUGAAAAGCUGACUUGAGCGUUGGAGGGUCAUCGCCGGCAACCCCGACACCCUUUGACAAUUUCAUUUCUUUUGCAGAACCUUUGACAAUAGAAACUUUCAUAUCAUGGAGAGAUGAUUCACAAAUCUUAACAUAGAAAGGAAUCCGAAGCAAAAAGUUAGUUAUUACGUGUGGAGCAAAAAAUUGCAACGACACUUACCAAAAGAAAUAUACUCAAGACAGCUAAAUUUGUAAAACCAGUUCAGUAUUGAAGAUUUGAAAUCAUUGAAAUAAUUUUUGCAAUUGUUGCAUUGGAUCUAAUGGUUGGAUAAAGACAAAUUUAGGGAACCUUGCACCAAAUUUAAAUGGACCCAUUGGACACAGGAGUACUUGACGCUUUUUAAUCCUGGAACAUACUGUUUUAAAUGUCAGAGUUUUUCUCUUUUUUAUAUUUGAAAGUUCUAUGAUUGCGGCUAAUGUCGGUUGGUAUGUUUUCUUUGAUGAUAUUAACAUCAUUUACCCAUUAACCUUAAUUAAAAAAAAAGGGUACAAUUAUCGUCCAAGUUCUUAAUAUCUCAUAUUAUCAUGCAUCUAAGCACAAAGUACAAAACCCAACUGCUCUUAUCUGUUUUACAAACUGGGGUUGAGCUAAACAAAUUAAAACAGCAGCACUGACGACACAAGAGAAAUGGUUCUAAAAACACGAAAUUUUAAAAAUAGUAGAAAUUAAUAAUCUACAAUCCAAUGAGCGAACAAAUUGUUUGUGUGACGGUGAGUAGAAGAAGAAUAACAGCUGCAAUUACAGAAAUAGAUGCCCAUGGGGUAUUGAAAUAAUUUUGCUUCAAAUUGGCCUUCCACUUGUGCCGUGGUAACUGGCAAUAGGCCUGUAGAUCAGCAACAACACCAGAAUAUUUGAAAGGGAUAUCCCACGAACAGUCUCUAUCAAGGCUGCGAAAAACACUUGGAAGUAUUUCACUGAACCCAAGCCCAAUAAUUUUAUUUUGAAUGAGGAAUUCCACAUCUUUUGGAGUGUUGACGAGGCAACUCAUCAUUAUAAUGUAGUCAUUAAAAUAACUAGGGCAGCCAUGCAUCCUCUCAAAAGCCAGAAGAUUUCUGUAUAAAGGCUCAGUGUCGUAGUAAUAUACCGUAAAAAAUGGAAUUUCCAGGAUUCCAUCACUAAAUUUGAUGUCAAUUAGAUUUUUGCUUGACCCUGAUUUGAACUUGACUCCAGCUUCGUGAAGUUCCUUUACACUGGGUAUGUUUUGAUCGUCAUUCUUCAAUUUAACUUGAUCAGGCAUCUGAGAUGGAUGAAGACAGAGCAUAAGCAGAUGAAGCAAAUGUUUAGCUUCGGAAAUGUGGAUUUCAAGCAAAUUUUCCUUCAUUGGAAAAUAUCCAACAAUAUCAUCCCUGAACCAAUAACAAGUAACUGUGGUGUAGGAAAUUUCUUCAUAAAAGCGAUGACUAGAGGCUGCUGUUUUGGCUAGAUUAAACAAAUCAUAGAGAAUGAAUAAUGGAAGCUGGUUUUCUAGCAGCAAAAAGUCUUGCCGUAUUUCCCAAAACAAACAUGAUUUUCCCAAUAUGGGAUCCUCAUCGGUUCUUAAAUUACGAUUAUAAUAUCUCAGAAAGAGCUCAAUGAGAAAGACAGCAUCCACUAAAACCAUUGUUACAAACUCAUCACUUGCAAGAUUAUGAAUGGUUUCAGCAUAGCAAUUGCGCACUUCUGCUUCCCUUUGCUUUACAAAUGCAAGGAAACUUGCCAGGCGUACCUUUGUUCGUUGAAGAAAGCAUUUUAGGUACCUUUCUUUUUGCUCUUCCAUGGCUUUUAGCGGUGGCUUCCCAUAAUGAAACGGCCCAAUUGAAACCAUUUUCGUAGUGUAUGAUAAGGAGCCAAGGAGGUGCUCAUGCAACUUCAUGCAGACCAUGUUUCACGUGCGGGAUGAAUUUGUUUGAGUGUCGAAGCAAUAGCGGGAGAAUCAUCACGUCAAACUAUUUGUUGCCGGUUUGGAAGAGAAUCAAAUUGUGGUUGUCAUGUUUGAUUUGGAUUCGGUCACUAGGUUUAUCUUUAGAUAUUUUUUCUUGUUUUAUUUUACUAUAUUCUAGCUGAUAUUGUUGGCUAAGUGGCUAAGAACCAAAGACUUGUGAUGUUAGCUAUUAUAAAUAAGUUUCCCGCUGCGAAUAAAGGGAGUGAGCAAUUAUCAAACUAAAUUAUCUCUGGUCGUUCUCACCAAAAGCAGAACAACAUUAUCAUCUUUGGGAAAUUUACAAAAAUAGCCAAAAAAAUUAGGCAUUUUUCAACUUUAACCCCUCAAACUUUUUUCUAUCAUAACUAGCCAAACACCCUAUUUUUGGACUACAUUACCCUCAUCAUUUUCAUCAAAUUUACAAAGGCAUGCCACUUUCCCUUAUCAAUUCCAGCACUUCCACCACUUUUCCCUUUUCAACUUAACAAAUUUCAUCACUCAACAAACUCCAUUACUCUCAAUAAAUUAGCAAAUUUCAUCAAACAAGUAUUACAUAAUUGAAGAUAUAAUUAUCAAUUGGAAAGCUUUUUAAGGUUAGUUUAUACUCUUACCAUAACCUAAACUUUUAAUCUAUUGAUUUUAUCAUUUGAGUUCGAAAUUGAUGUGAGUUUUUAUUGCAAAUGUUGUUAUUUUUCAUUAACAAAACAAUGUGACUUGUUAAAGUAGUUAGUUUGAGUUGAGAAAUGAAAAUCAAUCUUUGAAAACCCUGAAAAAUCGAGUUAAACAGAACCCCAAGCGUGUGACACACGCGCCUGUCUCACAUGUUACCACUGGUUACAAGUGAGACAGGCAAGUGAGCCAGGCGCCUGUCUCACUUGUUACCACUGGUUUUAUGUGAGACAGGCAAGUGGGACAGGCGCCUGUCUCACUUGUUACCACUGGUUUUAUGUGAGACAGGCAAGUGAGACAGACGCCUGUCUCACAUAAAUUUGCUGGUUUUAUAUGAGACAGGCACCUGUCCCACUGCCUGUCUCACUAAAUUUAAGUUAUUUUCUGAAAGUAAUAACUUGGGCUACAUGUGUCCGUUUUAGGCGUAUAAUAUAUCAUUUCGAAGCUUACGAUGAGACGAAGUAAAUCAAAAAUUGUAUACUUCAUAUCAUCCACAUAAAUGUACUGCAUAUUCAUUUUUACUAGGUUUUGUAGCGUGAAAUCUUAUCUCUUUUGUUUUUUUUUUUAGGUUUAAUGGAUUCCGUUGUACUUCAAUUAUGUUAUGACGGUUGGUGGGAGACAUUAGCAGAUGGCCGUACGGAGUACGUGAAUGCGAAGAAUACAGCAUUUUUAGUUCGGAAAGAUUGUACGUUUGAGCAAUUUAUGGCAAGAGUGUAUGAAGUUUUACAGAUAAAUCCUAUUGAAUAUAGUUUGUCGAUGAAGACAACUUUGAGAUCUAGUAACACAAUGUAUCGUGCAUGUUCACUACCUAUGGAUAUAUUUAAUGAUGAAAUGGUUAAUGUUGUGCUGCACAUGGCCUCUGAUGUGGUCAAUUAUGGAUGCAUCCCUAUAUUUGUCACCACACAUCCUCGAGUUCCGGCCGAAAAUCCUGAGCCACUUGUGGAAAGUGAAAGUUCGUUUAGAGCAAACGAGUCUGUCCCUGAUAUUGAGGAAGAGGUGUUACCACAACAAAUGUCGUUCCAACAACAUUACUCACCAGUCAACGAAAACAAUGACACUAUUGAUGAUAAUGGCAUUACGAUAGCAGAUGUUGAAGAUAAUGUGUUACCAUUAGGGACAUCGUUAGGGCAACAUUACUCUCCAUUUCAAAAUAAUGAGUUCCGCAGUUAUGAUGAUCCUGGUUAUAACACCAACAACACAGAAGCUGAUAAUGUGCAAGGCAUGAACUCCAAUACUGAAGUUGAUGAUAGGGACACUGGUCAUUCCGAUAUUCCUAUCAAUAAUGAGGAUGAGCAUCAGUAUGAUAUUCCUGUUAGCAAUAGAGAGAAUCGACCUAUUCCUCCGAUGGCCCGUUCGAGGAGGAGGACAACAGUUGAUCCCCUGGUGAGUCUUGCUCCAGUUUUGCCUUCAAACUUGGUUGCUCCAGACUUAGUUAGAAGCUGUAAUUCUGCCGACAUUGGUGUGGGAAAGUUGUUCGUUGAGAAGAAUGAGUUAAUACUGGAAUUGCGCAAAGUGGCCUUGCGGGAAAAGUUUGAUUUCAAGAUUGCACGGUCCACAACGACACACUUUGAGGCUCAUUGUUCUUCGGAAUCAUGUAAUUGGCGUCUUCGCGCAACAAGAGGUUCGGAUGAGCAUAAUGUUCCUUGGGUAGUGAGAAGAGUUGACAAUGCUCAUACGUGCUCUAAUGAGGUUUUGCCAAGUGGCCUCCGCCAAGUUAGGAGUCGGGUUGUUGGCCAUCUUAUUGCGGAUAAAUUUAUUCAGGAUAAACGGAUAUACACGCCGAAUGACAUUAGAACAGACAUGCAGCAAGAAUACGGGGUCCAGUUAACAUAUCAGCAAGCAUAUCGGGCUAAAGAAGUUGGUCUUGAAAUAGUACGAGGGAACCCUGCAGAGUCAUACAACUUACUUCCCAAAUACUCUCACGUUUUGACCAAAGCGAAUGAGGGCACAGUGACACACCUCCAGCGGGAUGGAGAUGAUAAUUUCUUAUACUACUUUGUUGCGCUUGGAUCUUCCAUUAAGGGCUUCACACAGUACAUAAGGCCUGUGAUCGCUGUAGAUGGCACUCAUUUGAAGGGGCUAUAUCGUGGAAGCAUGUUUGUAGCAACAUGUUUGGAUGGUAAUAAUCAACUGUAUCCGUUAGCUAUUGGGGUCAUGGAUUCAGAAAACAAUGAUGCUUGGGAAUGGUUUAUGACGAAGUUACACGGAGUGAUUGGCGAUAGGCCAGAGUUAGUAUUUAUCUCUGAUCGAUGCACUGCCAUCAAGCGAGCCAUUUUAAAAGCAUUUCACACUGCUAGUCAUGGAGUUUGUUUUUACCAUGUCAAAGGCAACAUUAAGUCUAAAUUCAGGAUGUCCAAAGCUAUUUGGGAUCAAUUCGAGCCAGCUUUUAUUAAUGCAGCAAAGGCAUAUGGACACGAAGAAUUUAAAAGACAACUUGAAGGGUUGUGGAUGCUCCACUCGGCCGCGGCUGAUUACUUAGAGAAUAAUGUGGGCACGUGUAAUUGGGCAAGGUCCGAAUUUGAAGGUAGGAGAUACAGCAUACUUACCACAAACAUUGCAGAAAGCGUGAAUUCUUUAAUGAGGGAACCGCGAAAAUUUCCUAUUACUCAUCUUGUUGAUCACUUUAGAAAAACAUUACAGCAAUGGUUUUAUGAUAGGAAAAUUGUCGCUGAAUCGAUGAGCACUCGUCUAACGACGUGGGAAGAUGAGAUAGUCGGCGAAAGGAGAAUUUUGGCCGAAAGAAUGACCGUUCGGCCAGUGUCUCAGCAUCGAUUUCAUGUUUUGGGUGGUGGUAUGAAGGAAGGGAUAGUUGACAUUCAUGAAAGAACUUGCUCCUGUAGAGUAUUCCAACUCGAUCAGCUUGUUUGUGCACAUGCAAUUGCUGCUUGUCUGAUCGUCCGUGUGGAUUACAUAAGUCUUUGCUCUGAUUAUUACUCUAAAGAUUCAUUGGUCAUGGCAUAUGCAGAACCAGUAGAACCGGUUGGGGACAUGACAGAUUGGGACAUUCCAGAAGAAAUCCAGGAAAUCAGAGUUAACCCACCGAUCGAAGCACCACCACCUGGUCGUCGUCCAGAGUUAAGAAUUCCUUCUAUCGGUGAGGAUGUUAACCGAAGAACUGUGAGAUGUGGUCGAUGCAACCAACCAGGUCAUAACCGCAAGAGAUGUAAAAAUCCCAUUGUGUCAAAUCCAAACUGACUGUGUCGUUGUAACUAAUUAUGGAUUAUGAACUCUUAUUAUAAUUUAUAUUACAAUUAUAUGUAAUGAGGUAUAUUAUGUUAUGUUCAUUUGCAUAAUGAGUACUAAAGUUGAUCAAUAAUUACUUAUAGCUAAAUAUAUGAAUAUAUCAAAAGUUUAUAUCUAUUAGAAAAACAAUCUACAUCCAUACAUCAAGUCUUAAUACAAUACAACGACUUACAAGGCAAUAUCGCCCGUGAAUAUAUCUACAGCAAUUUUCUUCCUGAAGUAAUGCCCGUGGCUACUAUCAAAAUCAAGUUUUAGCCCGAACAUCAAAUACAUUGUAAACAUCAACAUAAAUACACCGCAAUCACCACUUCCAGGUGAUUGUUGGGGCACAUCCUUAACGAUUCUUACUUUCCAAGGGUCGGCACUCUGCAGCUCAGAUCGAAGGUUGUAGAAUCCAACAUCUUGAAGCCAUUGAGGGAAGACGACCUGAAGAGGUUUGAAUUUACGCAAAUAUGUUUUGUCCUCGCGAAAGGUAACCAACGAGUCGUAAAUCCGCAUCCUCCUCGCGCGAAGGUCCGCUCGAGCUAGUACCCAAUGAUCGCCGCCCAAAUUCACAGGAAUGAAUAUCUACAUAAAUAAAUUGGUAAAUUAGUAUAUUUUAUACACAAUUACCAUAAGAUUGAGUGACAAUUCUUACCAUAUCGACAUCCGUAAACAGUUUGGACAUGAGAUCUUCCUGCCCAUCCAUAUAGCUGCUCAAGUUGUUGCCAUAUUGUAAUGAAUUGACAUCACAACUACCAUUGUUCCAUAAUUGCUUUAGGAACACCUAUUACACGAUGAGUAGAAAAUUAAUAACAUUUCAAGAUAUUUAAAACAUCGAAAUUAUAAUUAAUGAUUAUAAAAUUUGAAAACAUGCCCAAAAGUAUGUAUCUGUAUGCGUGACGCGUUGUGGUAGUGCAUUUGGAAACCGCCGUUGCUUCUCGCUGAUCAAGCUGUAAUACGUGUGAAUAUGCUGUGAAGGGAUUAUACCAAGUAAAUUUAUAUCAAUAUCCAUGCCAGCAGAAAUAUUAUUGAGUAUUGUAAUGUACUGACCAUUAAACACGCUUACCUCGUCACCAAGCCACCCCAUCGAAGCAUUGCCCAUGAGUAUUUCAAAGAAAUUUCGAGACUGUUGGACGGGCCGAUCCACGGAAAUGUUGCCGGCAAACCACUGAUCAAACUCCUCACAUAGUCUUGAGUCUUCUAGUCCCCUAAGCGGAUUCAUAUCCACACUCGAUCUUUCAUCAAUUUCAUAGUCCGUAAUGUUGAGUGCGGGUAGAGCCCUGACAUUCCUAACUCUCUUGAAAGGAGGAAUGAAGUAAGGACUGCCAAAUAUAUACGACGGUCGGUACGGACGCCCAAACUUACUAACGCCGGGAGGUGCCUCCGUGAAUAUCUGUACACUGUCAUCACAUAUGUCCCCAUGUAGACUGUACAAGGACAUAGGGGUGUGCUCGUCGUCAUUACCAGCAUCAGUAUGCGUACCAUAGCCAGCAUCAACGUUCGGACCAUAGCAAUCUGGGGCCUGUUGUUUCGAGGAGAUGAACAUAUUAACAUAAGUUCGGGUUUGAAAUCAUAAUAACAUAACGAAAACAUACGAAACUUGCUCACCGAGGGUGCGGGGCCAAACGGAGAAUCACCGUACGCGCCCUUUGAAGCACCCGCGCCAAACGAAGCCAUAAACCCCAUGACCGCUGCUCUAUAUUGUUGUGCUUCUCUGCGUUCCGCCAUAAGUUCUGACCUCAGUUCGUUAAUGGAACUGUGUCCAGUCUGAAGUUCCGACCUCAACUCGUGAAUGGAAGACUCUAUUUUAUCCAGUCGUCCAACGAAAUAAUCAUUGCGGAACUUAGUCCUUGCCUACAAUUUACGCAAAUAAGAAAGUAAUGACAAAAUGUCGGAUAGGUAUAUGUGCAUUGUAAAUGUUCAGGACGACAGAAGUUACCUCUGGCUCAUUUCUGUCAUCUGAAUCAUGUGCGGAUUCAUAAUGGUCGUCGGCAGCACCGGCAUCCUCAACAGGACUCUGCUCCAGUCCUAUUGGGCUCGUGGGGUCAGGAUCCACCUCGUUUGGCCUUGUACUGGAUGGCGCAUUGAUUGAAGGCUGGUGCUGCACCAAGUAAAACAGAAAACAAUAAAUACCUAAAAAACAAACAUAUAAAUGACUUUGCAUCCGGUUUUCAAUGAUACUAUAGAUGAUACCCACAUUACGGACCCAACUUGGCAAAUAUGGCACGUAAUCCUCGACACUCUUCCAAUAAUUUGUGGCUCUCUCCUUUGCAUCCGGUUUCAGGGUUUGGAAAAUGGUGCCAUCCUGUCGUAAAGAUUACCAAAUUUCCAAUUAGUAUAACCAUAUAUUAUGUAAUACUUAUAUACAGACAUACAUAUAAAUGACUUACAAGACGCUCGUUCAGGUAUGAAUACACUUCGCCGAAGUUAAUAUUUGAAGAAGCCACAGGCUUCCAUCGCACGAUCCGAGCACCCUUCCUCUUAAUUUUCUCUACCCACUCUAAUGGUAGUCCUUCGAUCGCUUCAAAAAUCCAUGCCUUCAACAAGGAAAUAUAUGAAGUAAAAAAACGUGUCAUUAAAUAUUUAUUAUAACAAAACUAAGUUAUAAAAAAAACUUCUUCACUCACAUGCACUGCCGACGUAAAGCCGUAAAAGUUGUAUUUCUCAAUUCUAUGCAAUGGAUUUUCUGCGCUUGCCUUCUUAAAUUUUUUGGCUUUGCCGUUCAAUACAUUAUCAAUGCUUUUAUAUAUUGUUUCCCAUGACAAACGACCCCACGGAAUACUUCGAAAAAGAUUUAUGUCAUCUACCUCAUUAAGUAAAUUGAAAUUGAUUUGACAAUGAUCAUUUCUUCCGUGUAGCACUCUAUCAGCAAAGUAAAACAUGGCAAUUUUUAGCGCAUCGGUGUCAUUCAUAGUCUUGAAGCGUAAGUUCAUAAAUAUUUCCUCGAACUGGCCAAGAUUUAUAUCGCGAAUCCUGCCUCCAAAGUACUUAUUAAGUAACCUAUGAUUUGUUUUAUGCUUCGUCAGGAAUACUUUUUCGCCAUAGCAAAGUCCCGUUACUAGGCACCACUCUCCAAUCGAUAGCCGUAUCAAAUGGUCGCCAACUUGAAACCAUAACUCAUCUUUGUCAUUUCCAUCGCCAUGUGACACUUGCCGAAGCAAUAUAUUGUGCACAAUCACGCCACUGAACGGAUAGCUCCGUCACUGUAGGAAAUGCCCAAAUAUAUCGUCUUUGAAUAGCUUCAACUGUUGCCUUGUUAAUUUUUCCCGGAUGGCAUUAACAACGACAUCUAAUUUGCACAUACUCGUGAUACGCCCAGGGAAGUGAUCAACAUAAGGUAUCUUCAUCAUUCCCGGUUCUUUAAUCGGUCUGGGUGGGUUAUGCAAUGCUAAUUUUGAUUUGCCCAUUUAUCUGGUACAAGUUAAAAGUAUCACACAUUAAAAAAUUAUGAACAAAAGAAAAAAAAAUUAAGGCAGCACUGCGCACUGCCUCUUGGUGCGACGGGCACCAACUGUCGCACCAAGAGGUGCUGCCUCUUGUGCGACNNNNNNNNNNNNNNNNNNNNNNNNNNNNNNNNNNNNNNNNNNNNNNNNNNNNNNNNNNNNNNNNNNNNNNNNNNNNNNNNNNNNNNNNNNNNNNNNNNNNNNNNNNNNNNNNNNNNNNNNNNNNNNNNNNNNNNNNNNNNNNNNNNNNNNNNNNNNNNNNNNNNNNNNNNNNNNNNNNNNNNNNNNNNNNNNNNNNNNNNNNNNNNNNNNNNNNNNNNNNNNNNNNNNNNNNNNNNNNNNNNNNNNNNNNNNNNNNNNNNNNNNNNNNNNNNNNNNNNNNNNNNNNNNNNNNNNNNNNNNNNNNNNNNNNNNNNNNNNNNNNNNNNNNNNNNNNNNNNNNNNNNNNNNNNNNNNNNNNNNNNNNNNNNNNNNNNNNNNNNNNNNNNNNNNNNNNNNNNNNNNNNNNNNNNNNNNNNNNNNNNNNNNNNNNNNNNNNNNNNNNNNNNNNNNNNNNNNNNNNNNNNNNNNNNNNNNNNNNNNNNNNNNNNNNNNNNNNNNNNNNNNNNNNNNNNNNNNNNNNNNNNNNNNNNNNNNNNNNNNNNNNNNNNNNNNNNNNNNNNNNNNNNNNNNNNNNNNNNNNNNNNNNNNNNNNNNNNNNNNNNNNNNNNNNNNNNNNNNNNNNNNNNNNNNNNNNNNNNNNNNNNNNNNNNNNNNNNNNNNNNNNNNNNNNNNNNNNNNNNNNNNNNNNNNNNNNNNNNNNNNNNNNNNNNNNNNNNNNNNNNNNNNNNNNNNNNNNNNNNNNNNNNNNNNNNNNNNNNNNNNNNNNNNNNNNNNNNNNNNNNNNNNNNNNNNNNNNNNNNNNNNNNNNNNNNNNNNNNNNNNNNNNNNNNNNNNNNNNNNNNNNNNNNNNNNNNNNNNNNNNNNNNNNNNNNNNNNNNNNNNNNNNNNNNNNNNNNNNNNNNNNNNNNNNNNNNNNNNNNNNNNNNNNNNNNNNNNNNNNNNNNNNNNNNNNNNNNNNNNNNNNNNNNNNNNNNNNNNNNNNNNNNNNNNNNNNNNNNNNNNNNNNNNNNNNNNNNNNNNNNNNNNNNNNNNNNNNNNNNNNNNNNNNNNNNNNNNNNNNNNNNNNNNNNNNNNNNNNNNNNNNNNNNNNNNNNNNNNNNNNNNNNNNNNNNNNNNNNNNNNNNNNNNNNNNNNNNNNNNNNNNNNNNNNNNNNNNNNNNNNNNNNNNNNNNNNNNNNNNNNNNNNNNNNNNNNNNNNNNNNNNNNNNNNNNNNNNNNNNNNNNNNNNNNNNNNNNNNNNNNNNNNNNNNNNNNNNNNNNNNNNNNNNNNNNNNNNNNNNNNNNNNNNNNNNNNNNNNNNNNNNNNNNNNNNNNNNNNNNNNNNNNNNNNNNNNNNNNNNNNNNNNNNNNNNNNNNNNNNNNNNNNNNNNNNNNNNNNNNNNNNNNNNNNNNNNNNNNNNNNNNNNNNNNNNNNNNNNNNNNNNNNNNNNNNNNNNNNNNNNNNNNNNNNNNNNNNNNNNNNNNNNNNNNNNNNNNNNNNNNNNNNNNNNNNNNNNNNNNNNNNNNNNNNNNNNNNNNNNNNNNNNNNNNNNNNNNNNNNNNNNNNNNNNNNNNNNNNNNNNNNNNNNNNNNNNNNNNNNNNNNNNNNNNNNNNNNNNNNNNNNNNNNNNNNNNNNNNNNNNNNNNNNNNNNNNNNNNNNNNNNNNNNNNNNNNNNNNNNNNNNNNNNNNNNNNNNNNNNNNNNNNNNNNNNNNNNNNNNNNNNNNNNNNNNNNNNNNNNNNNNNNNNNNNNNNNNNNNNNNNNNNNNNNNNNNNNNNNNNNNNNNNNNNNNNNNNNNNNNNNNNNNNNNNNNNNNNNNNNNNNNNNNNNNNNNNNNNNNNNNNNNNNNNNNNNNNNNNNNNNNNNNNNNNNNNNNNNNNNNNNNNNNNNNNNNNNNNNNNNNNNNNNNNNNNNNNNNNNNNNNNNNNNNNNNNNNNNNNNNNNNNNNNNNNNNNNNNNNNNNNNNNNNNNNNNNNNNNNNNNNNNNNNNNNNNNNNNNNNNNNNNNNNNNNNNNNNNNNNNNNNNNNNNNNNNNNNNNNNNNNNNNNNNNNNNNNNNNNNNNNNNNNNNNNNNNNNNNNNNNNNNNNNNNNNNNNNNNNNNNNNNNNNNNNNNNNNNNNNNNNNNNNNNNNNNNNNNNNNNNNNNNNNNNNNNNNNNNNNNNNNNNNNNNNNNNNNNNNNNNNNNNNNNNNNNNNNNNNNNNNNNNNNNNNNNNNNNNNNNNNNNNNNNNNNNNNNNNNNNNNNNNNNNNNNNNNNNNNNNNNNNNNNNNNNNNNNNNNNNNNNNNNNNNNNNNNNNNNNNNNNNNNNNNNNNNNNNNNNNNNNNNNNNNNNNNNNNNNNNNNNNNNNNNNNNNNNNNNNNNNNNNNNNNNNNNNNNNNNNNNNNNNNNNNNNNNNNNNNNNNNNNNNNNNNNNNNNNNNNNNNNNNNNNNNNNNNNNNNNNNNNNNNNNNNNNNNNNNNNNNNNNNNNNNNNNNNNNNNNNNNNNNNNNNNNNNNNNNNNNNNNNNNNNNNNNNNNNNNNNNNNNNNNNNNNNNNNNNNNNNNNNNNNNNNNNNNNNNNNNNNNNNNNNNNNNNNNNNNNNNNNNNNNNNNNNNNNNNNNNNNNNNNNNNNNNNNNNNNNNNNNNNNNNNNNNNNNNNNNNNNNNNNNNNNNNNNNNNNNNNNNNNNNNNNNNNNNNNNNNNNNNNNNNNNNNNNNNNNNNNNNNNNNNNNNNNNNNNNNNNNNNNNNNNNNNNNNNNNNNNNNNNNNNNNNNNNNNNNNNNNNNNNNNNNNNNNNNNNNNNNNNNNNNNNNNNNNNNNNNNNNNNNNNNNNNNNNNNNNNNNNNNNNNNNNNNNNNNNNNNNNNNNNNNNNNNNNNNNNNNNNNNNNNNNNNNNNNNNNNNNNNNNNNNNNNNNNNNNNNNNNNNNNNNNNNNNNNNNNNNNNNNNNNNNNNNNNNNNNNNNNNNNNNNNNNNNNNNNNNNNNNNNNNNNNNNNNNNNNNNNNNNNNNNNNNNNNNNNNNNNNNNNNNNNNNNNNNNNNNNNNNNNNNNNNNNNNNNNNNNNNNNNNNNNNNNNNNNNNNNNNNNNNNNNNNNNNNNNNNNNNNNNNNNNNNNNNNNNNNNNNNNNNNNNNNNNNNNNNNNNNNNNNNNNNNNNNNNNNNNNNNNNNNNNNNNNNNNNNNNNNNNNNNNNNNNNNNNNNNNNNNNNNNNNNNNNNNNNNNNNNNNNNNNNNNNNNNNNNNNNNNNNNNNNNNNNNNNNNNNNNNNNNNNNNNNNNNNNNNNNNNNNNNNNNNNNNNNNNNNNNNNNNNNNNNNNNNNNNNNNNNNNNNNNNNNNNNNNNNNNNNNNNNNNNNNNNNNNNNNNNNNNNNNNNNNNNNNNNNNNNNNNNNNNNNNNNNNNNNNNNNNNNNNNNNNNNNNNNNNNNNNNNNNNNNNNNNNNNNNNNNNNNNNNNNNNNNNNNNNNNNNNNNNNNNNNNNNNNNNNNNNNNNNNNNNNNNNNNNNNNNNNNNNNNNNNNNNNNNNNNNNNNNNNNNNNNNNNNNNNNNNNNNNNNNNNNNNNNNNNNNNNNNNNNNNNNNNNNNNNNNNNNNNNNNNNNNNNNNNNNNNNNNNNNNNNNNNNNNNNNNNNNNNNNNNNNNNNNNNNNNNNNNNNNNNNNNNNNNNNNNNNNNNNNNNNNNNNNNNNNNNNNNNNNNNNNNNNNNNNNNNNNNNNNNNNNNNNNNNNNNNNNNNNNNNNNNNNNNNNNNNNNNNNNNNNNNNNNNNNNNNNNNNNNNNNNNNNNNNNNNNNNNNNNNNNNNNNNNNNNNNNNNNNNNNNNNNNNNNNNNNNNNNNNNNNNNNNNNNNNNNNNNNNNNNNNNNNNNNNNNNNNNNNNNNNNNNNNNNNNNNNNNNNNNNNNNNNNNNNNNNNNNNNNNNNNNNNNNNNNNNNNNNNNNNNNNNNNNNNNNNNNNNNNNNNNNNNNNNNNNNNNNNNNNNNNNNNNNNNNNNNNNNNNNNNNNNNNNNNNNNNNNNNNNNNNNNNNNNNNNNNNNNNNNNNNNNNNNNNNNNNNNNNNNNNNNNNNNNNNNNNNNNNNNNNNNNNNNNNNNNNNNNNNNNNNNNNNNNNNNNNNNNNNNNNNNNNNNNNNNNNNNNNNNNNNNNNNNNNNUGGCUCAUAUUCUGCGCGCGAGGGCGCGAACUCGCGCGAGCCUAGAGCAACUCGCUCGCGCGAGGCCGCGCCCUCGCGCGCGAGAUGGGCGCAACGUGCGCAUCUCGCGAGCGACGCAGCGCGAGUUGGCUUCCCCCCUUUCUCUUCUCUUCCCUUUCCCACAUGCAUCUCACCCACCACCGCCAUUAAAACACCACCAACAACAACAACAUCCCAAACAACAACAACAACCCAAACAACAACAACAUCCCAAACAACAACAGCAACAACAACAACAAGAAAAACGGCAAUAACAACUCACCUAGGGUUUUCAAUUUUUUUCUUUGAUUUUGGAGAUCUCCGAAGAUUUUCAACGUGAUUUAGCUUCUUUCAAGUGCCAACAACUUCCUCCGCUGCCGAUGUACGCUGCCGCCGACAAUCUAUAGAACUUCUGGUGAUGAGAUUUUGGUGAGAGGGGAAGGAAUUUGCUUGAGGGAAACGUGAGAAUGAGGAGGGUAAUUUCGUCCAAAAUGUGGUGAUUUGGCUAAUGUUGAAAGAAAAAAAUUUGAGGGGUUAAAGUUGAAAAAUGCCUUCUUUUUUUGGCUUGUUUUGUAAAUUUCCCAUCAUCUUUUAAUCAUUGUUAGCAAGCAUCUGACUGGGACCUAUCAAUUGGUAUCAGAGCUAGCUAUUAAUGGCAACCAACAAGGAGUGCAUCGAACGAAUUGAAGCUGACACCGGGAACUUACAGAACAAGAUGAAACAAAUAGAAAUUGGUAUCAAUGACAAGCUGCAGCGUCUGGAGGACACCCUGAGCAAAUUGCCGGAAUCUUUUAGUGCAACCAGAGGCACUGCCAGUCGCAGCACUAACGAGCACAUUGGAUCUUCACGACCAUUCCGCGAGGAAAGUGAAGGAGGUCGACCACCGCUGCCGACAAGAAUUGCUAAGUUGGAGUUUCCUCGCUAUGCCGGCGACGACCCAAUGAAGUGGUUCAAUCGGGCGACGCAGUAUUUUGAGUACCAAGAAACCACGGAUGAGCAUAAAGUAGUCUUAGCGUCAUAUCACUUGGAGGGCGAAGCAAAUCAAUGGUGGCAGUGGAUGUGCAAGGCUUACCAAGGAGAAGGCUGACCGGUUAUGUGGGAAACAUUUGUUGACGAGUUGUUGACGCGCUUCGGACCAACAAAUUGUGAAGACUUUGAUGAAGCACUGUCUCGGGUCGAACAAACAGGUUCUCUGAGAGAAUACCAGAAAGAAUUCGAGAGGUUGGGAAACCGAGUUCAUGGGUGGUCACAGAAAGCGUUAGUAGGCACUUUCAUAGGAGGAUUGAAACCGGAGAUUGCGGAGGAUAUACGGAUGUUCAGGCCACGUACGUUAAAGGCAGCCAUCAGCCUUGCUCGUAUGAAAGACGACCAGAUAACACGCCAACGGAGAUUAUUCCAGCCACCCUCCAAUCGCGCACCGCCAACAUUGCCACCUACUCAAGCAUCACCAACCGUGCCUGUCAAAAGAUUAUCGUGUGAUGAAAUGCAAUGACGACGAGCUCAUGGACUGUGUUUCACUUGCAACGAACGGUUCACUGCGGGUCAUAAAUGUCAAGGGCCCCAACUUCUACUGCUCGAGAGCUACAACGACACCAACAAGAUCACUUGUGAAGAAGUUGCAGAGGAACUACAUGGAGAAGAAAACAAAGGAGAACAACUUGGGAAGCUACAGCAUUGCUACAACAAUAAUUCCUUUGCUGACCCUUGAGGACAAGGGUCCUCUUCCACGAGGGGGUAUUGAUAAGGAGCCAAGGAGGUGCUCAUGCAACUUCAUGCAGACCAUGUUUCACGUGCGGGAUGAAUUUGUUUGAGUGUCGAAGCAAUAGCGGGAGAAUCACUACGUCAAACUAUUUGUUGCCGGUUUGGAAGAGAAUCAAAUUGUGGUUGUCAUGUUUGAUUUGGAUUCGGUCACUAGGUUUAUCUUUAGAUAUUUUUUCUUGUUUUAUUUUACUAUAUUCUAGCUGAUAUUGUUGGCUAAGAACCAAAGACUUGUGAUGUUAGCUAUUAUAAAUAAGUUUCCCGCUGCGAAUAAAGGGAGUGAGCAAUUAUCAAACUAAAUUAUCUCUGGUCGUUCUCACCAAAAGCUUAACAACAUUAUCAUCUUUUAAUCAUUGUUAGCAAGCAUCUGACUAGGACUUAUCAGUGUAAUCACUUGGAUGUAAACACCGCUUCUGCUCAGGAACUCUGUAGAUGGAACACUCUCUGGUUAAGGGCUGGAAAGUCUCCAACUUCCCACCCAAAUAUUCUGCCAACUUCUCCAUUUCUAUCGAUGCAUGAUGCUCACUGUUCACCAUCUUCUAUUAAAUGUUAAUUACUCGCUGCAGUAGCAACAAAAUUGAUCAAGCCUAUAUCAUUGAUGAAGUUUUGGAGAAUUAUUGCCGAAGCUCUGAAGCAAAGGUUAAUAAAUCGAAAACCAAAGUUUUUUUCUCUAAAAAUGUAUCAAUUAGAGAUGGCCAGCUUAUUGGUGACACAUUGGGUUUUUCGGCUACUAAGGAUUUGGGUUCUUACCUUGGCAUGCCUUUAAUCCACUCGCAGGUGAAUAAAGCUACAUAUCAGUCCAUUUUGGAUAAGGUGGACAUGAGGCUUACUGGAUGGAAUGCCGCACAUUUAUCUUUUGCUGGAAGAGUAACUUUGGCGCAAUCAGUGGUUCAGGCAAUGCCUAUUUAUGCAAUGCAAACAGCUUUACUUCCCCCCCCAGUGCGCCAGAAAAUUAACACGACAUGUCGCCGGUUUAUUUGGGAUGGGAAAUCGAAGAGGCAUAAGCUUAUUAUGGUGGGCUGGGACAGAAUUUGUAAGCCAAAGACUCACGGAGGUUUGGGAUUUAAAAAGUUGGAUGUGAUGAAUCAGGCGUUGUUGAUGAAGCUAACGUGGGAAGUUGUUUCGAAUUCAGACAAAUUAUGGGUAAAGGUGUUUUGUUCUAAAUAUGGCUUGGAUCUUGGAAACUUACCGCUUACUCUUCCGGAGAAACAAGGAUCUCGAAUUUGGAUGGCUAUAAGGAAACCAUGGGCAGACACCAUGCAUGGAGCUCGCUGGUCAGUUUGUAACGGGGAGAGAGUUCGGUUCUGGUCUGACUGUUGGGUAACAAAGCACGAACCCUUGAUAAAUCUUGCCAUCCUGCCAAUCCCGCACGAGCGCAUCAAUGAUUCGGUGAGUGAGUAUGUCACUGAAAAUGGGGGCUGGAACUGGCCGAGUUUUGAGCACUUGCUACCUAACUUUAUCCUUAUGAAAAUUGCAUCAGUUAUGCCUCCCGCGCCUGAACUAGGUGUUGAUAAAAUUUUUUGGAGUUUUGAUCACAGAGGCAUCUUUACUGUCCGUUCAGCAUAUGACUCCAUCUGCAGCCAUAACCCCGCCAUCAAAGAAGAAAUGUGGAGCCUUGCAUGGUCGUGGAAGGGACCACAGUCGGUUCGGCUUUUCCUCUGGCAGAUUAUGCAUGGCAGCUUAAAAACUCAUGGCGAAUUAGUUCGACGUCAUAUUCCCGUGUCAAUGGCAUGUGAUAGGUGUGGGGCUCCGGUUGAAGAUAUUCUUCAUGCUUUGAGAGAUUGCCCGUGUAUCAAACGGGUAUGGUUGCGUCUUGUUUUAGAGGGUGACUAUAACUCUUUCUUUCACGAUAAUCUCCGAGACUGGAUUAUAGCAAAUCUUCAGAACAAGUCAAAGCCUGCUUCUCACAUUCCUUGGGAGUGUGUUUUUGGGGUGGCCGUUUGGAGAUUAUGGUUCUGGAGAAAUCAUUUCAUGGUCGAAGGAAAAUUGGUGGAUAGCUCAGCAAUCAUUAUGGAUGUUAUGGUCAAAGCAAAUGAAAUUCAUAGAAUUAAUUUUUCUCAUAUGAGUCAGCAACCAAGGAGAAGAGAGAUGUUUGUCGGCUGGCAGGUUCCUACAUGGCCUUGGUGCAAAUUAAAUACGGAUGGUUUCGUUCGAAAUUCAAGUGAUGCAGGAGUUGGUGGUGUUAUUCGUGACUAUGUUGGAAAUUGGAUUUCGGGAUUUUGUAUGAAUAUUGGGGAGUGUACGGUGGUUAUGGCGGAGCUAUGGGGUCUUUAUCAAGGGCUACUCUUGGCAUGGGAGGCUGGCAUAAAAUGGCUAUUAGUGGAAGUGGAUAGUCUGUGUGUUACACAAAUGAUUUCUAAGCAGGUAGUCGUGCCCAAUGUUUCCUAUGCUUUAGUGGUUGCAGUACGGGAUCUUCUUAAUAGGAACUGGCAAGUCUGUCUAACCCACAUCUAUCGUGAAGCGAAUUCAGUUGCAGAUUUCAUGGCCAAUAUGGCUCUUUCUCUCCCUAAUGGGAUGCAUUUAUUUACUAGCCCGCCUGUGGGCAUUUAUUCAACUAUUUUGCAGGACAUGAUUGGGGUUGCUAAACCCCGUAUUGUUCCGAUUUAGCUCUUUUUACAGAGCCCUUAUUAAUAAAAAAAAAAAGAUUAAAUUAUCAGAAAAUUUAGGUAUAUAAAUAGCAUUAAAAACAUCAAAUGAUUCGAGAUACAAAAGAUCAAAAUUAAGAAAAAAUAAUAAUAAAAGAACGAGAAAACUUACAUUGCUUUGCCUAUGGCCAGUGCCCCACAUACCCGAACAACCCACUUUUGUAGUCAACAGAUUAGAAGCUCCUCACCCAAUAAAAUAAAAUAAAAUAAAAUAAAAUAAAAAAUAUUCCUUUAAAUGAGAACUUGGUCUUUCUAUAUUUACGAGGACUUUGCUCUUCUUUCAUAUUAAAUUUAUUAAAAAACAAGUUCUCCUAAUAAGAAAUUAUUUAUGAGCGGACCACGACCAACAAGCCAUUACGUCUUUUUAUAUUUCAAAGGAAAUUGGCUGAUUUUUUUUUUCAAUUUUUAUUUUAUGAGAAGGCCUAUUGCUGUUGGAUUUGUUUAAACGUGCUCAUUGCUACCAUGAUCCUCGAUCCCCUGAAUGUAACACACUAUAUUGUUCAGUUUAAUUUUAAUAAACCGAUUGUAUACUCUUGUUAAGCAUAAUUUUAGGACAAAACUCAAAAGAUUUUUUUUUUAAAAAAAAAACCAACCAAACCAAGUUGCUUUCUUAUAAAAUUGAAUAAUUUGUUUUCAUUUCAUGCGUUCGAUAAAACCAUAUUAUUAGCAACUAGAUCAUGUUUAAACAAGCGAAUAGGCCACAGAUCAGUCGAAAAUUUAUUUCGUUGAGAUUGGGUAACACAAUUUAAUUUUUUAAAAAAAUCAAGUGAUAAGUAGACAAUUAUAUUUUUUAAACAAGCGAACAGGCAAACUACUAUUAGGCAUUUUUUAAAACAAUUUUAAUAUUUACAAUUUAUUGAACAUAUUUUAUUAUAUUAAAGUAAAUUUUAAAAUAAAUAGAAACAUAAUAUUAAAUUAAAUAUAAAAAAAUUGAAAUUAUUUUGAACGUCAUAUAAAAUUAAUUAAUUAAUAUUAGUACAUAAGAUGUGUUUAAACCCAAUGAUUUAUUUAAAAAAAUUUAUAAUAAAAACAAAUAAGGAUAUUAUCAUUUUACCACAAAAAAUAUUAUGACAUAUUAUGUCAGUACCACGGUUUGCCAAAAGGUGCAUUUUACCACCAAACAUUUUCGUCGUUAUCACUUUAUCACCCUUCUGUUAAAAAUGUUAAAAAUUUACUGAUGUCAUAAGGGCAUCAAAGACAUUUCCUAUUGAAGCCAAAACACUGCAUUGUAAGUGUAAAAUAAACAAUAAAACAAAGUAAAAAAAUUUCAAGGGAAAUUAUUAGAGAAUUAGGAAAUUGAUAACCCUAAAAUCGACCCCUCUCUCUCAUUAAUAUUUUUCCUUAAUUAAAUUGUUUUUGUUUUUAGUUGUGAUUAAUACUUGAAUUUCAUAGAUUAUAACAUUAAUUUUGAAGCAGAAUUUUUUAUUAACCUUUUUACUGUUUGUUGUAAUUCUGCAUAUUGUUCGUUAUUUUUAUUAAUUAGAAUUUUCAGUUGUUUUCUAAAUCUUAUUAAUUGUUAUUGUUAUUAUAAAUUAUUAUAAAAUUGUUAUUAUUUUUAGUUGUGGUUAAUACUUGAAUUUCAUAGGUUAUAAUAUUAAUUUUGAAGCAUAAUUUUUUUAUUAAUUGUUUUCUUUGCCGUUUAUCGUAAUUUUGCAUAUUAUUCAUUAUUUUUUAUUCAUUACAAUUUUUACUUGUUUUCUAAAUUUUAUUAUUGUUCAUUGUUUCUUUCUUUUUAAAGGAUAAAAUUAUCUUUUAUUCUCCUAGGUAAAAUCGACUUUUAACUAAUUUUUUGUUAAAUAUUAACUUUUUUUAAUGAAAAAAUAGUAAAUUGAUAAUAACGCAAAUGUUUAGUGGUGAAAUACAAUUUUUAACAAACCAUGUUAUUGAUGUGAUAUAUCAAAAUAAAUUUGGUAGUAAAAUAAUAAUAUCCCAAAAUAAAUAUAUCAUUUUUCAAAGUAAAUUUAAUCGAAGACGAUUAAAAUGAAGAUGGUAAUGGUCGUCUUUGCUUUGACUUCAUGAUAAAGUGCGUGGGAGAAUUUUAUUUGUUGCGAAUUAUAAAUGAUAAUUCAGUGUGAGGCCAUCGUGCAUUGAAAAAAGAGACUAGUUGUUCAAUUCCAGUCGACGCUUUCAAUUUAUUUAAUGAUGGGUGUCUUGCUUUCUUUCCUUUUCUUUUCUUUAAUAAGCUUAGCAUAAUUGUUACUUUUCCACUGAAUAAUUUGGAUCCAGCUAACUUCCAACAGCUGCAAGGCACCACUACUUUUGUCCACUACAGCUCUUAACCGUCCGAUUUAAUUUAAUAUUUACAAUUUAUUAAAUAUAUUUUAUUAUAUAUUAAAGUAAAUUUUAGAAUAAACAGAAGCAUAAUAUUAAAUUAAAGAUACAAAACAUUUAAAUUAUUUUGAGUGUUGUAGAAAAAUAAUUUAUUUAUAUUAGUACAUAAGAUAUAUUUUGUUAAUUAUAGAAUCUAUUAAACCGAAUAAUUUAUUUUAAAAAAACUAUAAUAAAUAAAAAUCUAUUAAUUUUCAAGGUAAACUUCAUCGAGGGGCUCUAGUUACCUUGCAACAGUUGCAAGGUAUAAAAAAUUUUGUUUUCUUUGUGAUUUCAGUCUUCACCUUGGAUUUAAUAAAAAAAUUAGAGAUUUGUUUAUUUGAUAAUUAACAUUAUAUUCCCUAGUAUAUGUUAAAGACUCAAAAAAAAUUAAACAGUUAAAAUUUUUAACACAUAAAUUGAAUUAUUUCAAAUUUAUAUUGUCAAUCAGCAAUGGGUCUUAAAAAAUAAAUAUUAUUUUUAAUAUUAUUUAUAUAAAUAUUAUUUAGUCAAAAAUAAAUAUAAUUUAUUUUACUUUAUUUAAUAUUAUUUAGUCAUAGGCUUAGUAUUAUAUUUAUUCUUCAAAAAAAUUAAUAAUAUUAAAUAAAAUAAAAUUACAUUUAAGAAGGUCGCUAGCAAAAGCACAUAAACUUAUAAAUAAACUGUAAAUGAAAAAAAAAGUAUGUAAUAUUAAAUGAAAUGAAAUUACAUUUUAAAAGGUUAUCAAUCAAAGCACAUAAACUUAUAAAUAUACUAAAAAAAAAAGUUAAGGAGUUAAAUAAAAUUUAACAUCACAAAAGACAAAAUAGGUGUUGCCUUGCAACAGUUGCAAGGUAGAUACUUUCAAUUGAUUUAAUCAUUGUUAAAUUGCUUCUCGUUGUCAGUUACUAUAGCAUUAGGGAUACCAUACUUGCAAAAGAGGGUUCCUCCAAAUGAAUUCAGUGGUCUUCCAUUAUGUAAUACUCGUCAGUGACUCCACUUUCGGCUACUUUGUGAAAUAGACCAUUGCCAAAAUCGCAAAUUUUGCCUAUCCUUUCCCGACUAGCAAUGGGCUAAUGAGAUCCACAUCCUAAAUGGCAAAGGGUCAAGGAGAAGAUAUAGCCAUUAAUUUUUCUAUGGGUAAAUGGGGUACCUUGGCGAAUCUCUGACAUUUAUUACAGUUUCUGACCAUAUUCUUGGCAUUUUUUGGCAACAUAAGCUAGUAGUACCCUUAGCGAAGGGCUUUUUUUGCUCAUGAUUGUGUUUUAAAGUGAUUGCCUCAAAUUCUUUGUGCAUAUCCCUCAUAACAUAUUCAACUUGAUCACUUUCCAAAUAUUUUAGGUAAGGGAGAGUGAACCCUUAUAUAUAUAGGGUAUCAUGGAUGAGGCAGUAUCGUGCAGCUUUGUAGUUCAACUUUCUGACUUUACUUUUAUUUGAAGGGAGAUCUCUAUCCCUGAUGUACCUUAUGAUCGGCUUCAUCCAAGGUACCCUUACAAACAACGAUCCCACUUCUAUUUGUUCUACAAGACCAAUACUGGGGUAGGUAUGUGUUUAAUCGCGACGGGACCAGCUGAUUAGGCUAUGACAAAAGAGGUCGUUUUGGCCAAUUUGUUGGCUUCACAAUUCUUCAUCCACGAUAAUCUUUCCACAUUAACCUUGGCAAACUGGCAAACCAGCUAUUUGGUUUUCUCAAGGUACCCCUUCAUAUUUUCUUCCUUAGCCUAAUACUCAAGGCGAUUUGGCUGAACCACUAGAUGGGAGUCACUUUUAAUGUGGACUGUUUUUGCUCCCAAAGCCUUUGACAUCCUCAACCCUGCUAUGAUGACUUCAUAUUUGACUUCGUUAUUUGAAGCCUUAAAUCCAAAUUACAAUGCUUAGCACAACUUCACUCUAUCUUAGUCAAUGAUGAUUACACCAGCACUGCUUCCGUGUGAGUUGGGGGAGCCAUCCACAUGUAUCUCCCAAACUUGUUCUUCUUUUAUUUCUGGUGUAGUUUCGCUUGGGUACCCUAAGAACCCUUCGCCCUCAGAGUCAUCGACAAAUUCUACAAUGAAGUCAUCGAUGGCAUGAGCUUUAAUGUCCGAAUGUGGUUUGAAGAUGUUAUUGAACUUACUCAAUUUAAAGGAACAUUGAAGGAACUUUACGAGCAUAUACAAUUUCUAGAGGAUUUAUCGGAGGGGAAGAAUCGUGACAACAGCUAUAGUGUGGUCCUAAAAAUAUAGCCUGAGACUACUUACAGAGACAACCAGUGCCAGAACCAAAUUUGCAAAGGCGUUACUGGUGUGAUAUAUUGUACGCCUUCAUUAUCUUCCCUGAGCGAAAAAAAAACUAGUGGUGUGUUUGGAGAUGGUGAUGAACAACAAUAACACAUCCCCCACCGUGGGUUUGGUGAGUAGCGGUGGAUUAACGAGGUAAUCAUUGAGUUAUUGAAAGGCAUUUAUACAUUCAGAGGUCCACUGGAGCUUCUUGCUAGCUUUCAAGGCUUUAAAAAAGAGGCUUACAAUGAUCGGUGCCCUUGAAGAUAAAACAACUUAAGGCGGCUAACUGGCCUACCAAACUCUUAACUUCCUUAAUGGUUUGUAGCGACUUCAUUUUAAUGAUUGCAAAGAUUUAUUAAGGUUAGAAUCAAUUCCUCGAUGCUUUACCAUGAAAUUAAGAAAUUUACUCGAGGUAACCCCAAAUGCGCAUUUUUCAGGGUUGAGCCUCAUCUGGUGCUGUUUGAUAACAUUGAAGGUGUCUGUGAGGUGCCCCGCAUGGUCACUAGCGUGCACUGACAUGAUGAUCAUAUCAUCAACGUACACCUUCAUGGUGCGCCUAAUUCGCUCCUUAAAAAUUUUGUUCACCAAUUGUUGAUAAAUGGCCCUGAUAUUUUUUAAACCAAAUGACAUAACCUUAUAACAAUACAACCCACAAUUGGUGAUGAAGGCCGUGUUUUCUUGAUCGGGUUCAUACACGAAGAUUUGGUUAUAGCUAGAGAAAGUGUCCAUGAAGUUAAACAUUUCAUAUCCGCCAUGGUGUCGACUAGCUGGUCUUUCAUGAGAAAUGGAAAGUUAUCCUUGGGGCAUGAAUUGUUCAAGUCUAUGAAGUCCAUGCACAUGCUUCAUUUUCCAUUGGACUUUUUCACUAAGAUGACAUUCGAUACCCAAUCGGGGUAUACUGCGUCCCCGAUGAACCCAGUUACCAGCAGACGGUCUACUUUUUGCUCCAUGGCGUCAUAACAUUCUUGGUUGAAAGUUUGGCGGUUCUAUUUGACAAGCUUGUGAUGAGGGUUGGUAUUGAGAUAUUGGCAGGAAGUUGAAGGUAGAUAUCUAGCAUAUCUGCAAUAAACCAGGCAAACAUGUCAUAAUUUUCCUCUAAGAAGGUGACAUGUUGCUCUCGACGCUGAUCUGGGAGGCUGGAUCUAAUUUUUACCUUUUUGGUAAGGUCAUCACUACAAAUUUUAUCAAAAAUAAGGUCUUCUACUAGUGUACUUCAUUUUUCAUCAUUAGGUACACAGGCAUCCAAAGGCGCCGCCAACCCUCCAAUUAGCUCCGAACUAAGUUUAUAGGAUACCCUAGGUUUUCUACUGCAUUAUAUCCAACUCCAUGGGCCAGACAACUUAUUCUUUUGGACGACCAUUUGUCUACAAGGCUUUCUUAUGCCCAGCUCUCCGUUAUCCAGUAAGUGCUCACUUAGUGGGGCAAAUAUCUGGCCUUGCACUAGUAGGGUACCCCUAUAAAAGAGUGUUAGAAACAAUUUAAUAAUUUGCCUUAGAGGUGACAAAACAACAUCCUCAACUUGACUAUCGAUCCCCUUUGGUGGUGAUAACAUCCUCAUAGGUUAAAAUCUUCUUGGUAAGGUAAUGCAUGGACACUGCUAUUUUGUUAUUACUAAGAAUGACCUUCCCAAAAUAAUAUUGUAUGCACCCAAGUGGUCCGCGAUAAGAAAAUCAAUCAUGUGGAUGACUUGGUAAGGUACCUUACCGAUGGUUACAGGCAGUGUGAUGAUGCUCCUAGGGAUGACCAUAUCCCCAAUAAAACCAACAAGUGCCAUGUUACAAAGGGCGAUCUUCGAUGACUCGAUAAGUAAUUAAUCUAAUACACUUUUGAGGAUGAUGUCUAUAGAGCUACAAAUAUCCAUAUGUGCUCUCGCCACUUCGCCAGUGGCAACUUUCAAUGUAAUGAUUAAAGCAUCGUCAUGGGUGUAUAAGAUGCCUUUGGCAUCUUUUUCUGUUAAGAGAAUCAAAAUGGGAUGGUCAAGUGCCUGGGGUAUCCCAUGCCAAUUUUGACUAGCAAAGUUAACUUUUUUACUAAUAUGAACAUUUAGGGUCAGUGUUCUAUUGUAACAAUUGAUGGCCUGCCUGGAUUCACUGGCAAAGGUAGGCAUGUUGACUAUCAUUCGAACAGACACCCAUUUCUUAGAUUCUUAGGGUGCCCCCUAGUUAGUACUUGAGUCAGCGACUUGUUUACCAUUGUCUUGCUCUACAGUUUUCCUAGCCUGCCACAUAUCAGCUAGAAAAUCCUUAAUGUACCCACUCAAGAUCAAAGACUCGAUUUCAUCCCAUAAGCAUAAAUAAUUGGCAGUGCUAUGGCCAAAAUCCUGAUGAAACUCACAGUACUUGAAGCUUCGCUUCAUAUUGGGGUACUUCUGCAUUGACUUAGGUGGGCGAAGUAGGAUAGUAUCCCUGAUCUAAUAGAAAGUUUGUUUUGGAGAUUGAUUCAGAAGAUGAUAAGAAUCACACAUAGGCCUCUAUGGCUGCUCACUUUAUUCUAUCGAUGGUGGCUUGGUGAUUGGGGUUAUCGAGGGUACUUUGAAGAUGUUGAAACCUCAUCCUCAUUUAGCUGGCACUGGCGAACUGGGUUGGGGUACCUCUAAUUUCUUUGGUUUUUCUUUGCUUUUUGUGGCUUCUGCUUUGUCAUCUUCUUGUUUCAAAUGGCAUUUCUCAUCUCUCUCGAUUUGUUGCAAGGCUUGAGAGUGGGCUUCUCCAUAAGAGAGAGGAUAACGCUUUUGAAAGGAGUGCCAUAGCUUUUCCAAACACAUGUUUUUCUUAAAGUAAGUCAACAUGCACUAGGCCCCGAAUAUGCCUAUUCGCAAGACUUCUUGGUGGAAGCGGGCUAUAUAAUCAACUAAGGGCUUGGACUGCCCUUGCUUAAUGAAGGCCAACUUGGAUGCUGCCUAUUCUUGGGAAAUGACGUAGCUAAAUUCGUGAAUGAACUUCGCGAGGAGCUGAUCAAUAAAGGAUACACUACCUACCUUCAAAGGUUUAAACCAAGAUUUGGCAGGUUCUCUCUGUGUGUGUGUGUGUGUGUGUGUGUAGCCUUGUUGACAAUUCCCUUGAUAAGGAUAUGAUCGCAAUACAACUCGACAUGCUCUGUUAGAUCUGAGGUACCUGAGUACUAGGAUACCUAAGGCAUGGCGGAAGUGUUCGGGAGAACUGCUGUCUGAUUUUCCAUAGUGGAUGGCAAGUUGUACCCUACAAAUGUUAGAGCACUAGGGACAUUUUGUUUUUCAGAAAACAACUUUACUUAGUCUUCCAGGUGUUCCAUUCUUUUAAGGAGAUCACAGUUCACCUUAAGAUACCAUUUUCAUUUGAGAAGCUCGUUUGGCAUUCAACUUAUGGCAAAGAUCCUCACAAGCUCGUGUGUUGCAUUUAGUACCUCGGCUACUGCACGAGUAACUACAGGCUGUAUAGGAUUCCUCUAUAGAGGAUGGGGGUUGUGACUUAAGACGGGUACUCGAUGGAUCUCGCUUUUGUUUGUCACCUUCGAGUAUCUCAAAAUUAUAGGACUAUUUGUUUUUCUUCUGUGUUAAUAGGGCUUCCUAAGUGGUAAAAGGGACUGUUGAUUCAUGUAUUUACGAGCCCACAACCCAAAGAAUGACAUGAGUAAGUUCUUUAAAGAUUGUUGGGAAACGAGCUCCUCAUUUAGGUGAAUACAGUAGAUUGUUUAAUGGACUUGCCCUUGUUAGGCUGAGCCGUUCUCUCUACUGGAUCACUAACCUCCUCACUGUUGUCACCUCUCAUUUACAUAGAAUUUGACAUCAUCGCAUCAGAAGGUACAUUGGGUGCCAUGAUUUAUAAGCACACAUCACGAUCAAUUUAGCAACCGCCGUGAAAGCCUUUUGUGCUUUCCAUAUAGAUGGCGCCAAUUGUUUUAAGUGGAUUUUGGGUGCAAGAUAAAGAGACAAUACCUCACCAAAAUAAUGAAUUUAUUUUUUACGAUUCAGGAUACCUCACAUAAUCACGAUAUGUGGGUUGUUUUAAGCUUUAAAGGGGGUGAAUAAGAAUGAAAGAAUGGCUGAUAAUGGCAAGAAGUUAGGUGUGGGGCGAGAGGGCUUGAAAUGGCGCCUUUAGAUCUGGAAAACAACAAAACGAGGUUAGAGAUGGAGUUGGCAGUGUUCGACGAUCACACUCCGAUGCUCAAGUCAACUACUUGAACUUUUGUAGAGUUAAGAGCUUGCAAGCUCUCCAAAAUGGAGGCUAGAGGUAAAAGAAGACCUCAGCCCUUUUCGAUGUGUGUGUGUGUGUUUUUUAUAUGUAUAAGAAAUAUAGAACCUUAUUGCCUUUAUAUAGUAUGUCCUUGGUACCUUACCAUGUGGCACAUCUCUGGUGGUGAUUCUAUUGUUCUUUCUAAGAUUCUCUCAUCAUUUUUACCUUUAUGAUGAUUUUUGAGUUGUUAGGAGCAUGCUUGAGGUGCAAGAAAGCGGUUUUUUAGCAGAUUUAUUGUUUUGUGUACAUGGCAUACGCUGUAGCUGGUCCUAGAUGCCUCUAUAGAAGCUGUCUGGACAGUUGUAGGUGUGACAGAUGAGGACCACCGUCCUUAGUGUGCUGCUUGUCGCUUUUGCAGGUAUGACAGCUAGCUAGCCCUUAUUUUCUAACAAUAUAUUCCUUAUUUGAUUUUGCCAAAUCGAAUAUUCUUUUUAGGCGAUAGAGAUAUCACGUGUGCUGGAUAUAAUUGGAUUUUUUUUAAAUACCUUAAUUCUGUCAUGGUGUACACUACGUUUCAGUUCAAUUAUUAUAUGUAGUUGGUGUAAAUCGGGUACCCAAUAGAGAUCACUUGUAGUCAGAAAAACCUUUUCAUCGACACGUGGUGUUUUAUUUUUAAUUUUCUAUCUAUUCCCCAAACAAUGUAGUAAAUAUUUUAAUUUCCUCUAUAGCCAAAAAAUUAAUUACUGCCCCUAAAUAACGGUCGACAAAUUUUUCUAGUUCAUUACUAUAAAAAUAAUGAAGAAGGUUUUUUUUAAAAUUUUUUUUUUAUAUCUAGUCACGGUUAGAAUUUCAAAAAACUGUUUUUAGCUUGUUAAUUCUCCAUUAAUGCUAUUGAAGAUGAGUAGAGAAGAAUAUAAAGAUACUAUGACAGUAUUUACGGGAUUCUAGGUGAAGUGGAAACACUUAAUUUAUCAUUACAUAUGAAACUAAGAAUUAGAAAAUUGUGCUAAGAACCAACGUUCUAAUUAAAAGAAAAAAAUUAUAAUCCUUAAAAACAUUCGUUUACUUGAGUUGAUAAUUUUUAAUGAGUGUUCAACAUGGGUGUCAAGAGUAUAAAUUCAAUAUAAAUUAAUAAUAGUAAGUUUUUCUUAAUCACGUUAUGGGCAUUUAAUAAUACAAAAUAACGCUUAUCUUUUUUUGCUUUUUAUACGCAACUACCUCUAGAAUAUGCAUUUUCGAAGGGAUGCAAUUCGCGUCGCAUGUUGAGCCAAGUGGUCUAGUAACUGAGAAUGAGAUAAUAAGUUUGGAUAAUAUUUUCAUUUUCUCUGAGUUUGCCAAUAUUGUUGGAAAUUAUAUUUUAUGAUGAUACCAAACAUCACGGGAUGCGAUGUCCAUUACGAGAAAGAGAGAAAUUUACGUGGGCAAUUUGGCAGACCACAAUUUUUUUGCUUCAAAUAAUUUAAUAUCUCAGCAUUAUUUGACAUCUCAGCAUUUAGUUUAUGGAUCCCAUUGACAGGAUCCAUAUGAUCUGUGAAAAGACAGAACUUGGGUGAUCGAAUAUAUCAUCCCAACAAAAGGCUCCGCCAGUAAUAUAACGCUGCAUCACAUGUAGCGGUUUUUGAAUUUUUUAUUUAAAAUUCGUAAACCGUUAGCUUUUUUACGAGGCCAUCCCACGGUUGAGACAUUUUGUAAUUAAAUCUGGCUACCGAAACCGGCGGUGAACUAUUGAUAGAUGGCAAAUAUCAACAAUAAUUAUCAAUUGGAUACUUGUGCUUUACAUAAAUUUAAAAUAUAGCUAUUUAAAUUAGAAAAUUAUCAAAGACCCCCUCAAUUUAACACGAACAAUGUUAAAUUGGAAACGUUAAUUUUUUUUUCAAAAAAUUACUCAUCAAAUUAUAUUGAUAUUAAUUUAACAAAAUUAAUUUUUUAUGCAAAUAUAUAUCAUCGUCAUGUGGAAUAUUAAUUUGAUACUUUGAGCAAUAUGCAUACAACUUAUUAUGCAAUUUAUCUUAUAGAAAUUAAAGUAAUGUUAAAAAUUAUUUCAUGUAGCCUUGAAUGUUAAUUACAUAAUAAAUAUUAUAGAUAUGGAGUUGUGAUUAAUGUUCUAACAACACUCAACGUUAUUAUAAUUAAUUUUUCUUUAACUAUAACCUAACAGCAACAUAAUUCCCUCCCAAUCAAUGUGAGUGGGGCUUAAACAUUGUACCCGUUAUUUUUCACAUAUAAUAUUAUAAUUGGUAUGAAUACUAUCAAGAGUUAUAUUACACUUUACAUAGUUUGUAUCGUAAAUGACAAGUCACUCAUUGAUAGAGGUUAUAAAAAUUAGCACAUAAAUAUUAAAUAACAAAGUCAGCUAGCACCUUGCACGCAACAAUUAAUUAUGCGUGACACAACUAAUGAUACAAAUAAUGAUUUGAACUACUAAGUUUGUUAUUAUUAUGUUUUUAAUAAUUAUAAUUGCUCACAAAUGUGCUCAAUUUAAGUUAAACUCAAUUAUGAUAUGUAUUAUCAAUUAUCAUCGUCGCUCUUUUAAAUAUUCUUUUACCUAUUAGAUAUAUUCUCUAAUCUCCUAUUUUCAGAUAAAGGAGAGUUCACUUCACUAAAUUUAAGACUUUUGAAGCUUUUUAGUUUUGUGCUAUUGGAGAGAAGUAUAUCCUUAUGAAUUUGCUUUCAUUUAUAUGCCUUGAGUUUAUUAUAAUCUUGGCAACUACGAAGUUACAUUAACUACAUUACAUAUAACUUACAAUUGAUCCAAAAGUAGUUUUCGACAACCUUUUAGUUGUUUGACAAGCAACAAUUGAGUCAUUAAAAAAAAUAAAUUUUAAGUUGAUGUAAGUUGUAGAUGAUGCAACACAACAAGACCACUAUAAUCUUAUGUGGCAUGAAAUAUGUUUAAUAUAAUUUUAUUUUGGUGUUCAACUAAAUUUUAAUUUUAACAAAUUUAUAAAAGUCUUAUUAUUGAGUUAAUUAUAUUAAAAUAAUUUUAAAGAAUUAGAUUUCAUUUAGCUAGUUAAAAAAAAAUGUCUAAUGAAAACUCAUUUACCAAAUUUUAUUUUUAACUUAUUCUAAAUGCUGCCAUUAAGGGAUAAUAGGAAUAAUAAAAAUUAGUGGUGAAAAUCACAAUCUUAUCCACAUCUCACCAAAAUGAACGUGGUCUGAAAAUUGCUCGAUUGGAUAUUUUGAUUGCUUCUUCUUAUUUUAUAUUUUAUUAUUUAAUUUUUAAGCAAAAUUUGGUGCAAUUCAUGAUUGUACACGUAAUGUCCUUAUUUUCAAUUGCGGGGUUUUCCAAGAUCCUUAAUCUUUCUUACUGAAUCUUAAAGAACUUGGGAUUAAAUAAUUUGGUGUAGUGGACAAAGUUAGUGCAAAUGGAGAACACUUAUAAACUAAGACACAUAGAGUCUAAAUAUAUUUUCUUUUUCAUUUUUCAAAUUUACUUUAGCUAUGUUGGGAAAGGACUACCACAACCAAUUGUAAAUUAAGCGAAAAUAACACUCUUUCCCUCUUUGUGUGAUUAAAAUAGGAUGUGUACCAUAAAUAAAUAAACAGAAAAAUUAACCAACAAAAUCUAAAGCAGAAACCAACCAUACGAGACACAGAUCUUUACGUAGAAAACCCAAAAUGGACAAAACCACAGGACCAUAGUCUGAUAUAAUCUUCCAUUAUAUUAAUGGGAUUACAGCACAAAUUCUUCUCUAGAUAAUGUUAGAGGCAAACAAUAUCAAGAAUCCACUACAAGAAAAUAGGCAAUAGAUGAUAGACAGUUUGUAACGGAUUAUAGACAAAAUGAUUUGCAUCAUAAUAAUAUGACGAACUUGUGAUAAAAAUUUCAAUGUAUCAUAGAAUAAUGAUGGUUUUGUGAUAGAAAUAUUUUCUAUCAUGGAUUUAUGAUGGCUUUGUGAUAAAAUUAUCGUAUAUCACAAAUUUAUGAUAGAAUCGUGAUAAAAAUUUGAUCUAUCAAAAAAUUGUGAUAGUAAAAUGAUUUUGACCAUGUUUAACCCAAAUUUGAUGUAUUAUAGGUACAUUUUAAUAAUUGAAAAAACUGAAAAGAAAAUGCUAGCAAAAUGCUACCAUUUUGUUUUAUCUUUAACAUUCUUUUUCCUUUUCUAAGUGCUAAACACACACACACAAAGACAGAAAUUAAAAUCCCUAAAUGUUGCUUCUAUCGUUCUUGCCAUUGAUAUACACUCUGUCUGAAACCCUCAUUCUUAUUGCUAUCCUACCAGUCACAUACUAUUGUUGCCUAUUAAGCCUUCAACGUCCUCAGUUUUAUUUUGUCCCUCGUUACUCUCUGUCUCUUUCACUUCCUUUCAAAAUUUCCCAAUUAAACCCUAAUUAACUGUUGUCAAGCACACGUUCGAGGGUAAUUGCGCCAAUGACGAUAUCUUUUUGCCCAACGUCACAAGUAAGAUCCUUUAAGGCCAUUGAAAUAAGCAUGAUGGGGCAUCUAAGUCCGACGACCUCGCCACUACUGGCAUCGAUGAUGAUCUUUAAGGCUUGGGAUGCUGAUUUCGUCAAAGUCGAUUAGGCCGCUCUUUUUAAUCUCAUGCUUGUCAGUUUGGCCUUUUCCUAUUUUUUUAAUUAUUGAUUGUUUCAUUUUAAUUUGUGUUUAGGGAUCUUGGUUUUGUAUCUAAGGCUUUCUUGAUUAAUUUUUGGGAUUUUUCUUUUAAAUUGACUGUUGAUUAAUUGAUAAAAUCACAUAAAUGAUCUUUCUUAAAGAUUGUUGAUGGGAAAUUUGUAUUCCACAUUGGACCCGGAAGUUGAUCUUUGGUAAAAUAUGGAUUGUUAGUCAGAAUUUUGAGUUUUUUUCCUUUAAUUAGAAAUCUAGUGAAGUAUGGGUAAGGAAUGAUAAUUUUUUUUUUGUAAUGAUUUUGCACUUUGGUAAUUACUUAUUUGAAAGUAAAUUCGUAUGUUAAUUUUUUUUUCCAAAUAAAUUUGUUUUGUGUGAACAGUAGCUUCAAAGCCAGAAAAGAGUGGCCAAAGUUCAUGAGUUUCAAGAGUUGGCAAGGCACAAUAAUAGAGAUGAUUGUUGGCUUGUAAUUUGAAGGAACGUCAGUUCAUCUAACUCACCGGUUGUUUGAUUUACUUGUUUUUUUUUCUCGAUCUCAUGCAUUUGUCUAUUUUGUUUUCUCUUUACUUAAUAGCCUAAAAAACCUUCUCUCUCUCUCUCUUUUUUUUUAAUUUAUCUAAUAUUUGUUAGUUUUAUCUAAGAAUCAUCUUGGUUCAAUAUAGAGACUUCUCAAGGAUAAAGAUCUAGAAGUAAAUAUUUUAGGACCCAAAUAAGGUGAGAACAGGAGAUAAAUAUACUAUUGAAAGACUGAAAGUUUAUAUGAUUCAUUUAAUAUUUUUUUUUUCCAUUCCUAGGGUGUUAUUAGUUGAUGUUUAUUGUAGUAUGUAUAGGUUGGUGAGAGAAUUAGAAAAUAGUAACAUGUCGUUAAAAGCCUGUAAAUUUCUUAAUUUUUGUGAAUUUUCGUUGCUAAAUUAAAACUUACUCAAUGACAGGAUUUUCUCCUACCAAGAAUUCUUAAUUCCCAAGUUCGCUAGUUAAUGAUUUCUUUAUUGCUUUGACUUUUGUUUUAGAAAACUUGUUUGCUGCGAAUGGCCUCGGUCUAGUUGGCAUAAAGAAUUAAGUCUACAGAGCUUGUAAGUCUUUUAUCUUUAUGUAACACUCCACUAAAAUAUUUAUUUAAAAAUGUUUAAAACACGGUUACUUUUAAUAUAAAUACGAAUUCUAAAAGUUUAACAUAACAAACAAAACUUUCUUACAUAAAGUAAAAGUCAUACAGAGAUUUCAUAAUUUAUUUUAAAACUUGAUUAUUACAUAAAGCUAAGAUAUUUAUUUUUUAUUGAAAUAAAGCUAAGCCAAUCAUAAAAUGCCAAGUUUUGUUAUGCCCAUAUGCACUUCGUCUUGCUUAGGACUUGGCGCCAGCUUGCCUUACUCAUCGUUGCCUGCAAUGUAAGGACUUUAUGAGCUAAUGCCCAGUAAAAUAACACUUGGACGCAUGUAUAACUUAUUAUGCAUAUGGAUGAUCAUAUUAAGUUUUCAAAACAAACUUAGAAAAUACAAAACAACUUCAUUAGGGCCUUAGGUAUGUUGCACUACAAGGCUGACACUUUUACUCUUUAAACAAUAUGCCCUUGGGCCUCAUUAGUUGAUCUUUUGGGCGUUACGUAUCGCCGUCCCGAAAAGAUUUCUUUUUACUUAACUUUGAGGGCUUGCCCUCCUUAGAAACUUUGCCACUUGGCAGUACAACCACCUAUUUUUCAUAAAUUCAUUUUCUUAAACAUCUUCUUUAUAAUGUAAUCCAUGAUAUGCAUGUAUCCAAUGCAACUUAUGUCAUAACAUUUGAAGUUCCCAAAUGUAUAACAGAAUAAACUCACAACACUAUUUUAUUACAAAAUUCUUUAAUACAGGCGGCAUAAUCGACUAUAGCAUAAUUAAGUAUAAGUAUCACAGAUUAGGCGGUAGAGCCGACCGUAACAUAACUAAGUAUCAUAGAUUGGGCGGCAGAACUGACCAUAACGUAAUUAAGUAUCAUACCUUAGGUAGCAGAGCCGACCAUAACGUAACUAAGUAUUAUAGCUUGGGCGGCAGAGCCGACUAUAACGUAACUAAGUAUCAUAGAUUAGGUGACAGAGCUGACCAUAACAUAAUUAAGUAUCAUAGAUUAGGUAGCAGAGCCGACCAUAUAAGAAUUUAGAUUAUAAUUAAUCACAUCAUAAUAGCCAUCACAACAUAAAAGAAUGGUUAAAACUGAAGUUAAGUAUGAAAAAAAAAAAUUUCCCUACAUUGCAGUUGAAGUGUUAUUUACCUCUUGACCUUAACUUCUCUAGACCUUUCUAAAUUGAGGAUUUCCCUAGUCUUGAUGUUAUGACUUAGAAUAGAAAAGAGUAAAAUUUCUAGGUUGCAUUGAAAAUGAAAAGGGGUAGGGGGUAUUUAUAGGAUUUCUCAGGGCUAAUAGAUGGUUAGAAUUUUGCCACCAUAAAUCUUGAUCAAUGGUUGAGAUUAACUUUCAUAAAUAACUUACUAAAUUCUAGAAUUCUAAACUUUUACUACAUACUUCUCUUACAUCAUCAUCACUUAUGUCAUUACUUAUGUCAUCAUUACUUGUGUCAUUGUUUAUGUCAUCAUUACUUAAAAUUAAAUAUUUUAUAUUAUUAUUAUUUUAAUACUUAAGGGAGCUUGUUAGCUUAAAAUAAAUUCUAUUAUAUUUAAGUGUGAAAAUUGUACCUCACACUUUCAUAGAAUUUUUUUUUAAAAAAAAUAUUGCUUUAACUGGAAAAAACUAGAUUGUUUUGUGUAUGUUUGAGUUUUGUUGAUACUAAUUUUCCAGUAGGCAUCUCGUCAGUACUAAAACUGAAAUGAUGAAUGGAUUGUUGGUAAAUAUUGUUGAGAAUUGAGAAUUUGGUGUUGUGGUUUUUUAUGAUUGAUCAAAGUAGGGUAAAUGCCCUUGCUACACAUUUGGUCCACUAAUUAUGAAGUGUUUCAUUUUACAUAGUGUAGCGCCAUUAAUGAUUUUGUUCAAGGUGGCGCCCAAAUUUGAUUCCUUUAGAAAUUCAUAAUUAGGUAUUUGAAUAAAUGUUUAGAUAUGUUUUUAUGGGUUUCAUUAAGUUAUAUUCUUUCUAAUGCUUAUUUUCUUCUAUUUCAGAACUAGUUUUGAGAUGGAUACCCCUAUGGCAACUGACAGAAUUUGACUGUUGUUAUAACUUCUUUAUUACUAAAGUUGUUCCUAUAGCCAAGUUCAAAGCUUGCUUAAACAUGGCUGGUGUUGAAAGCCUCUGAUAAAUCAGAGAGAUGAGGAGAAAGUUGGUCAGGGUUGAUUUGCUUCAAGGUGGAGUUAUGUUGAACCAAAAUGAAACAAAUCAAAAAGGUUAAUGAAACGACAGGAAGCUUGGCGUUUUGGCUCUGUAAACAAUAAAGCAAAACGACACAGUUAUCGGCGUUUCUUGCUACCUUUGAUUAUCUUCACAAAACGACCUAGGAUUCUACCGUUUUGGUUAUUAGAAUCAUGAGCAACGCACGUGACAUUUUAAAUGACGUGUGAAGGCUGUUAAAAGCCGUUAUUGUCAUCUGCAGCUCACGUGCCUAGCUGGGAUUGUUUCUGGGUCGUUAUAAACACAGAGGCUGGAGCUGAUUCUGGUACAACAAACUGAGAGGAUUUCAGAGGAUCAAGGAGAGAGAGUGCUUGUGUAAAAGGAGCGUUCUUGUUCCAUGAAAAGGGCUCUGUAAAUCUGGUUGUAAAAGAGACUUUGUUCUGUCAAUAAAGCUGAUUAAUUUCUUCCUCCGUGGAUGUAAGUCAAUGUGAAUUGACUGAACCACGUAACUUGCUGUGUUUGAGUUGUUCUUGAGUUUCUUUUAGAUUCUUUGAUUGCUUACUGUUGGUUUAAUCUGCUUUUGGGUUGUUUUCUAUCAUUGUAACUUUCGAAUCUUCUUUGGUUCAUCUUGGAAUUCUGAUCUUGGGAUCUUGGGAGAGAUUGUUCAAGUUGUUUCUAUGAGCUUGUAAAUCUCUACAAUUGGUAUCAGAGCUGGAUUUCUUUUUUCUCCUUCUAUUAAAUUAUACAGUCGAAUUGUCAGUUUUGCUUUCUUUAGCUUCUAUGUUCUCUUUUUCUUUGGAGGCACGAUAUAUAUUUUCAUUUGGAUAGUUCAACUUAUAAAAGAAUAGCUAUAUGCAAUUAUUAGACUAUAAACUAUUUUUAAGGUGUGCAUGUUUGUUCAUAGUUACAUUGGUUAUUGCUCUCCUUUUCUUCAACAGGAAUAAGAGGUGGAGUUACGAGACUAGUUUUUUCAGGCCAACAAUUGAGGGCAUGGUGAAAGAAUGGAGAGGCUAUUUAAUUAGGAUAUUCUGUUAAAUUACCGUUGUCCAAUGUUCAUUGCCUGGAUUGGAGAGAAACUGACUAACUACACCAACUACAUGAAUAAUAUCUGGUCUUGUACAAACCAUGACGUUCACCAAACUACCAAAUACUGAAGCAUAAGGAACUCCUCUGAUCUCUUGCGUUUAUUUCUCACUUGUGGGGCAAUGCUCGGAACUAAGCUUAAAAUGGCCUGCAAGUGGAGAACAAACAAAUUUUGCCUUGCUCAUGUUAAAUCUUUCAAGAACUCUUUCAACAUAUGCUUCUUGAGAUAACUAUAACUUUCCAGAUUUUCUAUCGCGAGAAAUCUUCAUUCUAAGAAUCUAUUUCGCCGAUCCAAAAUCCUUUAUUGCAAAACACUUGCUAAGCUCUCUUUUUAGAUUGUUAAUCUUACUGAAAUCCUAGCCAAUAAUUAACACGUCAUCUACAUAAAAAAAAAUAAUGAUGAAAUCAUUAUCACCAAACUUUUUCUAAUUGAAACUCUUCACAACUAAUCUAGUCUUAUACUGCUGUUAUGAGUUAUUUUCUGUCUUCAACCUGUAAACCCAUUUGUUCUUCAAUGCCCUAUUUCCUUUAAGCAGCUUCACUAAGUCAUAAAUGUGGUUCUCAUUCAAGAAUUUCAUAGUUUCUUCAAAACAUUCUGGCUCCCCUCCAUCUAUAAGCAUCACAUACUCAUUUGGAGGAUAUCUAGUGGAAGGUUGCCAUUCUCUGGUGGAUCUCCUCAAUUCUGACUCAACUGGUAGUGCAAGUGGUUCUGUAGGUGCUUGCUUAACUAGUUCUACUAGACCAUCAUUAUUAUCCUCUCCAGCUCCCUCAUGAUCAUCAUAAACUAAGGUAGAGAAACUGAAGUUGGAAUAAUAGGAAUCUUUAGAGAUGACUGAGACUCAUCACUCUUUUUUACAUCACCAACUAUAUGAUUUUCUAGAAACACGACAUCUCUCAUUCUGAUCAAUUUUCUUGCCAUUGGAUCCCAUAAUCUGUACCCAAAUUCUUUAUGCCCAUAGCCUAAGAAAAUGCAUUCCUUGGCUUUACCAUCAAGCUUCGAUCUGUCAUCUUUAUGGAUGUGAACAUAUGCUCUGCAACCAAACAUUCUCAAGUGUUUAUAAGAGACAUAUUUUCCAGUCUAAACUCUCUCAGGUACAUUGCCAUCUAAUGAAGCUAAAGGAGAAAUGUUAAUCAAGUUAACUGCAGUACAUAUAGCCUCUGCCCAUAAAGAUUUAGGAAGCUUGGCAUCAUAAAGCAUACACAUGACUCUCUCUUCAAUUGUUCUAUUCAUCCUUUUUGCAACACCAUUUUGUUAAGGGGUUUUUAGUACAGUCUUCUCAAGUCUUAAUCUUAAAUUGUCUUCUAUACUCACUACCAUUAUUUGCCCCAACACAUUUUAAUUUUCUUCAUGUCCCUCUCUCAACACAAGAAUGGAAUAACUUAAAUAUAUCAAGUACUUGGUCUUUAGAUUUCAAAGAAAAAGCCCACACUUUUUUUAGAAUAAUCAUCAAUAAAAGUCACAAAGUAAAAUGCACCUCCUAUUGAUCUACUUUGUAUCAUGCAAAUAUCAGUGUGAAUCAAAUCAAGUAUUUGUGGCUUUCUAAAUAGAGAAAAGCUUUUAAAAACUACUCCGUGUGUCUUUCCAGCUAAGCAAUUAACACAAGUUUUGAGGGAUAUAUAUUGUGAAAAUUUUAUUGAACUCGUAAGUGCACGAAUCUAUUGUAAUAUAGAUUAAUGGUGAUGAGUGUCGAUCCCACGAGGAGGUGGAUUUUAAUUGUGUGUAGAAUUAAUUUUUCUAAAUGGGUGUAGAAUUAAUUUUUCUAAAUGGGUGGUUGGAUUUGUGGUAAAGAUGAUUUGGAAUAUUCUAAAUUUUAAAUUAAAAUGACGAGAAAAAAUUGAAGUGAAGAUCUAUUGAAAUGACGUACUUAGGUAUCUAGAUCCGCAUCAACAUGCCCCACGGGCUAAAUAUUCUUUAUUAAUACCAAUUAAAUCAUGAGGGGGGGUUUCCACUCCUCAUGAACCACACUCUAAUCAAUAUGGUACUAAGGGCUUAUUGUGCUAAAUAAUAAUAACCUUGUACUAGGAAGCCGGUGAAAGUAGGGCGGUAUCUAAACAAGAUUAUUAUUAUUUAUCGACGAAAAGUCAAAACAUCCACAAUAAUUAGAGGGGAAGAGGAAGUAAAUUUACCAAAUAAAACCCAUGACAUAUGUUGAGACUCCACCUUCAACCCAAGCUUGAAAGAAAAUUAGCUACUCAUAAUUGAACUAGGGGCAAAAUAGGAAUUUAUUAACAUAUAUAGAAAAUAUAAGAUGGAGAAGGAAUUACAAAAAAUGGAGCCCAAAAAUGGAUUCAGGGAUGCCAAAUUAAGGGGGAGAGACCCUCUUUUUAUAGAUACAUUGAGUAAAUCAUAGCCAUCGGAUUAAAAAUAGUUUGGACGCUUAGGAUUGUGUCACGUCAUCAGUCAACAGUACGCAGUUUGACCACGCAGUUUGAACAGUGACACGGUUUGAACAGUCAACCGGCUUGAACAGAGACGUGGUUUUGUUGAAAAUAAUCAUGUGUAUAUGCAUGUACCGUACACGUGAUUUUUGGUCCACUAACAUGUUAUCACGUCACCGAUCAACAAUGCAUAAGAAUUUUCUCCAAUGGAAUCGUGACACCUCAUCAGUCAAUGCCACAUCAUCGAUUAAUGCCACGUCAUCGUUCCGUAUGUGUAAACAGUGUCGUGAACAGUAACAUGGAUAGUACUGUACAUGUGAACAAUGUCAUUUUUCCUUUUAUGCUCAUCCUAAGGUUUUCGACUAUCCUGAGUUCAAAAGUGAUGUCCGUUUUACUAUAUGAAUUCUCGUUCAUUGUAAAAUGACCAUGAUGCCCCUAAAAUACAUAAAAUAUUUAAUUAAAAUAAAACACACAUAAUUAAAUUACAAGAGACUAAAAUACAUAAAAGUAGAAGUGUUAGUAAGACUUGAAAUAUAAAAUGACGAUUUUCUCCUUUAUAAAUAUACACUUUCUAACACUCAACACACCCCCCAACCAGCUUAUUACUAGUCCCUAGCAAAUAAAUCAAAAAUAAAAUUCAAAUCCAAAAUGUUUUUUUUUAAACACUCAUGUUUAUUCAAUCAAACUAAUGAUAGCAAUCAAAUAAAAAUAUAAGCAUUAUCUUCAGUCUACAGAAGCAUCACACCCACACCAACCAUCCAUAUGAAUCAGCCCAAUAGACUUUAUCACAGCUACUUUCAAGAAUGACAUGUCAAACCCCAAAAUCUCACCUGUAGUAGUGACACUCUCACAAAGAAAUUAAACCCAAUAAAAAUAGUCACUAAAAUGAAUGGUAAUUGAGAGAAAAUAAUAAAGAAGUAAUAUCACACGCUCUUACCAAGAUGAAAGAAAUAUGCCCUCAGCUUAGAAAUAAUACGAUCUCAAGUCAAACAAAUAUUUAUCUGUUUCUUUUUUUAUAUGUAUCACUACAUCUUUUUAGCCUAUAAAACUAGCUUCUACUUCAGACUAUAGAUUUCUAAAAUCAAGAAGGACUUUUAUUAAGACGUAACGUAGGCUAGGGACAUGGCUGACAAAUGAAGGAAAAUAGGAAAAACAAAAUAUAUGUUUGAGAAAAAAUAGAGAUAUUUUGGAAAUUACAAGAUGCAUUUUGCUUAUUUAUUAUUUUUUUUUCUUUUUUUUAAACAACAAUUUGUUUUUGGUUUUCUAUUGUUUUUUUUCUUUUGUUUGGCACAACUUCACUGAAUAAAAUAAUUAUUUACAUUUUUCUCAAACAUAAAUAGGUGAUGAAAUUUGUAAGAUAUCGGGUAAUACUCCAAAUUGGAGUGGGUCAAGAUGAUAGUUUGACAAAGAAAAUUUUUUUUUUUAAAGGCUCAAAAGGGUUAACUAUGAAUUUUUCACAAAAGGAAUGGCUAGAAAGGCUCAAACGGGUCAAAGAUGGCAUUUCUAUAGUCUUUUAGGGUUCUAAAUAAUCUUCCAUAUCUACUAGUUCGAUGGACCUCAAGAUGUAGCAACACACAAUUUUUUCUUUUUUUUUAAUUUUAUUUAACUUUUUUUUUUAAGAUUGACUCAAAGGAAAUCUAGAGAUCAUGUAUAAAAUAAUAAACUACUAAGAUGUAUGAAGAAUGGGCAAAAAAGGUUAUUCUCCAAGAAAAAUAAUAGGCUCAAAAACUCACUUGGUAUUCAUUAUAACAUGUGCAUUCCUUCAAACAACUCAUAUUUGUCUCUGACAUCAACAUGUAGAGUAGCAAACAUGGCGUAACAUCACUUAAGACCAAAGAUAAUACAAAUACUAAAAUUUAAAAGUCAUCAUGUCAUCCAAUGUUAAAACAAAUCACACAAUUUUUUUUUUGAACUACAAUCUAUCUCCCAACCUAUUCCAAACAUGAAAGGUGAAAAAUGAUGCAGAAAAACUAAUUAGAAAAGUUACACUUAAAAUAAUAGAAAAAGAAAAUGGUUUUUUUUUUUACUAAGAGCAUGCGUUUCUAAAGGCACUACACUACAUAUUCAGCCAUCUUCAACUUAAAAAUUUGAAAAUGUAUAUUUAUAAAGGAGAAAUUAGAAAGAAGAAGAAAAAUGAUUGUCAAAACUUAAUAAAGAAAAAGAAAAUGUCUGGAAUUUUUUUUUUGUUUUUUUCAAACGAAAAAGAUGUGUUUGUAGAGUCACUAUACUCCAUAUUCAGCCAUCUUCAACAUAAAAAGUUAGCCACGGUUAGUCUCUAUAACAAAAAAUUAGUAAAAACUUAACCAGAUUCCACAAUUAUCGACUAUUCCCUCCCCCCAACCAGGACAAAACAUUGUCCUCAAUGUUUUAAAGGAAAGAAGUAGAGUUUAGAAAAGAUCAUCUAAGUGGUGUAACACAGAAGAAAAUAUUUACAAGUGGAGAGUUAAAUAUAAUUUGUACUUCUUACUGCGGCUACUAUUACCAUCAUUAUUUGGACGCUCCAACACAAAGGUCCAGGGGUCUGGUUUCGGUCUAUAAGCUUGUAAUAGAUCAAGUAACUCAUUAACAGUGUGAGCACAAAUAAAAAGCUUUUUCGCUGUGGAAUGAAUGAAAUAGUUUUUUAUUGCAUGGUUAAGAAAUGAGAUGAAGUCAUCAUAAAAAUUAUUAACAUUUAACAAACCGAUGGGUUUCUGGUGAAUAUGCAGAUGGGCCCAAGAUGCUAAUAUGAUAAGUGCCUCUAGAGUUACAAGAUCUUCUGGAAGGAAAAUACAAGCAUCAGCAUGAUUAAGCAUUUCAGUUAUUCUUUCUUGCAUACCUGAGACGAUUAACUCUUUUCUAGUCGAUGAGUCAAACAAACUGCCCAAAGGUUUUAAGGCUCUUGGGAUAAUGCCUAACACUUGACUUCCUCUGACAAAAGCAGCUUCUGAGACCAAUUUUGAUAACCUUCGGUUACCUCCUCCAUACACCAACUGUAAUUUUCUCUCUACUAUAUUUCGACCAAGAUUUAUGACUGCCUCAAUGAACUCUUUAUGUUUGUCAUACUUAAAUCCAGAAAGCACACAAAUAUUCUUGAAUUGUUUCUUUGGAGUAGCUGCCAUUGGGAUACUUUUCAAAAAUAAUUUGUGAGUGCUUGACAAAAAAUCAUAUUUAAGAAUCUUGGUGACAGUGGGUCACAGCUGUGUAUGAGGUAGCAUGUCAGUGUCAAUUAACGUGUAAAGCACAUGGCUCGAGAGUCAAAAAGGAAACAGUAAAAAGAAAAAAAAACAAUGAUAAAAUAAAAUUAUUAAAGACAAUAAUGCAAAUGAUAAAACAACAGUGAAGUAUUUACAGGUAGUUGCGACUAUGGAUCACAUCUUCCUCUGGUUUUAUGUCCAGAAACGGCUUGAACGCCCUCUAUGGGUCGAGGAUAGGCUUCCCAUCCAAUUUUCUUAUAAACUGACAAACAGGGUCGUCAGAUUCCCGAGACUAUAUCGUGCAUGCUCUUUCUGGAAUAAUGGUCAUAAUUGGAGAAUCACUCCUUGUACAUAUCCACUGGGAUGCGUUUCAAGAGACAAAAAGAUAUCAUCCAAUGACUCUUUAUUCAAGUCAUCCCUAAUAAAUUUAAUCUUAUCUUCCCUGUUAUCAAACACCACUCCUAAAUAUCAUGGUUUUUUAUCGCAUCUCAUUCUGGCACACUUAUGACAACAACAGAAAUUCUUCGAGCUCUUCGUUUUCUUACAUAAUUUCUUUUACCACAACCAAGCAUGUAUGCAGUAAAUUUUAGAGGCAACUCACCUGCCAAACGUACUUUGGCCUCGAUUAACCAGCGGAUGUCAGCAGGUAUUUUAUUCCUCAUGAGCAAUCGCAUGCGUUCGGACCGAGCUUUAUAGAUUAUAAAGAGGGCAUUAUGAGGAAGUGAAGGGAAUCGAUUGUGAAGCUUUGCUAAAAUCUCGUUUCUGUCCAUACCUUCGCCUCAGAAUAUCAGUUAUUAUGGGAAACUGAAGUAACCGACUUGAGUGUCACGGAGUACUGUUAUCCGCCACUUCACUGGGGUAACAAACUAAAGCACACAAACAAAGAAAAAUAAACUAAAACACAUAAAGAAAAUUACAAUCAUCCUCUUAUUGAAUUUACCUCAAGCUCCAACUGGAUGUUGUAGACACCUCUCUCAAUGUCUCUGAAUUGGCUUUCUAAAUCCUCAACAUGGGAUACUAACUUUGGUGGUUGCAUAGCCCAAAUAUGAUGUGUUUUACAAAAUCAAAUCUGCCUUUUUAGAUGAGAUUUUCUACAUUGAAGUAGUCUAAGAAUGUCCAGGAGGAACUGUUUAGUUAUGGCACUCAUGAUUAACAAUGAUAAGAGAAAACUUAAUGGUUAAACAAACACACUUAUGCAAAAAUAAUUUCAAUCAGCAAAAGAAUAGUAAAAAGAAAGAAAAAAUCAAAUCACCAAAAAGAAAGAAAAAUCUCAAUUCAAAUCUGGUGGGUCAUGCAAAUUUAUUUCGGUGUCCUCUCCAUGUGAUUGGUACUCUAGAUAUGGCUUUAAUCUUUGACCAUUAACUUUAAACGUGACACCGUUCUUUGAGUCCUUAAUUUCAAUUGCCCUAUGUGGCAAAACAAUAUGAACAAUAAAUAGGCCAGACCAUCAAGAGCGUAACUUACCUGAGAAUAGGUGUAAACAAGAAUUGAAUAAAAGUACUUUCUGACCUAGAGUGAAAGAGUUUCUCAUAAUUUGCUUGUCAUGAAAGAUUUUCAUUCGCUGCUUGUAAAUCUUGGAAUUUUCGUAUGCAUUAUUGCGAAUUUCUUCAAGUUUUGCCAGCUGUAAUCUUCUUUCUGAGCUAGCUUGCUGCAUGUCAAAGUUGAAUUUCUUGAUGGCCCAAUACGAACGAUGCUCGAGUUCCAUAGGUGGGUGGCAAGUUUUUCAUACACUAGCCUGUAGCGUGACAUCCCAAUCAGGGUCUUGAAAGCCAUUCUAUAUGCCCAUAAUGCAUCAUCGAGUCUUAAUGACCAAUCUUUUCUGUCCGGGCUCACCGUCUUUUCUAAUAUGUGCUUUAUUUCUCGAUUGGAGAUCUCAACUUGGCCACCAGUUUACGGAUGAUAUGGGAUCGCCACUUUAUGAGUGAUUGAAUACUUCGUCAAAAGAGCCUUGAAUGCUUUGUUACAAAAGUGGGCACCACCAUCACUGAUUAUUGCUCGAGGGAAUCCAAAGCGUGAAACAAUAUUGCUUUCCAAAAAUCCUAUCACCACCUUGUAAUCAUUGGUUCUAUAUAGAAUUACUUUUACCAAUUUUGAUACGUAGUCAACAGUAACCAAUAUGUAUUGAUGGCCAAAAGAAGGGGGAAAGGGACCCAUGAAGUCGAUACCCCACACAUAAAAAAUCUCAACCACUAAAAUUAGAUUUAAUGGCAUCAUGUUCCUUCGUGUAAUGCUCCCUAUUCGUUGACACCUAUCACAUGAAGAGCAAAAUGUGUAAGCAUCUUGAAAUAUAGUUGGCCAAUAAAAAUCACAUUAUAAAACUUUAGUCGUUGUUUUCUUAGCACUGAAAUGGCCUCCACAAGCUUGUUCAUGGCAAAAUGAAAUAAUAUUCUGAAUUUUAUUUUCUGGGACACAUCGUCUAACAAUUUGAUCUACACAAUACUUGAACAAAUAAGGGUCAUCCCAAAAGAAAUUCUUUAUUUCUGCGAAAAAUUUGGCUUUGUCCUACUUAGUCCAAUACUCUGGAAGUUGACCUAUAACAAGAUAAUUAACGAUAUCAGCAUACCACGGUAAUACUUCCACACUCAUUAAUUAUUCAUCUGGAAAUGACUCAUUCAAUGUUAAUGGCUCUAUAAUUGUGUCAAAAUAGAAACGAGAGAGAUGGUCAGCUACAACAUUUUCUGUAUCUUUCUUAUCUUUAAAUUCCAAGUCUAAUUCCUGCAAAAGUAACACCCAACGAAUUAGCCUAACUUUUGCAUCUUUCUUUGUGAGAAGAUAUUUAAGAGCAGCAUGAUCUAUGAAUACAAUUAUUUUACAACCAAUGAGAUAAGAUCAAAAUUUCUCUAAUACAAACACUACUGCUAGCAUUUCUUUUUCAGUAGUUGAAUAGUUCAACUGUGCAUCAUUCAAUGUCAUACUAGUAUAGAAAAUAACAUGAGGAAUUCGAUCAACUUUUUGUCCUAAAACUGCUCCUACUGCAUAAUCAGAUGCAUCACACAUGAGCUCGAAUGGUAAGCUUCAGUUUGAGGGCUGAAUGAUGGGUGAUGAUGUCAAUAACUGCUUUAAUUUUUCAAAUGCCACAAGACAUGAAUCAUCAAAGAUAAAAGGUACAUCCUUAGCAAGUAGAUUGCAUAAGGGUCUAGAAUGAAACGUCGAUAAAAACCAGCAUGUCCAAGGAAAGAUCUUACUUCUCUGACUGUUUUAGGUGGAGGUAGAUUGGAAAUGAGAUUCACCUUUGCUUUGUCAACCUCAAUACAUUUGCUUGAAAUGAUAUGACCAAAAGCAAUACCUUGUUUUACUAUAAAAUGACACUUCUCCCAAUUUAAGACUAAGUUUUUCUCGAUACAUCUCUGCAGAACUAGUGUUAGAUGAUGUAAACAUUGAUCAAAUGAGUCACCAAAAAUAGAAAAGUCAUCUAUAAAGACUUCAAGGAAUUGUUCAACCAUAUCAGAAAAAAUAUUCAACAUGCAUCGUUGAAAUGUAGCAGGUGCAUUACAUAAUCCAAAUGGCAUCCUCGUAUAUGCAAAAGUGCCAAAAGGGCAAGUGAAAGUAGUUUUCUCUUGAUCUUUUGGUGUUAUGGGAAUCUGAUUAUAUCCUGAGUAGCCAUCUAGAAAGCAAUAAAAUUCAUGAUCUGCUAAUCUAUCAAGCAUUUGAUCGAUAAAUGGUAAAGGAAAAUGGUCUUUACAUGUGACAGAGUUUAACUUUCUAUAAUCAAUGCAUACACGUCAUCCUGUAGUCACUCUAGUGGGUAUCAAUUCAUUAUCAGCAUUGGUAACUACUGUGACUCCUGACUUUUUGGGGACAACUUGUAUAGAACUGACCCAUGAACUAUCAGAAAUUAGAUAAAUAAUACAUGCGUCUAAUAGCUUAAGGACUUCAGUUCUAACAUCUUCUUUCAUAAUAGAAUUUAACCGACGUUGCAUUUCCCUAGUAGGUUUAGCAUUUUCACCAAGGUGAAUGUAAUGCAUGCAGUCUACUGGAUUUAUACCUUUUUAUGUCAGUUAUAGUCCAUCCUAAUGCUCCUUUGUGCUCUUUUAAAACAUCUAACAACUUACCUUUUUGUUCGUCAUUUAAGGAUGAUAAGAUGAUUACCGGCAGAGUACUUUCUUCUCCCAAAAAUGCAUAUUCCAAAGUGUUGGGUAAUGGUUUGAGCUCGAGUUUCGGUGGUGAUUCUGAUGAUGGGAUGAGUUUUUUCUCUGAUGGUGCUAGUUGUUCAACUCUUGACUUCUAUUUAUUAGUGUCCAUAGAUGGUGCUGAGUCAAGCAGGGCAUCGACCGAUCUGUCAAUAUCAAAGUCCAAACCAAAGUGAGUUAAGCAUGUUUGUAAAGGGUCAUCACUAAGGUUUGAAACAAAAGUGUCAUCAACUAAUGUUUCAAUUAAAUCCACAUCAACAAUUCCAUUAUCUGUAUUGUGAGGUUGCUUGGUAAUGUUGAAGAUGUUUAGCUCCAUAGUCAUGUUGCCAAAGGACAACUGCAUAUUUUCAGUCCUGCAUUGAAUGUGAGCAUCAGCAGUUGCCAAGAAUGGUCGGCUUAGAAUAAUGGGGAUGUGCUUCCUUGAAUCCUAGAUUGGUUUAGUGUCAAUUACAAUAAAAUCAACAGAAAAAUAAAAUUUGUCUACCUGGAUAAGCAUGUCUUCCACAAUUCCACGAGGUAUUUUCGUGGAUCGAUCUGCAAGCUGUAACACUACUGGAGUUGGGUGUAAUUCUCCCAGUCCAAGUUUCACAAAUACUGAAUAAUGCAACAGAUUUACACUAGCUCCUAAAUCCAACAAAGCAUUCUCAAUUGUGUGGUUCCCUAUACUACAUGAGAUAGUGGGGGAGCCUGGGUAUUUGUAUUUUAGAGGAAUUUUAUGUUAGAGUAUAGAACUAACAUUUUCUGUUAAAAAUGCCUUCUUUUGAACGUGAAUGUUUAUCUUUUUAAUACAAAGGUCUUUAAGAAACUUGACAUAAGAUGACACUUGUUUUAUAGCAUCAAAUAAAGGAAUGUUAACACUUACCUGUUUGAAGAUUUCAAAAAUCUCACCUGUGGAUUUUCCUUUCUUUCCUUUAGCUAACCUCUGGAGAAAUGGAGCUUUAGGAACAUAUUCUCGUGGGUCUGUUUCUUCUUUUUCCUCUGAUGGUGAAUCCUCAGUAUUUUCAAGUACAAUUUGAUUUGUUUUUGUCACUGGCAUCUCCACUUUAUUGUCGACUUCUUUUCCUUUUCGCAAGGUCAUGACGGCUUUGACCUCUCUGUACUGCUGAGGGGAACUGGUACUUACUUCAUGCACUCCUUUAGGAUUAGGCACAGUCAUUGCCAAGGUCUAAACUGAAGAAGCAAGCUAUCUCACCAUCUUCUCGAGGCUUGAAACUGAUUGGGCUUGUAAGUUGAAGCCUGCUCUCAUCUCAUUUCGUAUUUCAUCAAUGGUGCAGUUCUGUUGCUCAAUCGUGGAGUGAGUAAGAUUCUUGAAAUUCUGGAAUGAAUCCUCCCAUGGUCUGGGUUGAGGGUAGUUCUGGUUCUGAUUGUAUAGUCUAAAUAGUGGUUGAGAGGCUUGAGAAACUUGAGGAAUUUGUUGCAUUGGUGGAGCUGGAGCUGCUGGUCCAUUCUGUUGGAAUCCUUGAGACCAUGAAAAAUUGGGGUAAUCUCUCCAUCCAGGGUUAUAUGUGUUGGAGUACGGAUUGUAAUUUGAUGGUUUUCUCAUGACACUUAUGGUAUUGGCUUGAUCUGAAUAUGAGUCAUAGUCAUGUGGUUCUGUUGAUUUAGCUGUCGUUAAUUAUGCUAUUUGUCGAGAAAGACCUUCAAUUAUCUCUUUGACUUCUUAAUUCCCAAACUUGACUCGCUAAUGUGAACCUCAUUCACUCUCUUAAUUCUUUUAGUAUCCCUGAGUGAUCUACUCCGUUGUUGGGAAUUAUCCACUUGUCGCUGGAAGAAUUCCCAAAUCUCUGAUGCACUUUUUGACAUUAUCUCUCCUCUACUUGUUUCCAUUAGCCAUUCUUUCACAUAUGACAAUAAUCCCUCCAAAAAAUAUUGACAUUGGUGUCAUUCUUGUACCCAUGAUGUGGACACUUCAAGAGUAACCUAUUGAAUCGCUCCCAUAUUUCGAAAAACUGCUCGUCUUCUCUCUGGGUAAACUCUGAGAUUUCCCUGCGAAUAGCAUUAGUUUUAUGCACUGGGAAGUAUUUAUUCAAAAAUUUGUUACCAUUUGUUCCUAUGAUGUAAUGCUAUUAGCAGGCAAUGUAUCGAGCCAUGAACGAGCUCUAUCCUUUAAAGAAAAUGGGAAUAAUUUGAGUUUAACAUCAUCGUCUGAAAAAUUCUCAUAUUUAAAAGUUUGACAAACAGCAUGAAAAUCAUUUAGAUGAUUAUAUGGGUCCUCAUUUUCUAGGCCAUAAAAUGUUGGCAGACAAUUUAGCACACUAGAUUUUAACUCAAAACUCCUAGCAGCUACAUUUGGGUAUCUUAUGCAUGAUGUACUCAAAUUAGCUAAGGGGCUAAAGCAGUCCUUAAAUGGCCUCUCCUGUGGUGGUGCUUGUUGUUGCAAAUCCAUUUUAUUUUUUAACGUGUUUGUGUGUGCGCAGUGUUUUUUCUAAUUCAAGAUCUAUAGGCUCAAGAUUAGGUAAUAGUGAUCUUCGACCAUGCAUGCAAAGAAUACAAAAAUAAAUAGGAACAAAACGAAUAAAAAUAAAGAAGAAGGAAAAAUUACGGUACUAACCUUAUCGCGUUGUUACAACCUUACUAUAACACACUAAAAAAUAAAUACGUGAAAAGAAAAAAAAAUUAACUAAAAAUAAAUUAGUAAGAUAAACAAAAAAAAAUUGCAAAGAAAAAUAACUUAAAAAUUAAAUUACAUAAUUUUAAAGAAAAGAAAAAGAAAAGAAAUUCUUACCUCUAAAUGCUGAUUCACUUUUUUUUUUUAAAUAAGAGAAAAAACAAUUACAAGAAAACAACUAAAAGAAAUUAUGUGAUUACACUCGUCAUGAGCCGUUAGUGCUUCAUUCCGAUGGCCAGGAGCUCCUCACGGCUACCAGCAAUUGCGAUAUCGUAACUCAAUUUGAGUGUAAUGGUACGUAAUUAUUAUUGAGGACAUUAUCCUAACAAUUACUGGGUUAAUAAUACAACUGAGCUAAUUUUUUAAUAUGAGUUAGGUCCAUGUACUUUUAAAAUAUGGCCAUAAUUUGCUGUUGAACAAGUUUUAACCACUUAGUAAUUCAUAUAUGAAAUAUAACUGCAGGCAAGAGCUCAUGGCCAGAACUGGUUGGUGUAAACGGGGAGAUUGCUACUGCUACGAUACAGAAAGAGAAUCCUAAUGUUCAUGCAAUCAUAAUACUUGAGGGAACUCCAGUUACACAAGAUUUUCGUUGUGAUCGGGUUCGAGUUGUGGUUGACAAAUAUGAGAAGGUGGUUCAAGUUCCUCGGAUUGGCUGAACUUCGCCGAUUAUCUGCAAUCAUCAUGGCUGGAUGGAUGGUCAGGAUUAACUGCUUGUUUAUAAUCACUUAACUAUGUAUUAGUAAAAUAAAUGAACAAGUAGUGUUGUUUAAUAAAGCAUGCAUGGAUGCGCGUGAUAUCCAAUAAUCGGGUUCUACGAAUGAGUGUAAUAAUACAACCUUUAUGUCUACACUUUUUUUAUUUAGUUUUUUUUACCCUUGAUAAGAAAGCACGCUUUCACAUAAUCAUACUAAGAAAAAGAAUACAAGAGAUGAGUUGGGCAAGUCCCCAAAAAAACACCAGAAAGCUAAUUUUGCGAUUACAAGUUCUAGAAGUAUGUUGAAUUAUAGCAUAACUUAGUCUCCGAAGCUUUUCUUGAACUUCAGAAAUAGCCCAAAAAAUCUCAUGUUUACAGAUGCGACUUCAAUUACGGUCGAGAAAUGGCCGACAAUUUUUUUUUUUAUUUGUUUUGUUUGAUGUGGCUUAAGAAAAGUGAUGAGAUUUGACCCUUCAAUAUAUUUCAACAGCCCACUUCUUAGUUUUCUCUAUUAAUUUUCAAAAUACCCUUAUUCAUUUAGUUUUUUUUUUUCGGUCUUAUUCAUUUAAUUUAACUCUGCAGCUCCAAACUCAUUGAAUUUCAAGUCACAUGUUGGCCAGCAAUGGUCUUGGAACUGAAAAUAUGACUUUUCAUAAGUAAUUGUAGACACAUAGUACUUAUAUUAAAAGCAUUAACUCACUAAAAUAAAUAAAUCAAUACAAAUUGCAAACGAAAAAAAAAAAAAAACACAGAAACUAUUAGAAACCUUGGAGAAUGAUGGUUGAGUCAUUGGAUUGUUGGUAUCAGUAUUGUCUUCGUAAAGCAAACGCGCUAAUUUUCAAUCUUUAAUAUAAAAGUCAAUUGUUGUGAUGGGUGUUUGGCAGGAAAGGAAAUGAAAGAGGUGGAGGAGAACGAGAGAUAGGGGAGGGAAAAAAAAAUGGGUACUUUUUGAAAAUAAAAAUUAUUUUAGUAAGUAUUUUAGACAUUUUGAGUUAAAUAUGACUUAAUGAGAUAAGUUUUGGAGGUGAAAUAUCACUAUUUCCUUAAAAAAGAGUGAAGCCAUUGGCGCCCCCUCAUUAUCUUUAUAAAACCCACCUCAAAUAAAAUUAUAGUUAAGGAUAAAUAAAUGUGUAUUUGGUAUGACUUAUCUAAAGAUUAUAAAUACUUAUUUAAUCUUGUAAACUCUUAUUAAAAUUUAUUUUGUUGUUUGAUUUUUUUUUUUUUUUUGGUAAAGCUUUUAAAGCUUAAAAAGUUAUCUCACCUUUACUAGUAAAAGCUUAAAUUUUGGGUUUUUUAGAAUAGAGAUUAAAUAAUUUUUUAAAUGUUAAAAUAUCUAAAAUAUCUUCUACUUAUUUGAUAAUCUUAUUUUAUUCUUUCUAUAACAUAACUUUUAGAAAUUUACCAAUUAAAAUAAUUUUAUAAUUUUUAAUAAAAACUAUCAUUGACCACUAAAUAACUAAAAGAAAUUAUUUACAAAAAUUAAUUCUACAAAUUAAAAUAACUUACCUCCCCGGCAACGGCGCCAAAAACUUAUUGUGUAAAUUUUAUUGAACUCGCAAGUGCACGAAUCUAUUGUAAUAUAGAUUAAUGAUGACGAGUGUCGAUCCCACGAGGAGGUAGAUUUUAAUUGUAUGUAGAAUUAAUUUUUCUAAAUGGGUGGUUGGAUUUGUGGUAAAGAUGAUUUGAAAUAUUCUAAAAUUUAAAUUAAAAUGACGAUAAUAAAUUGAAGUGAAGAUCUAUUGAAAUGACGUACUUGGGUAUCUGGAUCCGCAUCAACAUACACCAUGGGCUAAAUAUUCCUUAUUAAUGCCAAUUAAAUCAUGAGGGGGGAUUUCCACUCCUCAUGAACCACACUCUAAUCAAUAUGGUAUUUAGGGCUUAUCGUGCCAAAUAAUAAUAACCUUGUACUAGGGAGCCGGUGAAACUAGAGCGGUAUCUAGACAAGAUUAUUAUUAUUUAUCGACGAAAAGUCAAAACAUCUACAAUAAUUAGAGGGGAAGAGAAAGUAAAUUUACCAAAUAAAGCCCAUGACAUAUGUUGAGACUUCACCUUCAACCCAAGCUUGAAAAAAAUUAGCUACUCAUAAUUGAACUAGGGGCAAAAUGAGAAUUUAUUAAAAUACAUAGAAAAUACAAGAUGGAGAAUGAAUUACAGAAAAUGGAGCUAAAAAAUGGAUUCAGGGAUGCCAAAUUAGGGGGGAGAGACCCCUUUUUAUAGAUAUAUUGAGUAAAUCAUGGCAAUUGGAUUAAAAACAAUUUGGACGCUUAGGAUUGUGCCACAUCAUCAGUCAACAGUACGCAGUUUGACCACGUGGUUUGAACAGUCAACCGGCUUGAACAGUGACGCGGUUUGGUUGAAAAUAAUCCUAUGUAUAUGCAUGUACCAUACGCGCGAUUUUUGGUCCACUAACAUGCUACCACGCCACCGAUCAACAGUGCAUAAGAAUUUUCUCCAAUGGAAUCGUGACACCUCAUCAGUCAAUGCCACAUCGUCAGUCAAUGCCACGUCAGCAUUCCGUAUGUGUGAACAGUGUCGUGAACAGUAACAUGGACAGUACCGUACAUGUGAACAAUAUUAUUUUUCCUUUUAUGCUCCUCCUAAGGUUUUCGACUGUCCUGAGUUCAAAAGUGAUGUCCGUUUUACUGUCUGAAUUCUUGUUCAUUGUAAAAUGACCAUGAUGCCCCUAAAAUACAUAAAAUACUUAAUUAAAAUAAAACACACAUAAUUAAAUUACAAGAGACUAAAAUACAUAGAAGUGUUAGUAAGACUUGAAAUAUAAAAUGACGAUUUUCUCCUUUAGAAAUAUACACUUUCUAAUACUCAACAAUAUACCUGCAAAUCUGGGUAGAAAUCAUUUUCUGGCAAGAGUUUCCAACCCUUUCUCACCAAUAUGAUCAAUCCUUUUAUUCCAUAUCUCAAUGUCAGAAUCUUUUACAGCCACAUUCACAUCUUCUUUCUUAAUCUUGGCUUCUAUAAGAUAGACAGUGUUUACUUUCCUCUCCUUAGCUAACAUUAGGGAGCCUUUGGCGAGCUUCCAUUUUCCUUCACCAAAUUGGUUAGUAUAACCAUCAUCAUCAAACUUGCCUGUAGAGAUCAAAUUAAGGCGAAUAUCUGGUACAUGUCUGACAUCUUUAAGUAAUAACUUAUAGCCAAUGCUGGUCUCUAAGCAAAUAUCUUCUAUGCCCACAAUUAUGGAUGCCCCCUCAUUUCCCAUCCGAACAUGUCCAUAAUCAUCAUUAGAUGUGAAGUAAUCACGAUGUGCAGUAACAUGAAAUGAAGCACUCGAAUUAAUUACCAAUCACUAGUAUGGAAAGUGAGAUUUACUGAGCUCUCAUCAUAAAUAAUAUCUAAAUCACCAUCAACUAUGGCUGGAAUUUCUACUUUAGUUCCUUCCUCGCCUUUCUUGCUUUUUUGAAACAAGUGCAUCUGACUUUGAGGGAACUGCUUCAACACUCUUUCUUUUAGAUUCUUCAUUCCACAACCUAUCUGUAACUAUAUCCAAAGUUAAUUUUCCAUUCAGCGCUGAAUUAUUCACUAGCACUACUAAUAUCUCUCAACUGUCAAGCAAAAUUUGGUAAAAAAAGAGUUGAAGAGAUUAACCCAAAAGUUGGAACAACUUACAAAGAAUUUGAUAAAUUUUAAUGAAAAGUUGGGAUAUAAAAACAAAACUUGAUAUAUUUACCCAAAUGUUGGAAUCCAAUAAAAUGAGGGGGAAUAUAAAACCAAUAAAUUGUGGGAAAAGGAGUGGAAGAGCAUAACCCAGAAGUUGGAAUGACAUGAUGAGAAUUUGAUAAAUUCCAAUGAAAAAUGGAUAUUUGAAAAAUAAACCUGAAACAUUCAUGCAAAUAUUGGAAUUCAGUAAAAAGAGUAUGAAUAUCAAACCAAAAUUUGGCGGGAAUAAGAGCUGAAGAGGUUAACCCCUAGGUUGCAACAAGUUAUAAAGAAUUUGAUAAAUUUUAAUGGAAAGUAAGGAUCUAAAAACCGAACCUAAUAUAUUUACGCAAAAUGUUGGAAUUCGAUAAAAAGAGUAAGAAUGUAGUACCAAAAGGUGGUGGAAAAUAAGUUGGAAUAACUGACCAAAAACUAGAUAAAGUCUAAUGGAAUGUAGAGAUAUGAAAAAUAAACCUAAAUAUCUACUUAAAAAGUUGGAAUUUAAUGAAAAAAGUGAAAAUAUGGAACCAAAUGUUGGUGGAAAAAUGAGUUAAAAUAAGUUACCAAAAUUUAGAUAAAUCUUAACGAAAAAUAAGAAUUUAAAAAGUAAACUUGAAACAUGCACCACAAAUAUUGGAAUGUUACAAAAUAAGUAGGAAUAUAUCUCUUUUUUGACAUAAACUAUAAUAUUUUUAUAGUCUCUUGUAUUAUUUAUAAAUUUAAAAUUAUUACAAUCUUUUGCCUCAUUUAAUUCCAUAUUUAUCUUUUUUUUUCCUUUUUUAUAAUUUUUUCACAUUAAAAAUAAAUGAAAUUGUAAUUUUAUUAUAUUAACUGGUUAAAACCGGUUAUACCGAUUUUCUGCGUGCGCUGUAUAACAUACAGAGAUGCAUGGAAUGUUGACUCCCCAACAUAAUUAGGGGUUGCACGUGCCCUCACACAAGUUUGUCUACAGAAGAAAGGAUACGACUGCUAUGCACCAGUUCCAUUGACAGACUGCGCGGAAUUUAAUAUAUGGAAAAAAUAAUAACCGUAGGAUAUAAAGUACUAUACAAUCAACGGUUGAUGUUGAUUAAAGGAAUCGCAAGAACUAGGUGGCCCAGUUGAUGUUGUAGUGAAAAUGGGAGAACUAGGACAUGGCGGCCCAGUAAAUCUGUAAAUGUGUCUGCGAUGUUUAUGUGAAAUCGGAAAAAAAAAAUUGAAAUGAAGAGAAUAGAAAGAAAAAAAAAAGGCAACCCCUGCUCUCGUGAUGGCCUAUGCAAAAAUUAAAAAACAAAAAUCUUAACAAAAAUAUAUAUGCCAUUUAUUGACACUGAAUUUUUGUCUAUAAUAGUUUAUAGGGUGGUGAUAUUUUUACCACACAAAUUCUAUAAAUCCACUGUACUUUUAAAAAUUAAUUAUAAAAGAUUCACAUUAUUUUUAAAAAUUUCAAAUAAAGAAGAAUUCUAAAGAAUUAAUCAAUUAAAUCUAUCUUAAUAUAUAUUUUUUAUAUUUUAAUUUAUUUUUUUGUGAUUUAGAUUUUUUUAUUACAUUUGACUAUUAAGAUUGCUUUAGUCUAAAUCGAAAUUGAUUAUUUUACCCUUAAAAAAUAAACAUACCAAAAGUUUACUUUAACAUUCUUUUUGUUUUAUACAAAAUUCAUUAUUUCCCAAUGGUCAACUCUACUUUAUUAGUAUGAUUAUUAACUUUUAAUUAAACUAUGGUAAUAUUUUUAUGCAAAAUACUCAUGUAAACUAUUAGACUAUUAUAUACAAGUAAAAUAUUGAAAAUCAUUAGGCUGCAAUUAAAAAGUUAGAUUAUAUGUCACAAAAUUAAGUACCUAAAGUAUUACAUAGAAGAACACAUUUUUCUUAGGGCGAUUAGGUCAUUUUAUGUCAUAAAGUAAAAUAAUUAAAUAGAACUUAUAUUAAAGCAACUUUAAUAGUAAAAAUAAACCUAAGAAAGAAAAAAAUAUAAGAAUGAUUUAAUAGAUUAAUUAUACAAAUAUUUUUUAUUUGUAUUUAUUAGAAAUAAAGUACAAAUAUCAAUUGGGACCCACUGAGAAAAGUCCAAGAAGGUUUUCGACGCGUAACGCUUAAGAGAAUCACGUGAUGUAGUGAAAGUCGCAUUGGGACCCACUUGCGUAGAAAUUAGUCCCUCAUCACAUCCAUAUGGAGCCUACGUAUUAAAUAAUGCAAAAACUAUCGUACAAAGUUAAUAUUAUAGAUGAAGAGAUCCCUAACUAAUUUAUAUCACUUGUUGGGGGCCGCCUAUUUGGUAUAAUUUUGUAAUUUAGAUAACUUACAUCAUUAUUCGAGGAAUCAAAGUCCUAAAAUAAAAGAAGAAGACACUUAUGAUCAAUCUUUUCAGUAGGUGUGGUAGAAAAAAUAAAUGCAUUAUGAUACUAUGGAUGAAAUGAUUAAUGCAUGCGUUUACGGUCCACAUUUUGCGAUUAUCCAAAAAGGUGAACAAGGAAAUGUACAAAACACAGAAUUGAAUUGACAAAAGGAGAUAAUAGCAAUAAGAAACUCGUGAUUCAAUCUUUGCCAUGAAGUUUGUCGGUGCCUCUCCAAUGAAACAGCAUUCGGCAAAAUAAUCAAUCAUCUAACCUUUGGAGUUUUUCCAAAAAUUAAGUUUUUAUUUAUUUAUUUUAUUACUUAGUCUAACACUAAUCUAACUCCCUCCACGUUACAGAAUUUAAACUCUAAAUCUCUUAUGAUGUAGGACAUUAUUUUAGAAUUAUAAGAUUUUUAUUAUUUUAAGAUUUUCUAUUUUAAUUAGAAUUAACUAUGGUAUGUGUUUAGUCUUUUAUUUCUAUUAUAAUUGUAGAAAUAAAUUCAAAUAAAGUCAUAAAACAAAAAUAAAUUCAAAUAAAGGUAAACUCCAUCUCAAGAUACUGGACGCUCCAUUAAUAUUUUAUCUUUGGACAGAGUAUUAACAUAUAAGUGAUAUCUCGGUGCAGUAAUCAAACAUUGAUAAUGAGAACACGUCAAACAAUAAUUUUCCUUUACACCAAUUUAUUGUUCACAUGCAAAAUCAAAAAAUCAUCAUGUAUUUAUUGCCACAAAUGCACAUGCAAUUCUAUCAAAUAUGGAUCUUCCUUUGGGCCGAUUGAUAUCCACAGAAAUUACAUAAAUCCAACUAUAUAUAUAUAUAUAUAUAUUAAUUUACUGAUUUAAUUUCCUCAAUACCAUAAGACAACCACACAUUGUUCUCAAAUUCAACAAUACUGAAAUUAUUAAAGUAGAGAACAUCAAAACUUUAAUUAUUAAUUGAAAAUAAAGUCAAUUCUCAAUUAUUCAAUAUGAAGAGGCUUUGAUUUCACUUGUUAGAACAAUAAUCCUUUGGUGAAAGCCAUCACUUAUAAUUCAGAAACAUUCAUGUUGUAUACUAAGCAUCAAUAACAAAAUAUACAGAAGUGUAAUUGAAUCUAUAUUGUACAAUUACUCUCUAGAGUUGUGUAGUUGACAUUCCAGAUCAAUACAUUCUCUUAAAGAACCCUUUAAGUUUAUCUAUACUCUCUUCCUAAUGAUGGGAUGUCAUAAAGAAUCAAAUAAUAUAUGUGACCUAGGGACUAUAACCACUUAUAUAGACAACUUUUUCUGCUGUCUUUAGGUAUUCCAAUUUCAGCCAACCAUAAAAAUAGAAAUUAUCCGUAAGUAUCUACACAUUAAAAGCUCACACCCUAUUAAAUAAAUUGAAGCUCGCACCCUAUUAAAUACAUUGAAGCUCAUAUUAUUGUAAAUGUUAAUAGAUCCCUUUUAAUUGGACUAACUUUAUAUGAUAGUUUGUAACGAGUAAUUAUUUACAUAUAAGAUCAACAUUAGAUUAAGGAUCCAAUAAUGUUGAAUUAAAGAUCCAACAAUUAGAGGUGACUAGUUACUAAAAAAAGAAAUAAAAAAUGAAAAUCAAGAUAUUUUUAUGAGAAAGUCAUGUCCACACGCCUAAUUGAUUGAUCAGUAUGCAACAGUGCAGUGACCAUCUAUCUAUUCCUUCAAGCUCUAUAAAUAGCAAGCUCUUGUGCUUUAAUUUCCACCUGUCUAACAGCCUUCAAAAUAAUUGAAAAUUAAUCAACAAUGAAGAACACAGUACUAGCACUAGCUUUCUUCGUAUUUCUCUUUGCCUUUGCUGCAAAACCAUCUUUGGCUGCU
This 93731-nucleotide long non-coding RNA is filed under the name Citrus x clementina. RNAcentral's name for it is "Citrus clementina (C. clementina) long non-coding RNA (CCLE_LNC004401)". Lineage: Eukaryota; Viridiplantae; Streptophyta; Magnoliopsida; Sapindales; Rutaceae. The record is from RNAcentral.